UUGACAUAGAGGACGCCGUCAAUAAGGAUGCUGACAUUGUCUUUGGUAAUAGCAGAUUGAUCAGGAAUCUGAAUAGCCUCUUCCUUCAAAGAGUGAACAUAAGCAAUUCGAUCGACAAGGGGAAUCAAGAAAUGGAUUCCAGAUGGCAGCGUCUUCAAGUACUUUCCAAAUCUCUCUACCACAAACGCUUUCUUCUCCGGCACAAUCCGUACCCCCCAAUUCACAGGUGGCGUAAUCUCAUAACUAAUGAAUUAUAAUAAAUUAAUAAAAAAAAAGAAGGAAGAAAGACAGGGAGGGAAUGCGGAAUGAAUGUACCUGGUGAAGGGGUCGCGGCCGGAGCGGAGGAGGCGGACGGAGAUGGUGGAGGAGAGAGGAGACGAAAGGCGGUUGUUUUGGGCUAAGUGAAAAGAAGGGGGUUGAAAUAAGGGAGAAUUGGAGGAGGGAGUGAGGAGGGUUCUGCCUCUGGAAGCGGUGGAAGCCGAUAAGGAGGAGAGGUGGUGGGAGGUUCUUACGGCGUUGUUGAGUAAUAAAUGACUCCUCCUCCUCCACAUUUUUCUGUCUCUCUUUGUUGUUGCUGUUGAAAAACCCUUGGCCUCCUUAAUUAUCGAACCCUCCCUCACUCUCACACUCUUCACUCUGAUCUGCUCUGCUGACCCUCUCCCCAAGUCACCCUCUCUCUUUUGUUCCCCCUCUGCCCACUCAAAUAAUUUAUUUUCCGAAGUUGUAAUUGACAGUGUGUGGUGGGUGGGUUUUGUUUUAGGCCCGACGUUUUAUAAUGGGCUCUUUUUUUUCUUUUAGAGUUUUUGUUAAAGAAUUGAGAAAAUCGAGACUAAUGUUCUCUGAACAUGAAGAACAAUGAGAGAACGGCAUGAUUUUUAUAAUUUUAAUUUUAAUUUCUUAAGUUAGAGAGCUUAGAUUUAUAUAAAAGUGAGGUUUUACAAUUCAUGAAUAAUAAGACAAUUUAAUCAUAUUUAAUCAGAUAAACAAUAGGAUUAGAGGAUAAAAAGUAAUCCAAAUUACUUUGAUUGUUCGAAUAAAUUCGGGUAGUAAAUUUCUUAAAGUUUCGGAGAAGAGGUAAUUCAGAGAAUUGCCUCAAAUUUAUUUAAGAUAAUUCCUGUAAAAUUAAAAAACUUAAAUCAUCCAAAUUAUAGUUCUAAUUUAUUUAUAAGGAUUUAGAAAUAAUGAGAUUGAAAUUUUUCUUAGUAAAAAAUUUCUUGAGCCUAGUUUUAUUAAUCCAUAUUUUUAAUGAAUUUCUUAUAAAAAAUUAAUGGGGCAAUGGUAAAAACAGUAUUAAUUUUGGAUUACCUGAUUUUUUCAAAAUAGGGUUUAUACAUACUGCUAUAAAUUGAUAAUAAUAUUUGCAUCUCAGAAACAUAGAAACAUUUGAUCGUAAAUCUUCUGUUACUUUUGUGUUGCAUUAAUUACUGCUUGGAUCGACACGAAGGUAAAGAGCUAAGCAAGUUAGCUAGUAAUUUAACCGAUAAUAAUUAAGUAUUAAAGUGUUAAUCAAGAAAAAGAACAUUUCUAGUUUGAAUCUUAUCACUUGGAUUUCCCAACUUACAUAGUGAUUGAUUAAAACUCUCGAGUUGAUAAAUUUUUGACCGUGAUUUAGCUCUCGAAAGUGAUCACUCACCCGUAGGCUAUGUCAGGAGUGAGUCCUUGCUAUGGAUAUAAGAAGAAGAAAAAAAAAACGAAGGUAUGGAGCUCUACGUAUCCUUGUUAUUAGUAAAGGUUAUAUUCAUGUGGAAAAGUGGUUAUCUCUUACAUGAACUUUGGUGCUCCCUUCAAAAGACUGAAGAAUUUGAAAGUAGAAUGCAAAUGUGAUUCAUAUGUGCUACCGGCGAAUAUCUCAACCUUCUUACGUGAUGCUGAAUACAUAAAAAUGGGAGAACGAAGCGAAGAAGGAAUCGUAGGUAAUUACAUUUUCAAAUUUUUAUUUCUAUUUGCAGUCUGAAUCUUAAUUGAUUUUCGUUGAUCGUUAAUAUUCUCAAUCAAUUUCAUUGCUUAAUCUCGAUUGCCGUAUUCAUGUAUUGAAUAUACUCAGCACACUCAAGUCUGCUAAUGGAUGAAGUGCAGACAUUGCAUUGAGAAGACAUUGCACUGAUGAGCUGGAAACUAAAGCUGCUAUAACAAGCUUAGCAGACGGUUAGAGUAGGCACAGCAGGUGGUUAGAUUCUGUUGUAAAGUCUGGUAUUCUGUUGUAAAAUCUGUUAUUUAUAACUGAUUCUGUUACUAUACUACAAGAAGGCUAUAAAUAUUGUAUCAGUUGAAUCAAUGAAUAAUAAGAAAAUCAGUUAAACAUUUUCGUUUCCAAUAUGGUAUCAGAGCAUUCUCUCUGAAUUUUUUUUCCCGCAUCCUUCUUUUUCUUCAUUCUCUCUUCUGUCUUCAUUCUCAACAAUGACUGACGCUACUUCAGAAAUGGAUUCUUCCAAUCCUUUCUUUCUACAUCAUGGUGACAGUCCUGGAGCCAUGAUUGUUUCGAAGCAACUCAAUGGUGAGAAUUAUAAUUCAUGGAAGAGGGCGAUGAUGAUGGCUUUAUCAGCCUAGAACAAACUCAAUUUCGUUAAUGGCACCUUGCCUAAGCCAUGCAAUCUAUCAGAUUCUCAAGGUUUGGCAUGGACUCGCUGCAACAAUAUGGUUCUCUCGUGGUUAUUGAAUUCUGUUUCAACAGAGAUUGCCAACAACAUCUAUAUUGAUGAUGCAUCUGAAAUUUGGAAUGAUCUUCAAGAUAGAUUCUCUCAACACAAUGGACCACGUAUCUUUCAACUACAGAAGUCCAUUUAUCUCUGUCACAGGAGAAUAACUUGUCAGUGCUUAUUUCACAACUAUGAAAGGCUUAUGGGAUGAGUUAGGCAAUCAUCAACCCAUUCCUACGUGCACAUGUGGAGCAUUGAAGACUAUUCUAUCUUAUCAUCAUCAACACAUGUUUAUUAGUUUCUCAUGGGCUUGAAUGAGAGUUAUUCCCAGAUUCGAGGACAAAUUCUGUUAAUUGAUCCAUUACCAUCCAUUAACAAAGUUUUCUCCCUUAUAAUUCAGGAAGAGAGGCAACGUAUGAUUUCUUCUUCAAGUGUUUCUUUCAAUCAGAACACCACUACAUUACUUGCCAGGACAGUAGCUCCAUCUCCAACCUAUUUUUCUAGACACAAAUCCUCUUAUCCUCGCAAAGAGCGUUCAAUAUGCUCUCAUUGUGGUAUUCAUGGCCACACUGUGGAAAAAUGCUACAAAAUCCAUGGAUUCCCACCUGGUUACAAGUUUACCAAAGGGAAAAAUGCAGUUCACAAUGUAAAUCAGGUCUCUGACAGCACUGUUCCUCGGCUACCUAUCACUUAUGCACAAUGUCAGCAACUCCUGGAGAUGUUCAACCCCUCAAUCUCAGAACGUGAAUCCUCUGUGAAUCAAGUCUCUUCAUCUGUCCAUAAAGAAUAUGAAAUUCUUACUUCAGGUGACACUCCAAUCAAACUAAACCAAGCAGGUACUCUUUCCAGUAUAUUUCCUUUCAAUCCAAAGCAUUCUGUUUUUUCAUCUACCUUAUCUCUUACUCAUCCAACUGCUCUCACAAAUUCUGUCAAAGCCCCUUGGAUAAUUGACACUGGAGCUACAGAUCAUAUGAUUUGUUCUACCUCCUUAUUUACACACAUUACUUCUGUCGUUUCCAAAACAGUAAGGUUACCUAAUGGACAACAUGCUUCAGUUACUCACAUUGGUACCAUUAAGAUUAUAGAAUCUCUUAUUUUAACCAAUGUGCUUUGUAUCCCUUCCUUUUCUUUCAACUUAAUCUCUGUCAGUAAGCUCAUUCAAACCUUACACUGUUGUGUCAUCUUCUUAUCCAAAUUCUGUUUUGUUCAGACUCUUGCAAACUGGAGAACGAUUGGUGUGGGUAAAGAAAAUGGAUGUUUAUACCAUUUGCUGCAAAAUCCGGUUUCUGCUUUAUCUAGGAAUUCUGCAUUUUCCACUCCUGUAAAAACCAUGUCCCAGCCUACAAUAAUGAAUCUAGCUUCUGCUAGUUUCUUUGUUCAUUCUGUAAACAAUAGUCUAUGGCAUUACAGAUUAGGUCACCCCUCAGAUUCUCCCUUGAAAUUGCUUUCUCAUGUAAUUCCUCAAGUUUUACAUGAAUCUAAUAAGACUUGCAGCAUAUGUCCUCUGGCUAAACAACACCGGUUACCUUUCCCACACAGCAUUACAGCUUUUGCACAACCCUUUGAUCUUAUUCACUGCGAUCUUUGGGGUCCUUUUUCCACUAAAUCUAUUAGUGGCUCUUCUUAUUUCCUGACCAUUGUCGAUGAUAAUACCAGGUUCACAUGGAUUCAUCUUUUGGAAAAUAAAUCUCAGACUAGAACUCAUAUUCAAUCCUUUUUCACUUUGGUUGAGACAUAGUUUAAUGCACAAAUCAAGUCUCUUCGAUCAGAUAAUGGAAUUGAAUUCCACAUGCCUCAAUUUUAUGCCUCAAAAGGUGUAGUUCAUCAACUGAGUUGUGUUGAAACUCCACAACAAAACUCAGUUGUUGAAAGAAAACACCAGCACAUUUUAAAUGUUGCCGAUCCCUUCGUUUUCAGUCUCAUCUACCUUUAUCAUUUUGGGGUGAUUGUGUUCUCACUGUCGUGCAUUUGAUCAAUAGGAUUCCUACUCCUGUCUUACAUAACAAAUCUCCUUAUGAAAUGUUGUUCCAAUCUCGUCCAUCUUAUUCCCAUUUAAGAGUCUUUGGUUGCCUCUGCUAUGCAACUACUCUCCUUAGACAUCGCCAGAAAUUUGACUCUAGAGCCAAACCUUGUAUAUUCCUUGGCUAUCCAUAUAACAUCAAGGGCUAUAAACUCUAUGAUUUACAUCUCAACACUGUCUUUGUCUCCCGAAAUGUUAUAUUCCAUGAAGCUGUAUUUCCUUUUUCCCUCAAACAUCAUAUCUCCUCUACUGAUUAUGUCCUUCCUUUACCUCUUACACUACCUGAAUCAGUAGCCCCAUCCCUUGAUCACAUGGAUUCAGCUUCUUUUCCUUUUCACACUAAUACUAGCUCACCCUCUAAUCCCAGUCCAUCUCCUCCCUUAAAUUCUGACUCAGCACCUCUUCUAGCAUCUCCUUCUGAGAUUAUUUCUCAGCCAUGCAGAAAGUCUUCUCGGAUAAAACACAAACCUGGAUAUUUGCAUGACUAUCAUUGUCAUAUUGCAACCUCCUCUUCAGAGCCUGCACCUUCUUCUUCAGUUUCAGGUAUUCCUCAUACAUUUUCCUCUGUCCUUUCUUAUGAUCAUCUAUCUCCUAAUCAGAAAUGCUUCAGUCUUUCUGUAUCUACCCUUGUUGAGCCUACUUCGUAUACUCAAGCUAUGUAUUCUAAGGAAUGGUGUGAGGCUAUGGACAAUGAGAUUAAAGCUCUUGAAUUGAAUAAUAUCUGGACUGUUGUUGAUCUCCCUGCUUCAAAACAUACUAUUGGCUGCAAAUGGGUCUACAAAGUUAAACUCAAAUCUGAUGGCACCUUAGAGAGGUAUAAGGCCAGGCUCGUUGCCAAGGGCUAUACUCAAUGUGAAGGACUGGACUAUUAUGACACUUUCUCCCCUGUGGCUAAGCUCACCACGGUGAGAACUCUUUUGGCAGUUGCUGCUGUCAAGCAUUGGCAUCUCCAUCAAUUGGAUGUUAACAAUGCAUUUCUUCAUGGCGAUUUAGAUGAAGAAGUCUACAUGUCCUUACCACCUGGUUUUGCUAAAAAGGGGGCGUCCAAAGUUUGCAAACUCCAUAAGUCACUCUAUGGUUUAAAGCAAUCUUCGCGGCAAUGGUUUGCCAAAUUUUCCUCUGCAUUGCUUGACUUUGGUUUCGUGCAGUCCAAGGCUGAUUACACUUUGUUUACUCGAUCAUUGGCAGAUUCCUUCAUUGCUAUCUUAGUCUGUAUUGAUGAUAUAGUUGUUGCCAGUGACAAUUCAGAUGCAGUUUCCACGUUUAUUCACUUGCUUAAUAACAAAUUUUAGCUUAAAGAUCUUGGACCAUUGAAGUAUUUCCUUGGUUUGGAAAUAGCUCGCAGUGAGCUUGGCUUAUCCGUCUGUCAGCGCAAGUAUGCCUUGGACAUCCUUGAGACUACUGGUUUGUUAGCUUCGAAACCAGCCAAAGUUCCAAUGGAUCCUAAUGUGAAAUUCUCUAAGGAUUCUGGACCACUCUUAGAUGAUCCUACCUCCUAUAGACGACUUAUUGGCCGACUACUCUAUCUCACCAUCAGUCGUCCUGACAUUUCUUUUGUUGUUCAGGUUUUAAGUCAGUUUAUGGAUAAGCCACGAGUUCCUCAUCUUGAUGCAGCUACUCAGGUCCUACGUUAUAUUAAAGCCUCUCCAGGUCAGGGACUAUUCUUUCCAGUCGCCUCUAGCCUACAACUUAAAACUUUUUGUGAUUCAGACUGGGCUGGUUGCUUGGAUUCUAGACGUUCAGUCAUAGGCUUCUGCGUCUUCCUUGAUAAUUCUUUGAUUUCUUGGAAAUCUAAGAAACAAACCACAGUCUCCCGAUCUUCUGCUGAAGAUGAGUAUAGAGCUAUGGCAUCCACAUGCUGUGAGAUUGUGUGGCUUCAAGCCCUUCUCCACGACUUGCAAAUUCCCCUCCAAACUGCUCUCCUUUACUGUGACAGUAAAGCUGCUCUUCAUAUUGCGGCCAAUCCGGUUUUCCAUGAGCGUACCAAACACAUUGACAUUGAUUGUCAUGUGGUUCGUGAGAAAAUUAUAUCCGGUGUUCUUCGUACUUUUCAUGUCUCCUCUCAACACCAAUUGGCUGACAUUUUUACGAAGGCUCUCCCUUCGUCCCUUUUUCACUUGUUACUAUCCAAAAUGAGUAUUCAUAAUAUCUACUCUCCUUAACAGUUCUUUUAUGAAUCUCAUCUUGAGGGGGCGUAUUGAAUAUACUCAGCACACUCAAGUCUGCUAAUGGAUGAAGUGCAGACAUUGCAUUGAGAAGACAUUGCACUGAUGAGCUGGGAAACUAAAGCUGCUAUAACAAGCUUAGCAGACGGUUAGAGUAGGCACAGCAGGUGGUUAGAUUCUGUUGUAAAGUCUGGUAUUCUGUUGUAAAAUCUGUUAUUUAUAACUGAUUCUGUUACUAUACUACAUGAAGGCUAUAAAUAUUGUAUCAGUUGAAUCAAUGAAUAAUAAGAAAAUCAGUUAAACAUUUUCGUUUCCAAUAUCAUGCUUAUCCAAUAUCAAUCGAAACCAGUAAACGUCCAUGAAUGUUCUAAAUCACUGUAGCAAUCUGGAAGCAGAAAAAUUCUUGAUAUGAAUUAUUCAUAAACAUGCAUGUUCUAAAUAAGGCUUUUGAAUCCUACGCUGUUAUGUCAUUGCAAUCCAAGUCCAUGGUUAUGAGGGAAAUGCUCUGUUUCUGGCACCGGCCUCGUCUUCGCUUCAUCGUUGCUACCCGUUUAAUACUGUAAGUGCUGUGAUAUGCCUCACCAUUUCUUGUAGGUGCGAGGUUGAUGUUCGACAGCUGCAUCAUUACGAGGAAUGAGUCGGUCUCGUUUGCAAGACUUGAAGAAAACAAGAAAGCUGACAGAGGGAGUUUGAAGAACAGCAAGGCAGUCUUAUUAUUCUAUGUGAUUUCUACGGUGCAUAUACAUAGUUUAUAUAAAAAAGAUCUUGUCUAAAUAAAUAAACGGACAGACUAGCAACUAAUCUUUAGGAUUUAAUUACAAAAACUACAAUCAAACUAAAUCUCUAAGAUAUGAUUUACAACUCAAGCUUUAAUUGUUUUGAUUCCGAAUCCUAACAAGACUAGCCACCAAAUUACAUCCAAAUUACAUAUUUGAUUUUUUUCUUUUCCAGUUGCAAUCUGCGGCGGCAUCCCAUUUCCAGGAGCUAAGCUUUAACAAGGUUGCUUAUUCACAUUACUAUUUUGCAUGCAUAAAUCUAUGCUAGAAAUAUUUGGAACUAAUUACUUUGCCAACGCUUCUGUUUGCAUGAUAACACUACCCAAAAGUAGGCAAGGAACAGAGCAUUAGAAUUGGUUGUGAAACGAGGACAGCCCCUGGUUGAUCCGAGUGAUGGAGAAAACGUGGAUGAUUGGAGUUCUCCCAUGGUUCUGAGGUCUUGAAAGAGUUCGACAGCGCCUGUUUUAUUCAAGAAGCUUUUGGUCUUCGUCACCAGGCAUGAGGUAUUUUAGUUGUAAGGAUUCCUAGCUUCUCAGAACUGGAGCUCUGAUACCAUAAAGAAAAUGAUAAUGCAAAUGUUUUCUGUAUUUUCUUUUUUCAAUAUUGCAAAGCUGUACGACAUAUAUAUGCAGUUUACAUACAAUCUGAUCCACCAUUCUAGGAGCUAUUCUGGGAUUAUCUUUGAUAAACUGUUAAGGAAUCGAAAUGUCAAAGCAACCGAUCUCUUCACGGCGAAAUGUACUUCACAUAAAAAGCGCACUCCUAAAUAAAUAAAUAAUGUGAAUACACUAAGAAAGGGUGAUUGAAGUAAAGAUGCAACAACUGCUGCAUGCAUUGGUUCUUUUUUUAUAGAUGUAACACCCAAACCUUGCAUCAAAACUAACCAAAAAAAAAAAACGCAAAUUAAGUGACUCGAAAAUAUGCCAUGUAUCGAAUAAAGCUAAUAAUAAAAAUAAAAUCAAAACACAACCAUGAAGGAAAACAGAAGCAGUACGAAAGAGGAAUCCAAUUCUCUGAAUCUGCCACUCUAGCGUUCUUCUCAUGUCAACCUCCACUUCGUAUCUCAUAAGGUAGCGAGAAUGUUUAUUCAAAACUUCACUGCAACAGAGAAACAUACAAAUAUUUUUUUUAUUUAAUGAAUCCGAAAGCGAAAGAAAAGACUAAUAAAAGGAAAUAGCACAGAAAAAAUAGCAUAAACUGUUGCACGUAAAACCUUAAGAUGUCAAAUGCAUAACUUACCUCAUGUUACUAGCUCCGUUGUUUAGUUUCUUCUUGCACCAUUCCUACGAGCAUUCUUCUUCGUUCUUCUUGCCUUCAGAUUCCAUAGAUCUUCAACCACUUUCAGAAACCAUGCUGGUUUUCUUGUUCUGAACACAACGUAUCCCAUUGUGACUCCAAACACAAACCCACUUCCAUACCCUAUUGCCACAGCUUUCCAUCCAAAUCCUUCUUCAAAGAAUUUUGAAUCAUCUCCAUCGUGAAAGUCUGAUGGCUGCAAUGGUGGUGCCUCGUCACUUUUGCAUUCUUUUGGCAUGGGGAAUCCACAUAAGCCCCAGUUUCCUUCAAAUGAGCUUGCAUUGAACGUGCUGAACUGCGUUCCCCCGGGUACGGGCCCCUUAAGGUGGUUAUGUGAAAGGUUUAUGACUGCAAGAAAUGUUAGAUGUGCCAACUGUACUGGAAUCCUUCCGGUAAGCAAAUUCGAAGACAAAUCUAAUGAUUCCAGAUUGGUCAACAUUCCUAAUGAUGAUUGAAUAUGGCCUGUAAGGGAAUUAUGAGAGAGGUUGAGUUGUAGAAGUGCUUUAAGCUUUCCGAUCUCCUUUGGAAUCUCUCCGGUGAAACUGUUGCUUGACAAAUCAAGUAUUCCAAGAGAGCUUUGGAUUUUCGGAAACUCAAUAUCAAACCCUUUCCAUGUCACUUUUAUGGAAUAGGCAUAGUCAGAGUAACUUCUUGCCAUCAUGGAAACUGAAUUUUGAUCAGAGACCAUCAUUGCUUCAAAACUAUUAAAAUACCAUGUUGGCAAUGAUCCACUCAAAUUAUUGUUGGAGAUGUCGAAAAUCCGUAAUUUGGAGAAGGAAUUAUUAGCAAACGAACCAUUCAUAAAACCCUGGAGCUUAUUGGACUUUAGGACAAGAACAUGCAGCUCUGGAAGCAUUUGAAGGAAAUAGGGGAAUGCACCCUCAAUCUUAUUGUUGCCAAGAUCAAGAACUUCCAACGAUGUGCAGUUGAUGAUAGACGAUGGUAUUUUCCCUUCCAAUUCAUUGCCAUUUAGGUUGAGAUAUCCCAAGCUAUUCCCUUUUGAAAAUGGUGAAAAGAUAGUUCCUUGAAGAUUAUUCAUGCCAAGAUUCAAAAUUGAGAGAGAUUUGCUAAAGUUCCCUAAACAUUGUGGUAUAAAACCACUGAAGCUGUUGUUGGACAAAUCAAGGAGUCGAAGGAAUUUAAGCUUGCAAAUAGAAGAAGAAAUUUCACCUGUUAAUUUAUUAUUGGAUGCAAGAGCAAGGACUUCCAGGUUCUCUUGUUUGAAAAUUGAACUUGGGAUUGGACCAUGCAAGUGGUUGUUUCUCAAAUCAAACAAUUUCAAAGAACAUACUGAUUUGAGAAGGGAUAGGUCCUACAAGUUGAUUACUAGAUAAACGUAAAUUUUCAAGGAGAGUCAGGUUACCUAAAAAAUCUGGAAUCCUACCUGAAAAAUUAUUGCCAUCAAGAUAUAAGGAUUGAAGUUGUACAAGGUUUUUAAGUGAUGAUGGAAUCUGACCACUUAAAUUAGUACCUGAGAGUUCUAAACGAGUGAGGUGUGUGAGAUAGCCGAUCAGGGUUAGAUUUGACCUUGUGAUAUUAGAGUUUUUGAGAGCCAAAACUUCCAACGACUUUAGAUUUGUGAAGAAGUCAUUUUCUAAAUAAACUGAAAUUCUAGUAUGAGAAAGACCCAAUAACCGGAGGCUCUUACUCACAUUGGAUGAAGGAAAAGAGCCAGUGAGGUCGUCGUUGUAUGUCAAAUCAAGUUCUUGAAGGUUUGGUAGGAGAAAGAUGUUACCUGGGAACUUCCCUUUCAAUCCACAACCCCAAAGGCCAAGACCUAACAAGGAUGAGGACAGAUUCGCCAAGGAAUUAGGUGUGACCAAAGGCAUAUUUACAUAACCCAAACGGAGACCUCCUAGCUUGGUUAGGUUUUGAAUAAUCUUGUCAAAAGAACUUGGUUCUACAUUCAAAUUGUCAUUGAAAGACAGAUCAAUUGAAACCAACUCAGUGAGUUGGCCAAGAUCAUCUGGAAUUGAACCUGUAAGAUUGCUGUAUCUAAGAUCCAAGUGCUGGAGGUGCUUAAAUUUUCUCACUGAGGAUGGGAAUUUUCCUUGCAAUCCACAUGAAUAGACUGUGAGUGAUGACAAAGAAGAAGACAGAUUCAUCAAGGAAUUGGGUGCAGCCAAUGACAUGUUCACCCAUUUCAGAUAGAGUUUUCUAAGCUGGGUUAGAUUUUGAACAAGCUUGUCAAAAGAAAUUGGUUCUAGACUUAGAUAGUCGUUUUCGUUUCCAGAGAGAGCAAGUGAAACCAACUCAGUGAGUUGCUCAAGAUCAUAUGGAAUUGGACCUCUAAGAUUGUUAUCUGCAAGAUUCAACUGCUGGAGGUGCUUAAACUUUCUCAUUGAGGAUGGGAAUUCUCCUUGCAAUCCACAGGAAAGGAGUUUGAGUGAUGACAAAGAAGAAGACAGAUUCAUCAAGGAAUUGGGUGUAACCAAUGACAUGUCUACUGCACUCAGAUCGAGUUCUCUAAGCUGGGUUAGAUUUCGAGCAAGCUUGGCAAAAGAAAUUGGUUCUAGACUUAGAUAGUCGAUUUCGUUUCCAGAGAGAGCAAGUGAAACCAACUCAGUGAGUUGCCCAAGAUCAUCUGGAAUUGAACCUGUAAGACUGUUUUUUCUAAGAUCCAACUGCUGGAGGUGCUUAAAUUUUCUCAUUGAGGACGGGAAUUCUCCUUGCAAUCCACACGAAUAGAGUAUGAGUGAUGACAAAGAAGAAGACAGAUUCAUCAAGGAAUUGGGUACAACCAAUGACAUGUUUACCCGACUCAGAUCGAGUUCUCUAAGCUGGGUUAGAUUUCGAACAAGCUUGUCAAAAGAAAUUGGUUCUAGACUUGGGUAGUAGUUUCCAGAGAGAUCAAGUGAAACCAAUUUGGAGAGAUGAGAGAUUUCCGACGGAACUUGACCUGCAAAGCCUGAGAAAUUUAGGUUAAGAUGUGUCAGAUUGGAGAACUGGCCAAAUGAAGAAGAAAUAUGAGAGCUUUGGAAAUCAUUGUCAGAGAGGUCGAGGUUUUGAAGAUGAUGCAGGGAGAAGAGAGAAUUAUUGGGAAGGAAGGUUCCGUGAAGCAGCAGUCUGUACCCUCUUUCCACGACUCUGUCUUGGGAUGCUGGCAACGAUAUGAAGCAGAGCUAUUAAUGGAAAAGGACUCUUUGAAUUGGAGCAAAGAAAGGCUUUGGUCAGGAGCACAGAGAUGAGAUGAAGAGGAGUAAUUUGAUGAAGAAAUUGUUGUGUGAAAAUGGAAGAGAAACAGAAUGGAAGAGAGAAAUUGAGAGAGGGACAGUGGUGAAAACCCCAUGUUGGCUGGCCUUACAGGAUUCGAAAGUAUAUUUGGAGUGUUGAGCGAAAGAUGAGAAAUAAAGAUUCGCAUUGGAACUAUUUAUACACAAACCAAUCAAGAUUGUGCUAUUCAAAUUAUUGUAGAUAUUGAAAGCGGACUUUUACAUGAAAAUAAUUAUAAUAAGAAAAAAAAAAAACAGUUUAUUAGCUUACGACGUGGUCUGUCCACUGGGAAACAUGAGUGGCCAUAAACAAAGAAAGGAAAGUUCAGCGUAGUCACGAAGUCCUUUUUCUUGACCCCAAAGUCUUCGUUUCUAGCAAGGGUUGUUUGAUAUUGAGGUUACUGUUAUGGUUAUGGUUUUAAAAAAAUUGUUUUAUAAAAAAUAUUUUUAGUUGAGGUUGGUUUGAAAAAAUAUAUGUUUUGUUAAAAUUGUGGUUGAAAUUGAGGUUGAACAAAAAAUAGUUUAAUGUGUUUGGUAAAAAAAUACUUUUCAAAUUGAGGUUAUAAAAUAAUUAAUAUAUAUAUAUAUAUUAAUGAUUUUUAAUUUAAAUAUUUUAGAUUUAACCACUGUUAUUAUAUUAUAAAAUAAAUAUAAAGAAUCAAAUAUUAUCUUUCAUUAAACUAUAUGCAAUGUCAUUACAAUACAAAUCUAUCAACAAGGACUAUAUUUUUCAUGUUUUAAGCGCGCAACAACAAAAACUGAAUUUUUUAUCAUUAAGUGAUCCUUUAAGUUAAUAAAACACAAUAAAAAAAUAAAAAACUGAAUUUCUUUAUAUGUUAUUAAAUAUAUAAAUAUUAGUUUUUCAAGUAAAACACAUUUUUAAAAAAAAUUUACAAUUUAUUAUGUACAAAAUUCAUUCGACAAAACUACAGAAAAAAAAUUUUUGAGCGUGCAAUAAAUUAAGUAAAAUAUUAUCAUGAAUAAAAUUGAGAUUACAAUACGAGUAAAUUUAAUUCACCUUAAACUAAUGUUUUUUAAAAAUAACAUUGUUCAUGUUCACAUGAAUAAUGCGAGUAAAAUCAAUUAAUUGCAUUAAUAUUUCAAGAAAAAAAAACUUCUUGCAAUGUUUUUUAAAAAAAAAAAAAAAAAAAAACUAUAAUCGUGCGAGUGAAUUAAUUCACUCGCACUGUUGCAACAGUGGAGCCAUGCUCCACUGUUCUGCUUUUGAAUCCUAUGAGAAGCAACAAAUUUUGCUGCUUCUCCAAAACAUGUGGCGCGGCUGAGAAUUUGAUGGGUCCCACCAUCAAAAAGCAGUUUUCUUUUGUUAACCAAACGGCAUUUGGUGUGGCUGCGGGUGAACCUCAAAAUUUGUUACCAAACGGGCACUAAGUGGGUGUUUGGUUUUGUGGUUGCAGGUGAGGUUCACCCGCAACCACAUAUUUUAGUGUUUGGUAAUAGGAAAAAAAAUGAUUUUCACUGGUGGGACCAUCAAUUUUAACGGCUGCGUCACAGGUUCGGAGAAGCAGCAUUUUGCUGCUUCUCAUGCUGAGAAUAACAUCAACAGUGGAGCCAUGCUCCACUGUUCAUUGACACAUUGAACAGUGGAGCCAUGCUCCACUGCGCACUGUUCGCUAAGUGAAUAUUUUUUUUUUAAAAAAAAAAACCAUGAAAAUGAGUUUAAAUUUUUUUUUUGUUUUUUUAAAAAUUAUAAUAACAUACCAUUUAUGAAAUUUGAUCGCAAUUCCAAUUAUGUUAUUACCAAGUCCGGCCCAGUUAAAAAAAAUUCAGUUUUUAUUUUUAUUUUAAUUGUGUUCUAUUUAAAAAAUUAAAAAGAGAUCGUUUGAUGACGUAAUAAAAGAUUCAGUUUUUGUUAUUGUGCGCUUAAGAAACCAUGAAAAAUAUAGUCCUUGUUGGAUAGAUUUCGCAUGUGAUGACAUUGCACAUAGUGUAAUGAAAUAAUAAAAAAUAUUUGAUAUCAAUAUUAUUUAUUUCAUGAUGUAAUAACAGUAGUUAAAUUUACAAUAUUUAAAUUAAAAAUCAUUAAUAUAAAUAUAUAUAUUUUUUAAUUAUUUUAUAACCUCAAUUUGAAAAGCAUUUUUAUUAACCAAACACAUUAAACUACUUUUUUUUUAACCUCAAUUUCAACCAUAAUUUUAACCAAACACCUAUUUUUUCAAACCAACCUCAACUAAAAGUACUUUUUAUAGAACAAUUUUUUUUUAAAUCACAACCACAAAAGCUACUGCAAUACCAAACACAUCCUAAAUGAUUUCCCCGCAAAUUAGUGGUGCUAAUAAUUAAUUUUAUAGAUACUGGAUGUGGAAUUUUACAUGAAAAUAUUUUUAGGGAAAAAGAAUUACGACUGCUUUACAUACUGACUUUAGUUUCCAAAAAGAAAUCGAGGCACAACAUUUUCAAUAGAAAGAAUUGUUUUUUAAUAAUUUACAAACGUAGUUAAUUCACAUCUUAGGUAUGUGGCCAUGCAUGAUUUAAGCACCAAAACGUAGAUAAAGUAUACAAGAAAUUACUGUGUCUAUUAUUGAAUACCCUUUUAAUGUUUUGAACUUAAACUGUGAGAUUAUUGAAUAGAUCAUCCAUUUCUCUUUGGAGUACUAUUAAUGACUAAAAUGCCAUUAAAAUAAUUAGCAUGUUACUACCUGCUCCAUUUUAAUGAUUUGAUUUGAAGUGGUAGUCCUAAAAGACGUUUCCAUAAUUCAAGUGCAAGCUAUUUAAUUUAUUUAUUUUAUUGUUGCUAGCGAACUCUUCUUUGUUUCUUUUUCAUGAGUUGCCUAUAGAGCAAACGGUUUUUUAUUGUAUAAUCUACGUUCACAAAUGAAGUGGCUCCAUGAUUUUUGUUGAGAGUAGAUAAUAUCCCUACAUUUACAUUUGCAGCAAGUUUUUGUGCCAGUCUUCGGUGCUGAAUAUGGAAUUGAAGAUUGAAUUAUUCAAUUAUAAAUAUUUCUGUACAAGUAGGUCCCUUAGUUGACUAAACAAUAGUGUUGGAAACACGGCAAUAUUAAUUUUUAUAAUUGAUAUUUUUUGUGGAAAUUAUUUCUUAAUAUUCAUAUAUAUAAUUCAUUAACAAUUUUGGGUAAAGAGACGUAAGGAUGAUAUCCCUUCAUAUUUACAUCUGCAGAAAGUGUAUGUGCUAAUAGAUACAGUUUGUGCUGUAAUUAGAAAUUUUUUUGUAGCUCGUCUGAUGGUCUGUCCUUUUCCUCCUUGACCUAACUUGGAAAUAAUGUCCAACAAUUACGUGUGGAAAUGAUGGAAUUGAAUGUUGAAUUAUUCAAUUGCAAAUAUUUCCAUACCAGUAGGUCCCUUAAUAUUUCCGUACCUCCUUGACUAUAAUGUGAAUCUCAGAAGCAGGCAUUGUCCCACCUCUGGACUUCGAGCAAAAGCUCUUGAAAAAAUUGGGAAUUGUAUAUGACUUAUUCCCUGGGAAACAUAAGUGGCCGUAAACAAAGAAUGGAAUGUACAGCGGAGUCACGGAACUAAACUACCAAAGUCUUUUAGGGGAAAUCACUUACGACUUGGUCUGUCCUUUUACUUGACCCCAAAGUCUUUGUUUCUGGUAAAUAAUUUUCCCGCAAAUUAAUUAAUCUUAUAGAUAUUGGAGGUGGGAUUUUACAUGAAAAUAUUAUUAGGGAAAAAAAUUGUGACUGCUUAAUGUGAAUGUUCAGAGAAGUUUUUCUAAAGUGUAUUUAGGAAUGGAAUUUAUGUGAAGCUUGCUUUACAUACUGAAUUUAAUUUCCCAAAAAAAAAAAAAAUCCGACCACAAAAUUUUUCAAUAAUUUACAAACGUAGUUAAUUCACAUCUUAGGUAUGUGGCCAUGCUUGAUUUAAGCACCAAAACGUAGAUAAAGUAUACAAGAAAUUACUGUGUCUAUUAUUGAAUAGAUCAUCCAUUUCUCUUUAGAGUAAUAUUAAUGCAUAUAAAUCUCAUAAUAUUCUUUAUAUUUAUGUUAGCUGUAUAGCAUCUCAAGGGCUUUUUUCUAUUUGAAGGUUUUAUUAUUAUUGCAUUCUACCUCAAAAUCAAUAAAACUUUGAUUAUUAUAUAUAUAUAUAUAUAUAAAAUCAUAUUAAAUCAUUAUUGUUCACAACUUUGUGUACCCAUCGAGCAAAUCGGAUGUGUCCAAUUGGAGAGAUAAAAUUAUGGAAGGAAAAAUAUUGGAAACCAAAUAUAGAAGAUAAAAAACUGAUCCUUUAGUCAAAUAAAAUACGUUCUAGCAAAUUCCUCAAGUGAUUUUAAAUCUAAGAGCAACCUAUUUAAUUAGAAUAUUUCAUUUAUAUUUUUUAGUAGAGAUUCCUAAUGACAUUUUUUCUUGAACAAGUGAUUUCUCGGCACUCCUCAAAUAAUUUCUAGCCUGACAGACAAACAAACAAAUAAAUCACUUAAAAUUCUCAAACAAUUAUAUAUAUAUCACAGUUAAUUACUUUUUGACAUUUUUUAUCACAUUUUAUUUAUUUAUUUAUUUAUUUUAUAAGUUGGUGAUUAUUUUUUAUAGAAUGUUUACGCACAUAUUGAAUAGAUAUGAACGUCAAUUACCUCACAAAGGGUGUAAGCAAAGGGGAAAAAAAAGAACAAAAAAAGAGGAAAAGUAAAUACUUGAGAUAUAUAAAAUAUGACUAAAAUGACUAAAAUGAGAAACCCUAUGUCAAACUAUCGCUUUAUAUUAUUUUAAAUGACUAAAAUGCCAUUAUAAUAAUUAGCAUGUUACUACAUUUUAAAUGAGUUUAUGAUUUGAAUUGGUAGUCCUAAAAGUUCUUUCUUUUUUCAAGUCUGUCCCUUUCAUUGACCUUCAAGUCUCCGCAACUAAUUAAAAUAUAGUGUCAAACAAGUGGCGCAAAACAUGGGGCUGAAGGUUUAAUUAUUGAAAACUUCAAUAUUUCCAAGUGUUGGAAACACCGCAAUAUAUAUUAGUUUGCAGGAUAAUUUUUGUAAUAUUGGGCUUUUGUUGCGGAGUAAUUGAUUAAUUCAAGUGUUUUUUAUUUAAGAAUAUAUUAAAAUAAUAUUUUUUAUUUUUUAAUAAUUAUUUUUAAAAUCAGUAUAUUAAAAUGUUACUACAUUUUAAAUGAGUUUAUGAUUUGAAUCGGUAGUCCUAAAAGUUCUUUCUUUUUUCAAGUGUGUCCCUUUCAUUGACCUUCAAGUCCCCGCAACUAAUUAAAAUAUAGUGUCAAACAAGUGGCGCAAAACAUGGGGCUGAAGGUUUAAUUAUUGAAAACUUCAAUAUUUCCAUACAAGUGUUGGAAACACGGCAAUAUAUAUUAGUUUCCAGGAUAAUUUUUGUAAUAUUGGGCUUUUGUUGCGGAGUAAUUGACUGUUUGAGAUUACUGAUAGUAGUUAUGAAUUAAAGUGUUUUUUAUUUAAAAAUAUAUUAAAAUAAUAUUUUUUAUUUUUUAAUAAUUAUUUUUAAGAUCAGCACAUUAAAAUGAUUUAAAAAAUAAUUUUUAGAGAAUUUUAUUUUUGAAAUUUAAGGGAAUGCGGUUUCAAUCGCGUUCCCAAACGAUAAAUGUUUGGAAAUAUAGUUGUGGUUACUUUUCAAAGUGUUUUUCACUUGAAAAUGUAUCAAAAUAAUAUUUUUUUUUUAAAAUAUUAUUUUUGAUAUUAGUGCAUCAAAAUGAUCUUAAAAAAAAAAAAAUUUCUUUUUCAAAAACACUUUUAAAAUACAAAAACAAACAAAACCUCUAAAUCAUAUACAUAAUAAGAAUAUGCAAUGAGUUUUUUUUCUUAAUGAAAUACGAGAGAUUUAUUCGAUCACUAUUAUAGCCAUUAAAAACAUAGCUUAAUAGAUAGAAAGAAGAGCACUGAAAAACUCAGAAGAGUGAGAAAACUUACUAGCACAACUAAAUCCACAACUAAGUCAUUUUCUCUAAGAACUCUUGCUUGACUAAAUGAUCUGCAACAAUAUUAUUUCUUGUAUAUAAUUUUUCAAAAAAAAAAAAUGAACACACAAGAUUCUCAAAAGGAUGAAUUUUCUUUAGUAAUUUACACGUAUAGUUAAUUCACAGCUUAGGCAAAUGGCAAGAUUCCUCGAUUAAAUAAUAUUUUAUUUCAUUAAUAAAUUUUCAUCAUACCAAGGGAAUUAAUUUGUAGAUGUUUAAUUGUAUUGUAAUUUUUCGACUUCAAAGAUUUUGAGAAUACUCCAAUUGCAUAACUUGGAAAUUCUAGGGUUCUAUCGUGGAAAUGGAGGAUUACAAAAAAGGUUUUAGGGAUGAGCUUUUUGCACCAAAGGCUGCACCUUCCAGCUAUAAAGAUGGAUUUCCAAGGUUUGAUAACAGCCAUUUAAAUAGCUUUUAGACCGACAAUUACAUGAAAGGAAAAAUUAGAAUUUCAAAACUGGUGGGAUAAGUAAUAUAAAAUCUAAAAUUACGUUAAAAAUUCAAAAUUCUACGCCUGAUUUGAAGUCCUUACCGAAGAAGUGGGCGAAGCCAGCGCUCCUAAAUAAAUUUGAGCGUGUUUUAACUGUCAUAUAAAAAGUUACAGUUUAUUUAUUUUUAUAACUAUAGGUAUUCGAGCUGGUUUGUCCAUACCUCAACUAAUUUCACGGGUUUUGAAGUUAAUAAACAUAUAAGUCUCUAGUAGUCCUAAGAUUUGUAAGAUUUGAACUGGUGAUCUCUAAAGAGCAAACUUAAAACUUGACCAAUUAAAUUACACCCUUCAAAAUUAAUUAUAGUCUAUUUUAUUAUACAGGUCAUUUAGCGCGAUGAGAUCACUUAUUGAGUUUAAAUUAAUUUGUCUAUAUGAUCCAAUAAAAUAUUUGCUAGGUUAUUUAUAUUGUCCAACUGAGAUAGAUUUGUAUCCAAUUGAUCACAUCCUCCUGCAUCAAAGAUUAUUACAUGGCUAAUAAUCAAUAAUGUACAAUCUCUCAAACUAUAUCGUGCAAUUAUUGAGGUAUCCAUAGACAUCUUAAUUUAAUUAAAUCGAAGUAUGAGGAAAUAAAGUUGUUAUGGUUGUCUCUCAUGGAAUUAAAAAGCUAAUCCUAAAAGGUGUAAUUUAACUAGUUAGAUUCUAAAUUUUUUUUUUAGGUCACCAGUUAAUUCAAGUUCUACAAAACUUAUGGCCACUAAAAACAUAAAUAAUCGUUAAUUUUAGGGUCCAUAAAAUUAAUUGAAAUACAUACAAAUUAACCCGGACACCAAAGUUAAUAAUAAUAAUAAUAAAAAAAAGCUUGUACAUAAGUUUUCACUCUGUUCCUGGUUUAUUAAAUCUCUUGUCAUGACCUAUUUCAUUGGUGGCUCGCCCCAUGCAAUUAAUAUUCAUGUGGAUUAUCCAAAGUAGCAUUUGAAUUCUGUAAAUUAACUUCCUUUUUGUUCAAUUUCCUAUGUCUUUAAAAUUUUGUUAUGGACAUAAGCCUAAUUAAGUAGACAACAUUGUAGUUUCGAUAUGCCAUAAUUUUUAUCUGAAUGUCCGAUUGAGGCUUGUGAAAACAAUGUAAAAAAAGAGAGAGAAGGGAAUUGAACUAGUUUGAAGAGUUUGAUUUAUGUAAUUCAUAAUCAAAAUCUGGAAUUAGCUAGAUUUGAAGCAAAGUGUGCUACGUACAAUGGCUAAUUUUAUCCUGAAAAUUCCCAUUUUGACCUGUGAGGCUAAGGCAAAUGAAACAGUUGCUAAUAAACAUUUCAUCCAUAGUUUUGAAACCCAGCCCAACACGGUAGGUCAACCCGUGAUCCGGAUGAUCCAGGGCUGUAAUAGGACCGGGUUGAAGAAAAAACAAAAGAAAAAAAAAUCUGGUGUAACCUGGUGGGCUGGUCAAGACCCGGCCUUAAACUCGUUGACUUUUAUUUUAUUUUUAUUUUUGUUUUAUUAAAACGACGUUGUUUUGAUUUUAAAAAAAAUGCCUUGGAUCGGGCCGGCCACCAAGCCGGGUCUUAAAAAUAUGAUUUCAUCUAACAUAUACACAUAAUUAAAGCAAAACAUUCAUGACUCUUUGGCAGAAUGUCGAUAGUUACUGGCCUUAGAGAGCAUAUUGUUAGAACCACUUAGGUGGAGAUUAGUGGUUCGGUCUAUGCCAUUAAGGUUACAGAAAAACCAUGCUUAGAGGUUAAUUCAAGUAGGGUUGAUAAAAAGAAGGUUGUGGAAAAUUGGGCUGGGAAGUUGAAUCCUUCCAACUUUGAUACUUUAGAAUCCUCCCAACAUGAUUCUCUCAAAUCAUCAUAUGCUGCUGCUGAGUAAUUUUGUUCUGAGGAGCCAAUGGAAGCUGGAAUACAUGGAGCAAAAAUUGAUGACACGAAUGAGACUGCUGUAUGUAGCCAUGGUAUGGAUAGGGAAUUCUCUUUUUGUGAUCCUGGGUGAACAUGUACUGCCUGAAAGAAUUAACAAGAAGGGUACUUUGAAUGUUGAUUUGCUUUCUCCAGAGAAGGGUUCUUUGAGGAAAUCUGUUGCUGAGGAGACAGAAACAACCGAUACCGACCCGAUAAAUGCAACGCUGCACUAACAAGCUUCCCUGCUACCAUAGCUGCUAUAAAAAGCAAUGGAGUCCAAAUUGUUGAAAAGCAGUCAGAGGAAAAUUUAAAUAUUGAUGGUGGGCUUAUCUCUAAUGCUUAUAUGGAUGAGUGGAGGAAUGGAUCACAGUGUAUUGGGCUAGAGGAAAACACACUCUCAAUAGUUCCAGUUAACACACAUGAGCCUCUGUUAACUACUUACUAUAAGGCUUCGGACCAACAACUGAUCUCAUUCAUGCUUAAAUGGCCCGGUGAAAUAUAAUAAAAACAAGAUGUUUGAGGUCUUCAUCACACCUAUAGCAGAACCAGAGGAGGUAGCUGAACUAGAGAAGGAAAAGAAGAGAAGUUCGAACAAAAGAAAGAAGAAACUUUCCUUAAAAUCAGCAACUCGUAAGGGGAGAACAUCAAGAAGUAGAAAAGAGAAGUCUGCUAACCUGGAAGAGUGAACUUUAGCAAUUAGAUCGACAAGGGGAAUCAAGAAAUGGAUUCCAGAUGGCAGCGUCUUCAAGUACUUUCCAAAUCUCUGUACGACAAACGCUUUCUUCUCCGGCACAAUCCGUACCCCCCAAUUCACAGGUGGCGUAAUCUCAUAACUAAUUAAUUAUAAUAAAUUAAUAAAAAAAAAUGGAAGAAAGACAGGGAGGGAAUGGGGAAUGAAUGUACCUGGUGAAGGGGUCGCGGCCGGUGCUGAGGAGGCGGACGGAGAUGGUGGAGGAGAGAGGAGAGGAAAGGCGGUUGUUUUGGGCUAAGUGAAAAGAAGGGGGUUUAAAUAAGGGAGAAUUGGAGGAGGGAGCGAGGAGGGUUCUGCCUCUGGAAGCGGUGGAAGCCGAUAAGGAGGAGAGGUGGUGGGAGGUUCUUACGGCGUUGUUGAGUAAUAAAUGACUCCUCCUCCUCCACAUUUUUCCGUCUCUCUUUGUUGUUGCUGUUGAAAAACCCUUGGCCUCCUUAAUUAUCGAACCCUCCCUCACUCUCACACUCUUCACUCUGAUCUGCUCUGCUGACCCUCUCCCCAAGUCACCCUCUCUCUUUUGUUCCCCCUCUGCCCACUCAAAUAAUUUAUUUUCCGAAGUUGUAAUUGACAGUGUGUGGUGGGUGGGUUUUGUUUUAGGCCCGACGUUUUAUAAUGGGCCUGUCUUUUUUUUCUUUUAGAGUUUUUGUUAAAGAAUUGAGAAAAUCGAGACUAAUAAUCUCUGAACAUGAAGAACAAUGAGAGAACGGCAUGAUUUUUAUAAUUUUAAUUUUAAUUUCUUAAGUUAGAGAGCUUAGAUUUAUAUAAAAGUGAGGUUUUACAAUUCAUGAAUAAUAAGACAAUUUAAUCAUAUUUAAUCAGAAAAACAAUAGGAUUAGAGGAUAAAAAGUAAUCCAAAUUACUUUGAUUGUUCGAACAAAUUCGGGUAGUAAAUUUCUUAAAGUUUCGGAGAAGAGGUAAUUCAGAGAGAAUUACCUCACAUUUAUUUGAGAUAAUUCAUUUAAAAUUCAAAAAUUUAAAUCAUCCAAAUUAUAAUUCUAAUUUAUUUGUAAGGUUUUAGAAAUAAUGAGAUUGAAAUUUUUCUUAGUAAAAAAUUUCUUGAGCCUAGUUUUAUUAAUCCAUAUUUUAAUGAAUUUCUUAUAAAAACUUAAUGGGGAAAUGGUAACAAUAGUAUUAAUUUUGGAUUACCUGAUUUUUUCAAAAUAGGGUUUAUACAUACUGCUAUAAAUUGAUAAUAAUAUUUGCAUCUCAGAAACAUAGAAACAUUUGAUCGUAAAUCUUCUGUUACUUUUGUGUUGCAUUAAUUACUGCUUGGAUCGACACGAAGGUAAAGAGCUAAGCAAGUUAGCUAGUAAUUUAACCGAUAAUAAUUAAGUAUUAAAGUGUUAAUCAAGAAAAAAAACAUUUCUAGUUUGAAUCUUAUCACUUGGAUUUCCCAACCCAACUUACAUAUAAGUAUGUGAUUGAUUAAAACUCUCGAGUUGAUAAAUUUUUGACCGUGAUUUAGCUCUCGAAAGUGAUCACUCACCCGUAGGCUAUGUCAGGAGUGAGUGCUUGCUAUGGAUAUAAGAAGAAGAAAAAAAAAAACGAAGGUAUGGAGCUCUACGUAUCCUUGUUAUUAGUAAAGGUUAUAUUCAUGUGGAAAAGUGGUUAUCUCUUACAUGAACUUUGGUGCUCCCUUCAAAAGACUGAAGAAUUUGAAAGUAGAAUGCAAAUGUGAUUCAUAUGUGCUACCGGCGAAUAUCUCAACCUUCUUACGUGAUGCUGAAUACAUAAAAAUGGGAGAACGAAGCGAAGAAGGAAUCGUAGGUAAGUACAUUUUCAUAAUUUUAUUUCUAUUUGCAGUCUGAAUCUUAAUUGAUUUUCGUUGAUUGUUAAUAUUCUCAAUCAAUUUCAUUGCUUAAUCUCGUUUGCCGUAUUCAUGCUUAUCCAAUAACAAUCGAAACCAGUAAACGUCCAUGAAUGUUCUAAAUCACUGUAGCAAUCUGGAAGCAGAAAAAUUCUUGAUAUGAAUUAUUCAUAAACAUGCAUGUUCUAAAUAAGGCUUUUGAAUCCUACGCUGUUAUCUCAUUGCAAUCCAAGUCCAUGGUUACGAGUGAAAUGCUCUGUUUCUGGCACCGGCCUCGUCGCUUCAUCGUUGCUACCCGUUUAAUACUGUAAGUGCUGUGAUAUGCCUCACCAUUUCUUGUAGGUGCGAGGUUGAUGUUCGACAGCUGCAUCAUUACGAGGAAUGAGUCGGUCUCGUUUGCAAGACUUGAAGAGAACAAGAAAGCUGACAGAGGGAGUUUGAAGAACAGCAAGGCAGUCUUAUUAUUCUGUGUGAUUUCUACUGUGCAUAUACAUAGUUUAUAUAGAAAAGAUCUUGUCUAAUAAGUAAACUGACAGACUAGCAACUAAUCUUUAGGAUUUAAUUACAAAAACUACAAUCAAACUAAAUCUCUAAGAAAUGAUUUACAAAUCAAGCUUUAAUUGUUUUGAUUCCGAAUCCUAACAAGACUAGCCACCAAAUUACAUCCAAAUUACAUAUUUGGUUUUUUUUUUUUUCCAGUUGCAAUUUGCGGCGGCAUCGCAUUUCCAGAAGCUAAGCUUUAACAAGGUUGCUUAUUCACAUUACUAUUUUGCAUGCAUAAAUCUAUGCUAGAAAUAUUUGGAACUAAUUACUUUGCCAACGCUUCUGUUUGCAUGAUAACACUACCCAAAAGUAGGCAAGGAACAGAGCAUUAGAGUUGGUUGUGAAACGAGGACAGCGCCUGGUUGAUCCGAGUGAUGGAGAAAAAGUGGAUGAUUGGAGUUCUCCCAUGGUUCUGAGGUCUUGAAAGAGUUCGACAGCGCCUGUUUUAUUCAAGAAGCUUUUGGUCUUCGUCACCAGGCAUGAGGUAUUUUAGUUGUAUGGAUUCCUAGCUUCUCAGAACUGGAGCUCUGAUACCAUAAAGAAAAUGAUAAUGCAAAUGUUUUCUGUAUUUUCUUUUUUCAAUAUUGCAAAGCUGUACGACAAAUAUAUGCAGUUUACAUACAAUCUGAUCCACCAUUCUAGGAGCUAUUCUAGGAUUAACUUUGAUAAACUGUUAAAGAAUCGAAAUGUCAAAGCAACCAAUCUCUUCACGGCGAAAUGUACUUCACAUAAAAAGCGCACUCCUAAAUAAAUAAAUAAUGUGAAUACCCUAAGAAAGGGUGAUUGAAGUAAAGAUGCAACAACUGCUGCAUGCAUUGGUUCUUUUUUUAUAGAUGUAACACCCAAACCUUGCAUCAAAGUUAACCAAAAAAAAAACACGCAAAUUAAGUGACUCGAAAAUAUUCCAUGUAUCGAAUAAAGCUAAUAAUAAAAAUAAAAUUAAAACACAACCAUGAAGGAAAACAGAAGCAGUACGAAAGAGGAAUCCAAUUCUCUGAAUCUGCCACUCUAGCGUUCUUCUCAUGUCAACCUCCACUUGGCAUCUCAUAAGGUAGCGAGAAUGUUUAUUCCAAACUUCACUGCAAUAGAGAAACAUACAAAUAAUUUUUUUUAUUUAAUGAAUCCGAAAGCGAAAGAAAAGACUAAUAAAAGGAAAUAGCACAGAAAAAAUAGCAUAAACUGUUGCACGUAAAACCUUAAGAUGUCAAAUGUUUGCAUAACUUACCUCAUGUUACUAGCUCCGUUGUUUAGUUUCUUCUUGCACCAUUCCUACGAGCAUUCUUCUUCGUUCUUCUUGCCUUCAGAUUCCAUAGAUCUUCAACCACUUUCAGAAACCAUGCUGGUUUUCUUGUUCUGAACACAACGUAUCCCAUUGUGACUCCAAACACAAACCCACUUCCAUACCCUAUUGCCACAGCUUUCCAUCCAAAUCCUUCUUCAAAGAAUUUUGAAUCAUCUCCAUCGUGAAAGUCUGAUGGCUGCAAUGGUGGUGCCUCGUCACUAGUGCAUUCUUUUGGGAUGGGGAAUCCACAUAGGCCCCGGUUUCCUUCAAAUGAGCUUGCAUUGAACGUGCUGAACUGCGUUCCCCCGGGUACGGGCCCCUCAAGCUGGUUAUGUGAAAGGUUUAUGACUGCAAGAAAUGUUAGAUGUGCCAACUGUACUGGAAUCCUUCCGGUAAGCAAAUUCGAAGACAAAUCUAAUGAUUCCAGAUUGGUCAACAUUCCUAAUGAUGAUGGAAUAUGGCCUGUAAGGGAAUUAUGAGAGAGGUUGAGUUGUUGAAGUUCUUUAAGCUUUCCGAUCAUCUUUGGAAUUUCUCCGAUGAAACUGUUGUUUGACAAAUCAAGUAUUCUAAGAGUGCUUUGGAUUUUCUCGAACUCAUACUCAACCCCUUUCCAUGUCACUUUCAUGGAAUAGUCCAUCAUGUAAAAUGAAUUUUGAUCAGAGGCCAUCAUUGCUUCAAACAUAUUGAAAUACCCUAUUGGUAAAGGUCCCCUCAAAUUAUUGUUGGAGAUGUCAAAGAUUUGCAAUUUGGAGAAGGAAUUAUUAGCAGUCGGAUCAUUCACAAAACCAUGGAGCUUAUUGGACUUUAGGACAAGGAUAUACAGCUCUGGAAGCGUUUCUAGAAAAUAGGGAAAUCUGUCCUCAAUUUUAUUGUCACUAAGAUCAAGAACUUGUAGCAUUGUGCAGUUGAUGAUAGACGAUGGUAUUUUCCCUUCCAAUUCAUUGCCAUUUAGCUUGAGAUAUACCAGGUUAUUCCCUUUUGAAAAUGGUGAAAAGAUAGUGCCUUGAAGAUUAUUCAUGCCAAGAUUUAAAAGUGAGAGAGAGUUGCUAAAGUUCCCUAAACAUUGUGGUAUAAAACCAUUGAAGCUGUUGUUGGACAAAUCAAGGACUCGAAGGAAUUUAAGCUUGCAAAUAGAAGAAGAAAUUUCACCUGUCAAUUUACUGUUGGAUGCAAGAACAAGGGCUUCCAGGUUCUCUUGUUUGAAAAUUGAACUUGGGAUUGGACCUUGCAAGUGGUUGUUUCUUAAAUCAAACAAUUUCAAUGAACGAGUACUGAUUUGAGAAGGGAUAGGUCCUACAAGUUGAUUACCAGAUAAACCUAAAUUUUCAAGGAGGUCAUGUUACCUAAAAAAUCUGGAAUCCUACCUGACAAAUUAUUGCCAUCGAGAUAUAAGGAUUGAAGUUGCACAAGGUUUUUAAGUGAUGAUGGAAUCUCACCACUCAAAUUGUUAUUGGCAAGGUCUAACCGAGUCAGCUGUGUGAGAUAACCAAUCAGGGUUAGAUUUGACCUUGUGAUAUUACAGUCUCUGAGAACCAAAUCUUCCAGCAACUUUAGAUUAUUGAAGAAGUCAUUUCCUAAAUAAACUGAAAUUCUCGUACGAGUGAGACCCAAUAACCAGAGGACAUUACUCACAUUGGAUGAAGGAAAAGAGCCAGUGAGGUUGUCGUUGUAUGUCAAAUCAAGCACUUCAAGGUUUGGUAGGAGAAAGAUGUUAUCUGGGAACCUCCCUUGCAAUCCACAACCCCAAAGAGCAAGAGCUGACAAAGAUGAUGACAGAUUCGCCAAGGAAUUAGGUAUGACCAAAUCCAUAUUUACAUAACCCAAACGGAUACCUCUUAGCUUGGUUAGGUUUUGAAUAGUCUUGUCAAAAGAACUUGGUUCUACACUCAAAUAAGCAUUGAAAGAGAGAUCAAUUGAGACCAACUCAGUGAGUUGCCCAAGAUCAUCUGGAAUUGAACCUGUAAGAUUGUUUUUUCUAAGAUCUAACUUCUGGAGGUGCUUAAACUUUCUCAACGAGGAUGGGAAUUUUCCUUGCAAUCCACAGGAAUAGAGUACAAGUGAUGACAAAGAAGAAGACAGAUUCAUCAAGGAAUUGGGUACAACCAAUGACAUGUUCACCCACCACAGAUGGAGUUCUCUAAGCUGGGUUAGAUUUUGAACAAGCUUGUCAAAAGAAAUUGGUUCUAGACUUAGAUAGUCGUUUUCGUUUCCAGAGAGAGCAAGUGAAACCAACUCAGUGAGUUGCUCAAGAUCAUAUGGAAUUGAACCUGUAAGAUUGUUAUCUGCAAGAUCCAACUGCUGGAGGUGCUUAAAUUUUCUCAUUGAGGAUGGGAAUUUUCCUUGCAAUCCACAUGAAUGGAGUACAAGUGAUGACAAAGAAGAAGAUAGAUUCAUCAAGGAAUUGGGUUCAACCAAUGACAUAUUCACCCACCUCAGAUAGAGUUCUCUAAGCUGGGUUAGAUUUUGAACAAGCUUGUCAAAAGAAAUUGGUUCUAGACUUAGAUAGUCGUUUUCGUUUCCAGAGAGAGCAAGUGAAACCAACUCAGUGAGUUGCCAAGAUCAUCUGGAAUUGACCUGUAAGAUUGUUAUCUGCAAGAUCCAACUGCUGGAGGUGCUUAAACUUUCUCAUUGAGGACGGGAAUUCUCCUUGCAAUCCACAGGAAAGAGUUUGAGUGAUGACAAAGAAGAAGACAGAUUCAUCAAGGAAUUGGGUUAACCAAUGACAUGUCUACUGCACUCAGAUCGAGUUCUCUAAGCUGGGUUAGAUUUCGAGCAAGCUUGGCAAAAGAAAUUGGUUCUAGACUUAGAUAGUCUUUUAAGCCCCCAGAGAGAUCAAGUGAAACCAAUUUGGAGAGCUGAGAGAUUUCCGACGGAACUUGACCUGCAAAGACUGAGUAAUUUAGGUUAAGAUGUGUCAGGUUGGAGAGCUGACCAAAUAGAGAAGAAAUAUGGGAGCUUUGGAAAUCAUUGUCAGAGAGGUCGAGGUUUUGAAGAUGAUGCAGGGAGAAGAGGGUGCUAUUGGAAUGGAGGGUGCCAUAAAGCAUGCUGCAAGCAAGGUCCAGUCCAGUGACAUGCCCUGUUUUCAUGUCACAGGUGAUGCCAUCCCACAAGCAGCAGUCUGUACCCUCUUUCCACGACUCUGUCUUGGGAUGCUGGCAACGCCCUGAAGCAGAGCUACUAAUGGAAAAGGACUCUUUGAAUUGGAGCAAAGAAAGGCUUUGGUCAGGAGCACAGAAAUGAGAUGAAGAGGAGUAAUUUGAUGAAGAAAUUGUUGUGUGAAAAUGGAAGAGAAACAGAAUGGAAGAGAGAAAUUGAGAGAGGGACAGUGGUGAAAACCCCAUGGUGGCUGGGCUUACAGGAUUCGAAAGUAUAUUUGGAGUGUUGAGCGAAAGAUGAGAAAUAAAGAUUCGCAUUGGUACUAUUUAUACACAAACCAAUCUACGUUCACAAAUGAAGUGGCUUUAUGAUUUUUGUUGAGAGUAGAUAAUAUCCCUGCAUUUACAUUUGCAGCAAUUUUCAUUUGGUCCUGAAUAUGGAAUUGAAGGUUGAGUUAUUCAAUUGCAAAUAUUUCCGUACAAGUAGGUCCCUUUGUUGACUAAACAAUAGUGUUGGAAACACGGCAAUAUUAAUUUUUAUAAUUGAUAUUUUUUGUGGAAAUUAUUUUUUACUAUUCAUAUAUAUAUAGUUCAUUAACUAAUGAAGUAUUGAUCUAGCGAUUAAGAAGGUACCGCUAGGGGCAAGGGUGAGAACACAAGUUCGUUUUUCAAGGAGCAUAUUUGUUGGGAGGGACAACUAUAAAUCCCGAACGGGACUAAUCUCAUCCUUUUGCAUGAGUUGUCUAUAGAGGAAACGAUUUAUUAUUUUAUAAUUUACUGGCUCCAUGAUUUUUGUUGAGAGUAGAUAGUAUCCCUACAUUUACAUUUGCAACAAGUUUAUGUGCCAAUCUUCAUUUGGUGCUGAAUAUGGAAUUGAAGGUUGAAUUAUUCAAUUGCAAAUAUUUCUAUACAAGUAGGUCCCUUAGUUGACUAAACAAUAGUGUUGGGAACACGACAAUAUUAAUUUUCAUAAUUGAUAUUUUUUGUGGAAAUUAUUUUUUACUAUUCAUAUAAAUAGUUCAUUAACUAAUGAAGUAUUGGUCUAGCGAUUAAGGCACCGCUAGGGGCAAGGGUGAGAACACAAGUUCGUUUUUUAGGGAGCACAUUUGUUGGGAGGGACAACUAUAAAUCCCAAACGGGACUAAUCUCACCCUUUUGCAUGAGUUGUCUAUAAAGGAAACGAUUUAUUAUUUUAUAAUUUACUGGCUCCAUGAUUUUUGUUGAGAGUAGAUAAUAUCCCUACAUUUACAUUUGCAACAAGUUUAUGUGCCAAUCUUCAUUUGGUGCUGAAUAUGGAAUUGAAGGUUGAAUUAUUCAAUUGCAAAUAUUUCUAUACAAGUAGGUCCCUUAGUUGACUAAACAAUAGUGUUGGAAACACGGCAAUAUUAAUUUUCAUAAUUGAUAUUUUUUGUGGAAAUUAUUUUUUACUAUUCAUAUAAAUAGUUCAUUAACUAAUGAAGUAUUGGUCUAGCGAUUAAGGCACCGCUAGGGGCAAGGGUGAGAACACAAGUUCGUUUUUCAGGGAGCACAUUUGUUGGGAGGGACAACUAUAAAUCCCAAACGGGACUAAUCUCACCCUUUUGCAUGAGUUGUCUAUAAAGGAAACGAUUUAUUAUUUUAUAAUUUACUGGCUCCAUGAUUUUUGUUGACAGUAGAUAAUAUCCCUACAUUUACAUUUGCAACAAGUUUAUGUGUCAAUCUUCAUUUGGUGUUGAAUAUGGAAUUGAAGGUUGAAUUAUUCAAUUGCAAAUAUUUCUAUACAAGUAGGUCCCUUAGUUGACUAAACAAUAGUGUUGGAAACACGGCAAUAUUAAUUUUCAUAAUUGAUAUUUUUUGUGGAAAUUAUUUUUUACUAUUCAUAUAUAUAGUUCAUUAACUAAUGAAGUAUUGAUCUAGCGAUUAAGGCACUGCUAGGAGUAAAGGUGAGAACACAAGUUCGUUCUUUAGGGAGCACAUUUAUUGGGAGGGACAACUAUAAAUACCGAACAGGACUAAUCUCACCCUUUUGCAUGAGUUGUCUAUAGAGGAGACGAUUUCUUAUUUUAUAAUUUACUGGCUCCAUGAUUUUUGUUGAGAGUAGAUAAUAUCCCUACAUUUACAUUUGCAGCAAGUUUAUGUGUCAAUCUUCAUUUGGUGCUGAAUAUGGAAUUGAAGGUUGAAUUAUUCAAUUGCAAAUAUUUCUAUACAUGUAGGUCCCUUAGUUGACUAAACAAUAGUGUUGGAAACACGGCAAUAUUAAUUUCCAUAAUUGACAUCGGCAAUAUUAAUUUUCAUAAUUGAUAUUUUUUGGAAAUUAAUUAUUUCUUACUAUUUAUAUAUAUAGUUCAUUAACAAUUUUAGGUAAAGAUACGUAAAGAUGAUAUCCCUUCAUAUUUACAUAUGCAGAAAGUGUAUGUGCUAAUAGAUACAGUUAAUUUGUGCUGUAAUUAUAAAUUUUUUUUGUAGCUCGUCUGAUGGUCUGUCCUUUUCCUCGUUGACCUAACUUGGAAAUAAUGUCCAACAAUUACGUGUGGAAAUGUUGGAAUUGAAUGUUGAAUUAUUCAAUUGCAAAUAUUUCCAUACCAGUAGGUCCCUUAAUAUUUCCGUACCUCCUUGACCGUACAAUAGCGUUGGAAACACGGCAAUAUUAAUUUUCAUAAUUGACAUUUUAUAUGCAAAUUUCUGAAUAUUCACAGUUCAUUUAUGAUUUUAGGUAAAGAUAUAUCUAAACCCUGAAGUUAAAAGCCUCUAAUAAUCUUGAAUUGGGUUUGUGACACUUUAACUAGUAAUUUAUAUAAAAAAAAUUAAAAACUUAAUUAAUUACACUACAUCUCCUAGAAUUUACAUUUACAUUUGCAGGAAGUGCAUAAUUAAUAGAUACAGUUUGUGAUCUCAUUGCAACUUUAUUUUGGAGCUCGUCUGAUGGUAACUGUUCUUGGGACAUCUACCGCUCUAUGCCUAGGUGGCUUCUAAUUUUAAUACUAAUUAAAUCUUCUGCAAAAUGCUGUGAAAUUAUUAUUGUGAUUAUUAACAAGAACAAGGAACUGCUUACUUGAAGGGUUAAACAAUUAUACGUUUUUUAUCAGAAAAAAUAAGCAUUUAUAGUUUAAAAAUAACAUUUCCAGGCUGGGAAUUCAGGCAAACGCAGAUACUACACAUCAAGAACAUUGCAAAAAUUUAACUACUAUGCAGCGAACAAUGGUGGAACGAUAUUUAUUUAUCUAGGGAUUAUGUUAUUUAGGUUCGCUAGUUAGUUCAACAAACUUCUAUUAUGUAUAAUGUGAUUGCAUAACACACUUAUGCCUUACUUAAUACUAUCAGCUUCUUUUAAAAAAAAGAACAUUGCAAAAAUGAUUCAUUGACAAAUAAGACUUCCCAGUAAAAAGAAGUUCAUAAUUGGAGCACAAGAUCAGAGAAAAGGUUCAUUGAUGAAUGUCAUGUGUGUUGAAGACCUGUGUAUUAUAUUAUUUUAAUCAUAUUCAGUUUAAUUUUUUCAAUUUAGUAUUUUAAGUUUAGUAGGAUUCAUUGAACUAUAUAAAAAAACACUUGUAUAUAACAACAACUUCAGCACUAUCAAGCCUCAAGGCUUCUCUUGUUCUUCUUCCUCUCUUUGAAUCUCUUCUUGUUCUUAUAAUGUGAAUCUCUCCCACCUCUGGACUUCGAGCAAAAGCUCUUAAAAAAAUUGGGAAUCGUAUAUGACUUGUGCUUGAUUCCCUGGGAAACAUAAGUGGCCGUAAACAAAGAAUGGAAUGUUCAGCGGAGUCACGGAACUAAACUACCCCUUUUUAGGGGAAAUCACUUACGACUUGGUCUGUUCUUUUACUUGACCCCAAAGUCUUUGUUUCUAGUAAAUAAUUUUCCCGCAAAUUAAUUAAUUUUAUAGAUAUUGGAGGUGGGCUUUUACAUGAAAAUAUCAUUAGGGAAAAAAAAUUGUGAUUGCUUAAUGUGAAUGUUCAGAGAAGUUUUUCUAAAGUGUAUUUAGGAAUGAAAUUUAUGUGAAGCUUGCUUUACAUACUGAAUUUAAUUUCCCAAAAAAAAAAUCCGACCACAAAAUUUUUCAAUAAUUUACAAACGUAGUUAAUUCACAUCUUAGGUAUGUGAAGAAUGUAAAGAAUGUUAAUUCACGUAGUUAAUUCAAUAAUUUUUAAAACUUAAGAUCACUAACUCAUCUUAUAUAAAGAAUAUUAUACUUUGAUCAUGUUACAUGUUAUCUUAAUCAAGGUAACAAAAAAGUAGACAAUGGAUAUAUCAUGAAUUAUAUGAAGGUAUUUGAAUGAUUAAGACAAGAUUCAUUACACUAGAUGAAUAAAAAAAGAAACAUCUAUUUUCAUAUAGUAUUGACUGAGAAUUAUUUUGGCCAAUGUGGAAUGAGAUUUGAAAAGAGUUUCAAAUCUUAUUCAAACGAUUAAUAACUAUUAUAUAGAGAAUAAACAUGAUUUAACAUGACAGAUAUACUAUAUGCUUUAAUGUUAAAUUAGAACAUUAUUGAUGAAAGGAUAUCCAUUAUACUGAGAAAUUGGUCACUAAAAUGUUAAGUCAAACCACUAAUGAUUUCCAAUAUUUAGAGAAUCAUGACAUGUUACUAGACGAUGCACCUGAUCUUUAAAUAUAAAUUAAUCAAUUGUUGAAUUAAUAAUAAAUUAAAUUAUUUAAUCUAUUUAAUUAGAAUUAUAAUUUAUAUUUAGGCCUACAUAUUAGGAACCUAAUAAGUUACACGCAUUAAGAAUCAUUAAUCAAAAAUUAAACUAGAAUGAUUUAGUUAAGUAUGACUUGAUUACAAUAUAUUUUAGAAAUUAAGGAAUAGAUUAUAAUUAAUACAAAUAUUAUAUUUCUAGACUUGUAAAAUCAAGUAAGGACUUAAUUGAGCUACUUUCUGUAUUAUCUUUAAAUAAUAUAUGGAUAUUAUUUAAGGGACAAAUAAAUAUUUUAUGUGAAGCUUGCUUUACAUACUGAAUUUAAUUUCCCAAAAAAAAAAAUCCGACCACAAAAUUUUUCAAUAAUUUACAAACGUAGUUAAUUCACAUCUUAGGUAUGUGGCCAUGCAUGAUUUAAGCACCAAAACGUAGAUAAAGUAUACAAGAAAUUACUGUGUCUAACCAAUUCGGGUAGUAAAUUACUUAAGGCUUCGGAGAAGAGGUAAUUCAGAGAGAAUUACCUCACAUUUAUUUAAGAUAACUCAUGUAAAUUUCAAAAACUUAAGUCAUCCAAAUUAUAGUUCUAAUUUAUUUGUAAGGUUUUAGAAAUAACGAGAUUGUAAUUUUUCUCAGUAAAAAAUUUCUUGAGCCUAGUUUUAUUAAUCCAUAUUUUUAAUGAAUUUCUUAUAAAAAAUUAAUGGGGCAAUGGUAAGAACAGUAUUAAUUUUGGAUUACCUGAUUUUUUUAAAAUAGAGUUUAUACGUACUGCUAUAAAUUGAUAAUAAUAUUUGCAUCUCAGAAGAAACAUUUGAUCGUAUGUGCAAAUGUGAUUCAUAUGUGCUCCCGGCGAAUAUCUCAACCUUCUUACGUGAUAUAUGAUGCUGAAUACAUAAAAAUGGGAGAACGAAGCGAAGAAGGAUUUAAUUACAAAAACUACAAUCAAACUAAAUCUCUAAGAUAUGAUUUACAAAUCAAGCUUUAAUUCUUUUGAUUCGAUCCGAAGCCACCAAAUUACAUCCAAAUUACAUAUUUGGUUUUUUUUUUUUUUUUCCAGUUGCAAUUUGCGGCGGCAUCGCAUUUCCAGGAGCUAAGCUUUAACAAGGUUGCUUACUCACAUUACUAUUUUGCAUGCAUAAAUCUAUGCUAGAAGUAUUUGGAACUAAUUACUUUGACAACGCUUCUGUUUGCAUGAUAAGACUGCCCAAAAGUAGGCAAGGAACAGAGCAUUAGAAUUAGUUGUGAAACGAGGACAGCACCUGGUUGAUCCGAGUGAUGGAGAAAAAGUGGAUGAUUGGAGUUCUCCCAUGCUUCUGAGGUCUUGAAAGAGUUCGGCAGCGCCUGUUUUAUUCAAGAAGCUUUUGUUCUUCGUCACCAGGCAUGAGGUAUUUUAGUUGUAUGGAUUCCUAGCUUCUCAGAACUAGAGCUCUGAUACCAUAAAGAAAAUGAUAAUGCGAAUGUUUUCUGUAAUUUCUUUUUUCAAUAUUGCAAAGCUGUACGACAUAUAUAUGCAGUUUACAUACAAUCUGAUCCACCAUUCUAAGAGCUAUUCUAGGAUUAACUUUGAUAAACUGUUAAAGAAUCGAAAUGUCAAAGCAACCAAUCUCUUCACGGCGAAUUGUACUUCACAAAAAAGCGCACUCCUAAAUAAAUAAAUAAUGUGAAUACACUAAGAAAGGGUGAUUGAAGUAAAGAUGCAACAACUGCUGCAUGCAUUGGUUCUUUUUUUAUAGAUGUAACACCCAAACCUUGCAUCAAAGUUAACCAAAAAAAAAAACACGCAAAUUAAGUGACUCGAAAAUAUUCCAUGUAUCGAAUAAAGCUAAUAAUAAAAAUAAAAUUAAAACACAACCAUGAAGGAAAACAGAAGCAGUACGAAAGAGGAAUCCAAUUCUCUGAAUCUGCCACUCUAGCGUUCUUCUCAUGUCAACCUCCACUUGGUAUCUCAUAAGGUAGCGAGAAUGUUUAUUCCAAACUUCACUGCAAUAGAGAAACAUACAAAUAAUUUUUUUUAUUUAAUGAAUCCGAAAGCGAAAGAAAAGACUAAUAAAAGGAAAUAGCACAGAAAAAAUAGCAUAAACUGUUGCACGUAAAACCUUAAGAUUUCAAAUGUUUGCAUAACUUACCUCAUGUUACUAGCUCCGUUGUUUAGUUUCUUCUUGCACCAUUCCUACGAGCAUUCUUCUUCGUUCUUCUUGCCUUCAGAUUCCAUAGAUCUUCAACCAAUUUCAGAAACCAUGCUGGUUCUCUUGUUCUGAACAAAACGUAUCCCAUUGUGACUCCAAACACAAACCCAUUUCCAUACCCUAUUGCCACAGCUUUCCAUCCAAAUCCUUCUCCAAAGAACUUUGAAUCAUCUCCAUCGUGAAAGUUUGAUGGCUGCGAUGGUGGUGCCUCGUCACUGUUGCAUUCUUUUGGCAUUGGAAAUCCACAUAAGUCCAAGUUUCCUUCAAAUGAGAUUGCAUUAAACGUGUUGAACUGCUUUCCAGUGGGUAUGGGCCCCUCAAGCUGGUUAUGUGAAAGGUUUAAGACUCCAAGAAAUGUUAGAUCUGCCAACUGUACUGGAAUCCUUCCAGUAAGAAAAUUUGAAGACAGAUCUAAUGAUUCCAGAUUGGUAAACAUUCCUAAUGAUGAUUGAAUUUGACCUGUAAGGGAAUUCUGAGAGAGGUUGAGUUGUUAAAGUCCUUUAAGCUUUCCGAUCUCCCCUGGAAUCUCUCCGAUGAAACUGUUGUUUGACAAAUCAAGUAUUCUAAGAGCGCUUUGGAUUUUCGUGAACUUAAUAUCAAACCCUUUCCAUGUCACUUCUAUGGAAUAGGAAUAGUUAGGGUAAUUUCUUGCCAUCAUGUAAAAUGUAUUUUGAUCAUAGACCAUCAUUGCUUCAAGACUAUUAAAAUACCCUGUUGGCAAUUGUCCACUCAAAUUAUUGCUGGAGAUUUCGAAGAUCCGUAAUUUAGAGAAGGAAUUAUUAGUAGUCAAACCAUUCACAAGACCCUGGAGUUUAUUGGAUUUUAGGAUAAGAACAUGCAGCUCUGGAAGCAUUUCUAGGAAAUAGGGGAAUGUAUCCUCAAUUUUAUUGUCGCCAAGAUCAAGAAUUUCCAGCAUUGCACAGUUGAUGAUAGAUAAUGGUAUUUUCCCUUCCAAUUCAUUGCCAUUUAGGUUGAGAUAUCCCAAGUUAUUCCCUUUUGAAAAUGGUGAAAAGAUGGUGCCUCGAAGAUUAUUCAUGCCAAGAUUCAAAAUUGAGAGAGAGUUGCUCAAGUUCCCUAAACAUUGUGGUACAAAACCACUCAAGCUGUUGUUGGACAAAUCAAGGAGUUGAAGGAAUUUAAGCUUGCAAAUAGAGGAAGAAAUUUCACCUGUUAUUUUAUUGUUGGAUGCAAGAGCAAGGGCUUCCAGUUUCUCUUGUUUGAAAAUUGAACUUGGGAUUGGACCAUGCAAGUGAUUGUUUCUUAAAUCAAACAAUUUCAAUGAAAGAGUACUUAUUUGAGAAGGGAUAGGUCCUGAGAGUUGAUUACUAGAUAAACCUAAAUUUUCAAGGUGGGUUAGGUACUCUAAAAAAUCUGGAAUUCUACCUGAAAAAUUAUUGUUAUCCAGAUACAAGGAUUUAAGUUGCACAAGGUUUCUAAAUGAUGAUGGAAUCUCACCACCCAAAUUAUUACCUGCAAGGUCCAAACGAGUGAGCCAUAUAAGAGAACCAAUCAGGGUUAAAUUUGAACCUAUGAUAUUACUGUUUCUAAGAGCCAGAACUUCCAAUAACUUUAGAUUUGUGAAGAAGUCAUUUUCUAAAUAAACUGAAAUUCUAGUAUGAGAAAGACCCAAUAAACAGAGGGCAUUACUGACAUUGGAUGAAGGAAAAGAGCCAGUGAGGUCGUCGUUGGAUGUCAAAUCAAGUGAUUCAAGGUUUGGUAGGAGAAAGAUGUUACCUGGGAACUUCCCUUUCAAUCCACAACCCCAAAGGGCAAGACCUGACAAGGAUGAGGACAGAUUCGCCAAGGAAUUAGGUGUGACCAAAUCCAUAUUUACAUAACCCAAACGGAGAUCUCUUAGCUUGGUUAGGUUUUGAAUAAUCUUGUCAAAAGAACUUGGUUCUACAAUCAAAUAGUCAUUGAAAGAGAGAUCAAUUGAAACCAACUCAGUGAGUUGUCCAAGAUCAUCUGGAGUUGAACCUGUAAGAUUGCUGAAUCUAAGAUCCAAGUACUGGAGGUGCUUAAACUUUCUCACUGAGGAUGGGAAUUUUCCUUGCAAUCCACAGGAAUAGAGUACAAGUGAUGACAAAGAAGAAGACAGAUUCAUCAAGGAAUUGGGUACAACCAAUGACAUGUUCACCCACCUCAGAUUGAGUUCUCUAAGCUGGGUUAGAUUUCGAACAAGCUUGUCAAAAGAAAUUGGUUCUAGACUUAGAUAGUCGUUUUCGUUUCCAGAGAGAGCAAGUGAAACCAACUCAGUGAGUUGCUCAAGAUCAUAUGGAAUUGGACCUGCAAGAUUGUUAUCUGCAAGAUUCAACUGCUGGAGGUGCUUAAACUUUCUCAUUGAGGAUGGGAAUUCUCCUUGCAAUCCACAGGAAAGGAGUUUGAGUGAUGACAAAGAAGAAGACAGAUUCAUCAAGGAAUUGGGUGUAACCAAUGACAUGUCUACUGCACUCAGAUCGAGUUCUCUAAGCUGGGUUAGAUUUCGAGCAAGCUUGGCAAAAGAAAUUAACUUACGACGUGGUCUGUCCACUGGGAAACAUAAGUGGCCAUCAACAAAGAAAGGAGAGUUCAGCGUGGUCACGAAGUCCUUUUUCUUGACCCCAAAGCCUUUGUUUCUAAUAAUUAAUUUUAUAGAUACUGGAGGUGGAAUUUUACAUGAAAAUAUUUUUAGGGAAAAAGAAUUACGACUGGUUUACAUACUGACUUUAAUUUCCAAAAAGAAAUCGAGGCACAACAUUUUCAAUAGAAAGAAUUGUUUUUUAAUAAUUUACAAACGUAGUUAAUUCACAUCUUAGGUAUGUGGCCAUGCAUGAUUUAAGCACCAAAACGCAGAUAAAGUAUACAAGAAAUUACUGUGUCUAUUAUUGAAUACCCUUUUAAUGUUUUGAACUUAAACUGUGAGAUUAUUGAAUAGAUCAUCCAUUUCUCUUCAGAGUAAUAUUAAUGACUAAAAUGCCAUUAAAAUAAUUAGCAUGUUACUACCUACUCCAUUUUAAAUGAGUUUAUUAUUUGAAGUGGUAGUCCUAAAAGACAUUUCCAUAAUUCAAGAGCAAGCUAUUUAAUUUAUUUAUUUUAUUGUUGCUAGCGAACUCUUCUUUGUUUCUUUUGCAUGAGUUGCCUAUCGAGUAAACGGUUUCUUAAUUAUUGUAUAAUCUACGUUCACAAAUGAAGUGGCUUUAUGAUUUUUGUUGAGAGUAGAUAAUAUCCCUACAUUUACAUUUGCAGCAAGUUUACAUACCAAUUUUCAUUUGGUGCUGAAUAUGAAAUUGAAGGUUGAAUUAUUCAAUUGCAAAUAUUUCUAUACUAGUAGGUCCCUUAGUUGACUGGACAAUAGUAUUGGAAACAGGGCAAUAUUAAUUUUCAUAAUUGACAUUUUUUGUGGAAAUUAAUUAUUUUUCCAUAAUUGACAUCAGCAAUAUUAAUUUCCAUAAUUGACAUCGGCAAUAUUUCAGAAUUUUUUUUGUAGCUCGUCUGAUGGUCUGUCCUUUUCCUCCUUGACCUCCAAGUCUUCGGAACUUGGAUAUAGUGUCCAACAAUUACGUGUGGAAAUGGAGUUGAAUUAUUCAAUUGCAAAUAUUUCCAUACCUGUAGGUCCCUUAAUAUUUCCGUACCUCCUUGACUAUGCGUUGGAAACAUGGCAAUAUUAAUUUUUGAAAUUGAUAUUUUUAUGCAAAUUUUUGAAUAUUCACAGUUCAUUUAUUAGGUAAAGAUAUUAUAGACUUCAAAGUUAAAAAUCAUGUAAGUAUUUAAUGACUCGAACUGAUUUUAUAAUACUUAAAUUAAUAAUUUUUAAAAAAUAAAUUUAAAACUUAACCAUAUAAGCUAUCCUUUCAGGAUUGAUAUCUCUAAGCUUAAGAAUGAAUUCCAGUGAUGAUCAUGAUCCCGUCACCUUGCUUUCAUGCACAGGAGGGGAUUCAGUACCAACGUAGAUGAAAGUAUACAAAAAUUGUUGCAUCUGUUACGUCUAUGUUAAAUAAUCUUCAUUUAUCCAUGUAUGCCUCCAAAAAAUCAUUUGAAUACCAUUUUAAUUAAUCUAAAAACUAUGUUUAAAUAUUGUUUUAGUCCUAGAUAUGAUUUAGAGCUCAAACAACUUAAAUUGUGGAAAAUAAAUAUUGAAUAUGUCAAACUAGUGAGAAAACAAUUUGCAAGGAAAACAUUCCAAAACCAUUCGCGAACCAAAUAACUGGAAGGAUAGAUAAAAAAAAAAUAAAAAAACCCUGAUGAAGAAAGUCUUCUUCACCUCCUUAUGCCAACUCCAAUUCAAUCUGUAGAUGUAGUCAACAAGUUCUUAUAAUAACAUUACUCAAUAAUUCCUAAAAAAACAAAACAGCAUACUAAAACUAACAAAUCAUGAAUAUUACAUAAAUAAGGGACAUGCAUAAUUUUUAAUUAAAUUCAUGGGCACAUUAUAUUUUCCAUACUUACCAUGGAGAAAUAAAACAAAUCAAGUAAGAAAUGUACAUGUAUUACAUGUGUUUGAUAACAUGAUACAUAGUAUUUUAAAAAAAUAUUUUUCAAUUAAAAUUAUAUUUUUUUAUAUUUUAAAUUUUGACAUUAACAUAUAACUAAAAUCAUCAAAAAAAACCUAAAAAAACAUCAAUUUAAUAUUUCUUUAAGUUAAAAGUAAUUGUAAAAACACUUUGAAAAACAAUUUAACUAUGUUAGAAAAUUGUAUAAAUCAUAUAUUGAGGUCUCACUUAAUAGCUUAUGUUUUUUGGUGAGACAACUCUUUAAUAUGAUAUCAGAGCCUUAAAGAUUAAGUGAUUAUGAAUUUGAAUUUUACCAUCCUUAUUCUCUCUUCUAAUUAAAAUUUAAUUCAUAGCAUAAGGUAAUGCCGGCCCGUACAAGUUUCAAGUUCAAAGAGCUUUCAUUUGAAGAAGUAUGUUAGAGAGUAAUACAAAAUCAUAUAUUGGGGUCUCACUUAACAUAUUAAACUUUUGGGUUGAGAUGAUUUUUUGAUUUGGUAUUAGAACCUUAGCAGUCACGAGUGUGAAUCUCAUAACUUUAAUUAUAUUUGAUAAAAAUUAAGUAUAAGAUAGUUGAAUCCGUGCAGAUUACUUGAGAAGGUGUAUUAGAAAAUUAUAUAAAUCAAAUAUUAAAGUCUCACUUAACAAUUUAAGCUUUUAAGUCAAAUGAUUCUUUACACACCACAAUACAAAACUCACACCGAAAUCUUUGUGCAAAAUCAUGAGGUGAUUACUAAAUUCAAGAGCAAGCUAUUUAAUUUAUUGUUGCUAGCGAACUCUUCUUUGUUUCUUUUGCAUGAGUUGCCUAUCGAGUAAACGGUUUCUUAUUGUAUAAUCUACGUUCAUAAAUGAAGUGGCUUUAUGAUUUUUGUUGAGAGCAGAUAAUAUCCCUACAUUUACAUUUGCAGCAAGUUUAUGUGCCAAUCUUCAUUUGGUGCUCUUCCAUUUGGUGCUAAUAUGGAAUUGAAGGUUGAAUUCUUAUUGCAAAUAUUUCUAUAUAAGUAGGUCCCUUAGUUGACUGGAUAAUAGUGUUGGAAACACGGCAAUAUUAAUUUUCAUAAUUGACAUUUUUUGUGGAAAUUAAUUAUUUUUCCAUAAUUGACAUAGCAAUAUUAAUUUCCAUAAUUGACAUCGGCAAUAUUUCAGAAUUUUUUUUGUAGCUCGUCUGAUGGUCUGUCCUUUUCCUCCUUGACCUCCAAGUCUUCGGAACUUGGAUACAGUGUCCAACAAUUACGUGUGGAAAUGAUGGAGUUGAAUGUUGAAUUAUUCAAUUGCAAAUAUUUCCAUACCAGUAGUUCCCUUAAUAUUUACGUACCUCCUUGACUAUGCGUUGGAAACAUGGCAAUAUUAAUUUUCAAAAUUGAUAUUUUUAUGCAAAUUUUUGAAUAUUCACAGUUCAUUUACAAUUUUAGGUAAAGAUAUUAUAGGCUUCGAAGUUAAAAAAUCAUGUAAGUAUUUAAUGCUCUGAUUUUAUAAUACUUAAAUUAAUAAUUUUUAAAAAAUAAAUUUAAAACUUAACUAUCCUUUCAGGAUUGAUAUCUCUAAACAUGGCAGAGGCGUUUCGUCCGUUGGCGCGGACGUUUCUUCAUUAAAGGCGUCGGUUACGGAGCAUUUAGGAGGCCAGACGUUACCACCACCGAGGCUGCCGCUGGCUCUAUAAAAGCUGAGCGAAGGAGACCUCGCGAAAGAGAGGAGAAGACAGGGAGGAAACCGAGCAAGACAGAAAAGAAAAAACCCACAAAACAGAGACAAACAGUAGUUCCCACAGAAAAAACAGAGAUCAAUACAAGCAGAAAUCCCACGUUGAUAUCAUCGUCCUCUCAAUCGUCCCUCUCCCUUGCAAAUCAGAAAGAGGAAGAACCCAAGCAGCGAGCUGUCACCUUCACCAUCGCCGAAACAAAAGGAAAACAGAAAGGGAAGGUCAUACAGCAGAUGAGAGCGAAAUCACUGUGCUGACCAGCCUCCUCGCAAUCUCCAGAAACAGGUAAGCCGUUCUCAUCUUUCUCUUCAUUCUUGUUUGAAAUUGUGCAAAUGCAAGAACUGUGCGAAGGUAGGUAAUUUAAUUACCUUCGCACAGUUGCUGCACGCGUGAAAUUGCUUCACGCGUGCAGUUUAAUUAAACUCUGCCGGGCCACUGGAUUGGGCCAGUGGCCGGGCCGGCUGGGCCCAGUCCAGCCUCUUUUGGGCUGAACUGGGCCCGGCCCAAAAAAUAUAGAUAAUAAAAAAUAAAAAAAAUGAUAAGGGUAAAAAAAAAUGAUCAGAGAAAAGGUUCAUUGAUGAAUGACAUGUGUGUUGAAGACCUGUGUAUUAUAUUAUUUUCAUCAUAUUCAGUUUAAUUUUUUCAAUUUAGUAUUUUAAGUUUAGGAGGAUUCAUUGAACUAUAUAUAAAAAAACACUUGUAUAUAACAACAACUUCAGCACUAUCAAGCCUCAAGGCUUCUCUUGUUCUUCUUCCUCUCGUUGAAUCUCUUCUUGUUCUUAUAAUGCGAAUCUCAGAAGCAGGCAUUCUCCCACCUAUGGACUUCGAGCAAAAGCUCUUAAAAAAAUUGGGAAUUGUAUAUGACUUGUGCUUGAUUCCCUGGGAAACAUAAGUGGCCGUAAACAAAGAAUGGAAUGUUCAGCGGAGUCACGGAACUAAACUACCCCUUUUUAGGGGAAAUCACUUACGACUUGGAGCCCGUUUGGUGCUGCGUUUGUACUUGUAUUUUGGUAAAUUUUGAUUUUUUUUAGAUAAAAUUGAGUGCGGUUUGUACUUUUUGGAUCGUUUUGAUGUGCUGAUAUCAAAAAUAAUUUUUAAAAAAUGAUAAAACAUUAUUUGCAUGUAUUUUGACACGAAAAGUUAUUUGAAAAGUAACCGCUACCACACUGCCAAACACACUCUUGGUCUGUCUUUUUUACUUGACCCCAAAGUCUUUGUUUCUAGUAAAUAAUUUUCCCGCAAAUUAAUUAAUUUUAUAGAUAUUGGAGGUGGGGUUUUACAUGAAAAUAUUAUUAGGGAAAAAAAAUUGUGACCGCUUAAUGUGAAUGUUCAGAAAAGUUUUUUAAAGUGUAUUUAGGAAUGAAUUGUAACUGCUUAAUGUGAAUGUUCAGAGAAGUUUUUCUAAAGUGUAUUUAGGAAUGAAAUUUAUGUGAAGCUUGCUUUACAUACUGAAUUUAAUUUCCCAAAAAAAAAAAACCCGACCACAAAAUUUUUCAAUAAUUUACAAACGUAGUUAAUUCACAUCUUAGGUAUGUGGCCAUGCAUGAUUUAAGCACCAAAACGUAGCUAAAGUAUACAAGAAAUUACUGUGUCUAUUAUUGAAUAGAUCAUCCAUUUCUCUUUAGAGUAAUAUUAAUGCAUAUAAAUCUCAUAAUAUUCUUUAGAUUUAUGUUAGCUGUAUAGCAUCUCAAGGGCUUUUUUCUAUUUGAAGGUUUUAUUAUUAUUGCAUUCUACCUCAAAAUCAAUAAAACUUUGAUUAUUAUAUAUAUAAAAAAUCAUAUUAAAUCAUUAUUGUUCACAACUUUGUGUACCCAUCGAGCAAAUCGGAUGUGUCCAAUUGGAGAGAUAAAAUUAUGGAAGGAAAAAUAUUUUAAACCAAAUAUAGAAGAUAAAAAAUAUUUUUUAGUAGAGAUUCCUAAUGACAUUUUUUCCUGAACAAGUGAUUUCUCGGCACUCCUCAAAUAAUUUCUAGCCGGACAGACAAACAAACAAAUAAACCACAUAAAAUUCUCAAACAAUUAUAUAUCACAGUGAAUUACUUUUUUGUUAAUUUUAGGGUCUAUAAAAUUAGUUGAGAUACAUACAAGCUGAUCCGGACAUCCACGUUAAUAAUAAUAAAAAAAGCUUAUGCAUAGAAUCUCACUCUGUUCCUGGUUUAUUAAAUCUCUUGUCAUGACCUAUUUCAUUGGUGGCUCGCCCCAUGCAAUUAAUAUUCAUGUCGAUUAUCCAAAGUAGCAUUUGAAUUCUGUAAAUUAACUUCCUUUUUGUUAAAUUUCCUAUGCCUUUAAAAUUUUGUUAUUGACAUAAGCCUAAUUAAGUAGACAACACUGUAGUUUCGAUAUGCAAUAAUUUUUAUCUGAAUGUCCGAUUGAGGCUUGUGAAAACAAUGUAAAAAAUAUAUAUUAAAAAAAUAUUUUUUAUUUUUUAAUAAUUAUUUUUAAAAUCAGCACAUCAAAACGAUCUAAAAAUAUUUAAAAAAUAAUGUUUAGAGAAUUUUAUUUUUGAAAUUUGAGGGAAUGCGGUUUCAAUCGCGUUCCCAAACGAUGCGUGUUUGAGAAUAUGGUUAUGAUUGCUUUUCAAAGUGUUUUUUACUCGGAAAUAUAUUAAAAUAAUAUUUUAAAAAAAAUUAUUUUUGAUAUUAGUGCAUCAAAAUAAUUUUAAAAAAUAAAAAUAAUUUUUUUUUCAAAAACACUUUUAAAAUACAAAAAAUAAACAAAACCUCAAAAUCAUAUACAUAAUAAGAAUAUGCAAUGAGUUUUUUUUUUCUUAAUGAAAUACGAGAGAUUUAUUUGAUCACUAUUAUAACCAUUAAAAAUAUAGCUUAAUAGAUAGAAAGAAGAGUAUAGAAAAACUCAGAAGAGUGAGAAAACUUACUAGCACAACUAAAUCCGCAACUAAGUCAUUUUUUCUAAGAACUCUUGCUUGACUAAAUGAUAUGCAGCAAUAUUAUUUCUUGUAUAUAAUUUUUCAAAAAAAAAAUAAUGAACACACAAGAUUCUCAAAAGGAUGAAUUUUCUUUAGUAAUUUACACGUAUAGUUAAUUCACAGCUUAGGCAAAUGGCAAGAUUCUUCGAUUAAAUAAUAUUUUUAUUCAGUCCCAAUUUAAAUUUAGGGUUUAAACAAUAUCUCAAUUAAAAAAUAUUUUAUUUCAUUAAUAAAUUUUCAUCAUACCAAGGGAAUUAAUUUGUAGAUGUUUAAUUGUAUUGUAAUUUUUCGACUUCAAAGAUUUUGAGAAUACUCCAAUUGCAUAACUUGGAAAUUCUAGGGUUCUAUCGUGGAAAUGGAGGAUUACAAAAAAGAUUUUAGGGAUGAGCUUUUUGCACCAAAGGUUGCACCUUCCAGCUAUAAAGAUGGAUUUCCAAGGUUUGAUAACAGCCAUUUAAAUAGCUUUUAGACCGACAAUUACACAUGAAAGGAAAAAUUAGAAUUUCAAAACUGGUGUUACGUUAAAAAUUCAAAAUUCCACGCCUGAUUUGAAGUCCUUACCGAAGUAGUGGGCGAAGCCAGCGAUUCCCUUACAGAAUUGGACAGGUAGAAUCUCCUAAAUAAAUUUGAGCGUGUUUUAAUUGUCAUAUAAAAAGUUACAGUUUAUUUAUUUUUAUAACUAUAGGUAUUCGAGCUGGUUUGUCCAUACCUCAACUAAUUUCACGGGUUUUGAAGUUAAUAAACAUAUAAGUCUCUAGUAGUCCUAAGAUUUGUAAGAUUUGAACUGGUGAUCUCUAAAGAGCAAACUUAAAACUUGACCAAUUAAAUUACACCCUUCAAAAUUAAUUAUAGUCUAUUUUAUUAUACAGGUCAUUUAGCGCGAUUAGAUCACUUAUUGAGUUUAAAUUAAUUUGUCUAUAUGAUCCAAUGAAAUAUUUGCUAGGUUAUUUAUAUUGUCCAACUGAGAUAGAUUUGUAUCCAAUUGAUCACAUCCUCCUGCAUCAAAGAUUAUUACAUGGCUAAUAAUCAAUAAUGUACAAUCUCUCAAACUAUAUCGUGCAAUUAUUGAGGUAUGCAUAGACAUCUUAAUUUAAUUAAAUCGAAGUCCGAGGAAAUAAAGUUGUUAUGGUUGUCUCUCAUGAAAUUAAAAAGUUAAUCCUAAAAGGUAUAAUUUAACUAGUCAGAUUCUAAGUUUGCUUUUUAUAGGUCACCAAUUAAUUCAAGUUCUACAAACCUCAUGGUCACUAAAGAUUUAAAUAAUUGUUAAUUUUAAGGCUCAUAAAAUUAAUUGAAAUACAUACAAACUGAUCCGGAUAUUUAAGUUAAUAAUACUAAUAAUAAAAAGCUUGUGCAUAGGUUCUCGCUCUGUUCCUGGUUUAUUAAAUCUCUUGUCAUGACCUAUUUCAUUGGAGGCUCGCCCCAUGCAAUUAAUAUUCAUGUGGAUUAUCCAAAGUAGCAUUUGAAUUCUGUAAAUUAACUUCCGUUUUGUUCAAUUUCCUAUGUCUUUAAAAUUCUGUUAUUGACAUAGGCCUAAUUAAGUAGACAACAUUGUAGUUUCGAUAUGCCAUAAUUUUUAUCUGAAUGUCCGAUUGAGGCUUGUGAAAACAAUGUAAAAAAAAAAGAGAAGGGAAUUGAACUAGUUUGAAGAGUUUGAUUUAUGUAAUUCAUAAUCAAAAUCUGGAAUUAGCUAGAUUUGAAGCAAAGUGUGCUACGUACAAUGGCUAAUUUUAUCCUGAAAAUUCCCAUUUUGACAUGUGAGGCUAAGGCAAAUGGAACAGUAAACAUUUCAUCCAUAGUUUUGAAACCCAGCCCAACACGGCAGGUCAACCCGUGAUCCGGAUGACCCAGGGCUGGAAUAGGACUGGCUUGAAGAAAAAACAAAAAAACAAAAAAUCCGGUGUAACCUGGCAGGCUGGUCAAGACCCGGCCUUAAACCCGUUGACUUUUAUUUUAUUUUUAUUUUUGUUUUACUAAAACGACGUCGUUUUGAUUUUAAAAAAAAAUGCCUUGGACUGGGCCGGCCACCAAUCGGGUCUUAAAAAUAUGAUUUCAUCUAACAUAUACACAUAAUUAAAGGAAAACAUUCAUGAAUCUUUGGCAGAAUGUCGAUAGUUACUGGCCUUAGAGAGCAUAUUGUUAGAACCACUUAGGUGGAGAUUAGUGGUUCGGUCUAUGCCAUUAAGGUUACAGAAAAACCAUGCUUAGAGGUUAAUUCAAGUAGGUUUGAUAAAAAGAAGGUUGUGGAAAAUUGGGCUGGGAAGUUGAAUCCUUACUCUAGAAUCCUCCCAGCAUGAUUCUCUCAAAUCAUCAUAUGCUGCUGCUGAUUAAUUUUGUUCUGAGGAGCCAAUGGAAGAUGGAAUAGAUGGAGCAAAAAUUGAUGACACGAAUGAGACUGCUGUAUGUAGCCAUGGUAUGGAUAGGGAAUUCUCUUUUUGUGAUCCUGGGUGAACAUGUACUGCCUGAAAGAAUUAACAAGAAGGGUACUUUGAAUGUUGAUUUGCUUUCUCCAGAGAAAGGUUCUUUGAGGAAAUCUGUUGCUGAGACCCUUGAGGAGACAGAAACAACCGAUAGCGACCCGAUAAAUGCAACGCUGCACUAACAAGCUUCCCUGCUACCAUAGCUGCUAUAAAAAGCAAUGGAGUCCAAAUUGUUGAAAAGCAGUCAGAGGAAAAUUUAAAUAUUGAUGGUGGGCUUAUCUCUAAUGCUUAUAUGGAUGAGUAGAGGAAUGGAUCACAGUGUAUUGGGCUAGAGGAAAACACACUCUCAAUAGUUCCAGUUAACACACAUGAGCCUCUGUUAACUACUUACUAUAAGGCUUCGGACCAACAACUGAUCUCAUUCAUGCUUAAAUGGCCCGGUGAAAUAUAAUAAAAACAAGAUGUUUGAGGUCUUCAUCACACCUAUAGCAGAACCAGAGGAGGUAGCUGAACUAGAGAAGGAAAAGAAGAGAAGUUCGAACAAAAGAAAGAAGAAACUUUCCUUAAAAUCAGCAACUCGUAAGGGGAGAACAUCAAGAAGUAGAAAAGAGAAGUCUGCUAACCUGGAAAUCACUGAAAUGUCUAUCUCAGAUGGUGAAAUCAGAAACGGAAACAAGGCUAUACGCUCUGGCAUGGACAUUAAUGUAAUGGAGAAGGGGAUCAUUUCCCCUCGGCGACUGGAGCAACAACCACCUGUCGAUAGUAGAAAGGAACUUGCUGGGAGGUUGGAAAGGCCAUUCUUUAGCUAGAUGAUGAUAGUGAUCAGAUUGUGGACACCUUGAAGGUUUUCAUAGACAAAGAGCGGGAGAACUGGAAAGGAAGGUUGGAGUAACAGUAAUGCUCCACUAAGAUAUUCUAGAUCUUGGUAUGUUGUUCCCUCAGUUGGUCUUUCCGGGGCCUGCUUUCUAUAUGGAAUUCUCCCAGCUUUAAUGUCACGAAUACAAUGGUAGGAUAUUGCAUAUAGAAAGAGUCUUUACAUAGUACAACACUGAUUGAGUGCUAUUUAUGGAUUAUUCCUCAAAGAAAGAAUUGAGGAGCUAUCUGGUGAAUUUCAAAUGUAACAUUUCUAAGCCAUGGUGCCUUGGGGAUUUUAAUGAGACUAUCUCUCCUUCAGAUCGUAAGGGUGGGAUAAAUAGUACUUGUUCUAUGAAAGCAUUUCAAUAAUGUUACAUGGAUAUCUUUUCUACUAACUACUACCUUCUGUUAAAUUAUCUAUAUCUGAUAACUCUGUCAUAUCCCCUGUUCACGAAACAUUGCACACCAAGCAACUAGGUGUUUCCUUCAGAUGUUUGGUUCUAUGGUAUUCUGGGUUUCUUCUGCAGCAUGUUAUUGAAUCUAUGGUGUUCUGAGUUGGUUCCUUUUGAGAAGAAUUAAUUUUUUAUUUAUACCGAGCAGGUUCUUAUACAUAGUGAAAGCUUGAGCCAUAAUAUUGGCAGGAUUGCCGGUAGCACUGGGAAGCAGAAUUGUUGUCCCCUGAAAAAAGAAAAAAAGAAGGGACAGAAGGAAAAGAAGAACAAACAUCAGAAAUUGUAAACUAACUGUUUAUCAAACCAGACAAUCACAAGCACAUUUGAAUAAAUCUCCUCACCUCUUUGGCAAUGUUACCAAAAGCUCCCACAUAUUGCUCAGCAAUUUUCAAACUAGCGACCUGCAAAUCAUGCCACAAACGUGAGCCUUGAUGCACAUAAGAUAUGCAUGUCACAGUUGAUUGUCUUGUGAACGCUAAAAUGCAAGAAUCACAAAUCACAUGUGGUAUAAAACACUUGCAAAAUCACUAAUAUAUCUUGUUUACACAACAACAUCAAAAUCUACAUGGAGAACCUCACCUCAAUCCCCCCACUCUUUUUAAUAUUCUCUGACACAAUGGCAAUUCCUUUGGCUGUUGCUUGUGCUUUAGCAAUGAUGGCUUCAGCCUCACCUAAAAUAUUAUCGAUAAGGAUUUAAAAGUAUAUGAGAUUGGCAGCCGAUCAUAUGAGAACUAUAUAAAGAUAAGCCAUGAUAUUGCCCGAUCAAGUCAGGUUGGUUAUCAAAUAUUGUAGAGUAGCUAAUGGGUCUAGAAAAUGAAAAACUAGAGCAUCCAAAAAUAAACAAUCCAGGAGACUAGAAGAGCAAAUUAAGAGCCAAACCUAUUUUAAGUGCAACUAGGUACCAGCACUACCAUGUAAAAGCUUCAACAGAUAUGAAAAGUCAUAUAAUAACAAAUAUGUUCUCACAUCAUGUGGUUUGCUUAAAAAGUAAUACUUGAGAUGCUACAGCCAUCUCCAAUGAAACCCAAUCAUAAUCAGUGGAUCAUUGCACAUAUACACAAGGAUAUACGAAAGACAAGGAUUGAAAGAAAAUUGAGAUUAGCUGCCUACAAAAUAACUGUAACAAGAUAAGCCAUCAUAUCACCUCAUGAAUUUUGUUUGGUUAUCUACUAAUUUGGAACAGCUUAUGGGUCUAGAAAAUGAAAUAGAGGAGCAUCAAUUGAUUAUUGCACAGCAGAGAGACAUGAUAAAGCUAACCUUGUGCUUUGUUGAUGAGAGCUUGUUUCUCUCCUGUUGAGGAAGAGAGUUCCAAUGAAGAAAUGAUGGCAAUUGGAUGAUAAACAUUAAAGAAGUAAAACAAGUUCUAUUUCAAAAAAAUACCAGAGAAGUUACAACCAUCUCCAAUGAAACUUGUAACCAACAGAAUUCUAACAACACACAAGAAAACUAACCUUGUGAUGCCAAGAUCUGAGCACUCUUAUGACCAUCAGCAAUAUUAAUAUUGGCCUGUCUCUCUCCUGUUAAAAAUAAUCAAUACAAAAGAUUAUCAAUGGAUUGACAAAUGAAGAAAUAUUGCAAUGCCUCAUGACAUUGAACAAAUGGUUCUAAAAAAGGUUGCCUCCAAUUAUUAAGCCAUGCAUAACAAAGAUUUAUAGAUAUGAUAGGUGAAUAAAAGUGUCUGCAUUAUGUAGCAGCAAAGAUAUGAGAAGCAGAAAAAAUGCGAUUAAAAGGAGCGGUGGAAAACGACCAAGCAUGACAAGAUGGCAUGGCAAUUCUGUACAAACAGAUAAAAAUGAUGCAUGAAGUCAAUUGCAACAAAGUUUGAUUAAAGUGAGUUUAAUUAAGCUGAGGUAAAACUGAGAAACUAAACUACAUUUAAUACCUUCAGACUCAAGAAUUUGAGCUCUCUUUCUACGUUCUGCUUCUGCCUGCAUCUCCAUAGCUUGCUUCACCCCUCGUGGAGGAGAUAUAUCCCCUAAAGAAGCGAGGACAGAGAAGCAUGAAAAGAAAAUUCUACAGGAACCUAAUCAACAUAGAAUAUCAAAUAAGUUAAGUGCGGCUGGCUCACUUAUUUCAUAACAAAGACAUCGGAGACCCUAGUCUCUUGCAGCCACAUUAAUGGCCUCCUGCAGAAAUGGUGACAGUCUUGCAUAUUCAACAACAUCCUUGUUUUCUUAAAAUACCUGAUUUUCAACUAAAACUCCAAAACAACCUUAGAGUUUUAACUAGGUUGAUAAGACAAGAAACAGAGAAGUGUCAUUACAAUUUUGAAGAACCAACCAAAUCACAAUUUCCUGAAGCAGCAACCGAUUUUUCUCACAUUUAUGAUUUAUGUCUAGCAUUUCAAUAUAUUAUUAAUGAAUCGAAAUGUUAAAGCAACCAAUCUCUUCACGAAAUGUGCUUCACAUAAAAAGCACACUCCUAAAUAAAUAAAUAAUGUGAAUACACUAAGAAAGGGUGAUUGAAGUAAAGAGGUAUCAUACCACAAUCUUUUCAUUGAGAGUGUCUCGUUCUUCAAAGGUCUUGUCAAGAGUAAUCUUACCAAGCUCACUACGCAUAGUGGUCUGGGCAAGUUGAACGACAGCAUAGAUGGGAUUCUCAACACCAUAAGAGGCAAGCUUAGGAUCCACAAUCUGUUGCACAACAAUUUGAGUAUCAAUAAUAGUAAAUGAUUGAUUAACCCAAAAGGGAAAGAGAAACGAGAGAGAAGGGGGAAACCUUGACAUAGAGGACGCCGUCAAUAAGGAUGCUGACAUUGUCUUUGGUAAUAGCAGAUUGAUCAGGAAUCUGAAUAGCCUCUUCCUUCAAAGAGUGAACAUAAGCAAUUCGAUCGACAAGGGGAAUCAAGAAAUGGAUUCCAGAUGGCAGCGUCUUCAAGUACUUUCCAAAUCUCUCUACCACAAACGCUUUCUUCUCCGGCACAAUCCGUACCCCCCAAUUCACAGGUGGCGUAAUCUCAUAACUAAUGAAUUAUAAUAAAUUAAUAAAAAAAAAAUGGAAGAAAGACAGGGAGGGAAUGGGGAAUGAAUGUACCUGGUGAAGGGGUCGCGGCCGGUGCGGAGGAGGCGGACGGAGAUGGUGGAGGAGAGAGGAGAGGAAAGGCGGUUGUUUUGGGCUAAGUGAAAAGAAGGGGGUUUAAAUAAGGGAGAAUUGGAGGAGGGAGUGAGGAGGGUUCUGCCUCUGGAAGCGGUGGAAGCCGAUAAGGAGGAGAGGUGGUGGGAGGUUCUUACGGCGUUGUUGAGUAAUAAAUGACUCCUCCUCCUCCACAUUUUUCUGUCUCUCUUUGUUGUUGCUGUUGAAAAACCCUUGGCCUCCUUAAUUAUCGAACCCUCCCUCACUCUCACACUCUUCACUCUGAUCUGCUCUGCUGACCCUCUCCCCAAGUCACCCUCUCUCUUUUGUUCCCCCUCUGCCCACUCAAAUAAUUUAUUUUCCGAAGUUGUAAUUGACAGUGUGUGGUGGGUGGGUUUUGUUUUAGGCCCGACGUUUUAUAAUGGGCCUGUCUUUUUUUUCUUUUAGAGUUUUUGUUAAAGAAUUGAGAAAAUCGAGACUAAUAUUCUCUGAACAUGAAGAACAAUGAGAGAACGGCAUGAUUUUUAUAAUUUUAAUUUUAAUUUCUUAAGUUAGAGAGCUUAGAUUUAUAUAAAAGUGAGGUUUUACAAUUCAUGAAUAAUAAGACAAUUUAAUCAUAUUUAAUCAGAAAAACAAUAGGAUUAGAGGAUAAAAAGUAAUCCAAAUUACUUUGAUUGUUCGAACCAAUUCGGGUAGUAAAUUUCUUAAAGUUUCGGAGAAGAGGUAAUUCAAAGAAUUACCUCAAAUUUAUUUAAGAUAAUUCAUGUAAAAUUAAAAAACUUAAGUUAUCCAAAUUAUAGUUCUAAUUUAUUUACAAGGUUUUAGAAAUAAUGAGAUUGAAAUUUUUCUUAGUAAAAAAUUUCUUGAGCCUAGUUUUAUUAAUCCAUAUUUUUAAUGAAUUUCUUAUAAAAAAUUAAUGGGGCAAUGGUAAAAAUAGUAUUAAUUUUGGAUUACCUGAUUUUUUCAAAAUAGGGUUUAUACAUACUGCUAUAAAUUGAUAAUAAUAUUUGCAUCUCAGAAACAUAGAAACAUUUGAUCGUAAAUCCUCUGUUACUUUUGUGUUGCAUUAAUUACUGCUUGGAUCGACACGAAGGUAAAGAGCUAAGCAAGUUAGCUAGUAAUUUAACCGAUAAUAAUUAAGUAUUAAAGUGUUAAUCAAGAAAAAGAACAUUUCUAGUUUGAAUCUUAUCACUUGGAUUUCCCAACUUACAUAUAAGUAUGUGAUUGAUUAAAACUCUCGAGUUGAUAAAUUUUUGACCGUGAUUUAGCUCUCGAAAGUGAUCACUCACCCGUAGGCUAUGUCAGGAGUGAGUCCUUGCUAUGGAUAUAAGAAGAAGAAAAAAAAAAACGAAGGUAUGGAGCUUGUUAUUGGUAAAGGUUAUAUUCAUGUGGAAAAGUGGUUAUCUCUUACAUGAACUUUGGUGCUCCCUUCAAAAGACUGAAGAAUUUGAAAGUAGAAUGCAAAUGUGAUUCAUAUGUGCUACCGGCGAAUAUCUCAACCUUCUUACGUGAUGCUGAAUACAUAAAAAUGGGAGAACGAAGCGAAGAAGGAAUCGUAGGUAAUUACAUUUUCAUAUUUUUAUUUCUAUUUGCAGUCUGAAUCUUAAUUGAUUUUCGUUGAUUGUUAAUAUUCUCAAUCAAUUUCAUUGCUUAAUCUCGAUUGCCGUAUUCAUGCUUAUCCAAUAACAAUCGAAACCAGUAAACGUCCAUGAAUGUUCUAAAUCACUGUAGCAAUCUGGAAGCAGAAAAAUUCUUGAUAUGAAUUAUUCAUAAACAUGCAUGUUCUAAAUAAGGCUUUUGAAUCCUACGCUGUUAUGUCAUUGCAAUCCAAGUCCAUGGUUAUGAGGGAAAUGCUCUGUUUCUGGCACCGGCCUCGUCUUCGCUUCAUCGUUGCUACCCGUUUAAUACUGUAAGUGCUGUGAUAUGCCUCACCAUUUCUUGUAGGUGCGAGGUUGAUGUUCGACAGCUGCAUCAUUACGAGGAAUGAGUCGGUCUCUUUUGCAAGACUUCAAGAAAACAAGAAAGCUGACAGAGGGAGUUUGAAGAACAGCAAGGCAGUCUUAUUAUUCUGUGUGAUUUCUACGGUGCAUAUAUAUAGUUUAUAUAGAAAACAUCUUGUCUAAUAAGUAAACUGACAGACUAGCAACUAAUCUUUAGGAUUUAAUUACAAAAACUACAAUCAAACUAAAUCUCUAAGAUAUGAUUUACAAAUCAAGCUUUAAUUGUUUUGAUUCCGAAUCCUAACAAGACUAGCCACCAAAUUACAUCCAAAUUACAUAUUUGGUUUUUUUUUUUUCCAGUUGCAAUUUGCGGCGGCAUCGCAUUUCCAGAAGCUAAGCUUUAACAAGGUUGCUUAUUCACAUUACUAUUUUGCAUGCAUAAAUCUAUGCUAGAAAUAUUUGGAACUAAUUACUUUGCCAACGCUUCUGUUUGCAUGAUAACACUGCCCAAAAGUAGGCAAGGAACAGAGCAUUAGAGUUGGUUGUGAAACGAGGACAGCGCCUGGUUGAUAUUGUAGAUAUUGAAAGCGGAAUUUUACAUGAAAAUAAUUAUAAUAAGAAAAAAAAAAACAGUUUAUUAACUUACGACGUGGUCUGUCCACUGUGAAACAUGAGUGGCCAUAAACAAAGAAAGGAAAGUUCAGCGUAGUCACGAAGUCCUUUUUCUUGACCCCAAAGUCUUCGUUUCUAGUAAAUGAUUUCCCAGCAAAUUAGUGGUGCUAAUAAUUAAUUUUAUAGAUACUGGAGGUGGAAUUUUACAUGAAAAUAUUUUUAGGGAAAAAGAAUUACGACUGCUUUACAUACUGACUUUAGUUUCCAAAAAGAAAUCGAGGCACAACAUUUUCAAUAGAAAGAAUUGUUUUUUAAUAAUUUACAAACGUAGUUAAUUCACAUCUUAGGUACGUGGCCAUGCAUGAUUUAAGCACCAAAACGUAGAUAAAGUAUACAAGAAAUUACUGAGUCUAUUAUUGAAUACCCUUUUAAUAUUUUGAACUUAAACUGUGAGAUUAUUGAAUAGAUCAUCCAUUUCUCUUUGGAGUACUAUUAAUGACUAAAAUGCCAUUAAAAUAAUUAGCAUGUUACUACCUGCUCCAUUUUAAAUGAGUUUAUGAUUUGAAGUGGUAGUCCUAAAAGACGUUUCCAUAAUUCAAGAGCAAGCUAUUUAAUUUAUUAAUUUUAUUGUUGCUAGCGAACUCUUCUUUGUUUCUUUUGCAUGAGUUGCCUAUAGAGCAAACGGUUUUUUAUUGUAUAAUCUACGUUCACAAAUGAAGUGGCUCCAUGAUUUUUGUUGAGAGUAGAUAAUAUCCCUACAUUUACAUUUGCAGCAAGUUUUUGUGCGUCUUUAUUUGGUGCUGAAUAUGAAAUUGAAAAUUAAAUUAUUCAAUUGUAAAUAUUUCUGUACAAGUAGGUCUCUUAGUUGACUAAACAAUAGUGUUGGAAACACGGCAAUAUUAAUUUUUAUAAUUGAUAUUUUUUGUGGAAAUUAUUUCUUAAUAUUCAUAUAUAUAAUUCAUUAACAAUUUUGCGUAAAGAGACGUAAGGAUGAUAUCCCUUCAUAUUUACAUCUGCAGAAAGUAUAUGUGCUAAUAGAUACAGUUUGUGCUGUAAUUAGAAUUUUUUUUUAGGUCGUCUGAUGGUCUGUCCUUUUCCUACUUGACCUCCAAGUCUUCGGAACUUGGAUAUAUUGUCCAACAAUUACGUGUGGAAAUGAUGGAAUUGAAUGUUGAAUUAUUCAAUUGCAAAUAUUUCCAUACCAGUAGGUCCCUUAAUAUUUCCGUACCUCCUUGACUAUAAUGUGAAUCUCAGAAGCAGGCAUUCUCCCACGGUCCCACCUCUGGACUUCGAGCAAAAGCUCUUAAAAAAAUUGGGAAUUGUAUAUGACUUAUUCCCUGGGAAACAUAAGUGGCCGUAAACAAAGAAUGGAAUGUUCAGCGGAGUCACGGAACUAAACUUGACCCCAAAGUCUUUGUUUCUGGUAAAUAAUUUUCCCGCAAAUUAAUUAAUUUUAUAGAUAUUGGAGGUGGGAUUUUACAUGAAACUAUUAUUAGGGAAAAAAAAUUGUGACUGCUUAAUGUGAAUGUUCAGAGAAGUUUUUCUAAAGUGUAUUUAGGAAUGGAAUUUAUGUGAAGCUUGCUUUACAUACUGAAUUUAAUUUCCCAAAAAAAAAAAAAUCCGACCACAAAAUUUUUCAAUAAUUUACAAACGUAGUUAAUUCACAUCUUAGGUAUGUGGCCAUGCAUGAUUUAAGCACCAAAACGUAGAUAAAGUAUACAAGAAAUUACUGUGUCUAUUAUUGAAUAGAUCAUCCAUUUCUCUUUAGAGUAAUAUUAAUGCAUAUAAAUCUCAUAAUAUUCUUUAUAUUUAUGUUAGCUGUAUAGCAUCUCAAGGGCUUUUUUCUAUUUGAAGGUUUUAUUAUUAUUGCAUUCUACCUCAAAAUCAAUAAAACUUUGAUUAUUAUAUAUAUAAAAAAUCAUAUUAAAUCAUUAUUGUUCACAACUUUGUGUACCCAUCGAGCAAAUCGGAUGUGUCCAAUUGGAGAGAUAAAAUUAUGGAAGGAAAAAUAUUGGAAACCAAAUAUAGAAGAUAAAAAACUGAUCCUUUAGUCAAAUAAAAUACGUUCUAGCAAAUUCCUCAAGUGAUUUUAAAUCUAAUAGCAGCCUAUUGAAUUAGAAUAUUUCAUUUAUAUUUUUUAGUAGAGAUUCCUAAUGACAUUUUUUCUUGAACAAGUGAUUUCUCGGCACUCCCCAAAUAAUUUCUAGCCUGACACACAAACAAACAAAUAAAUCACAUAAAAUUCUCGAACAAUUAUAUAUCACAGUUAAUUACUUUUUGACAUUUUUUAUAACAUUUUAUUUAUUUAUUUUAUAAGUUGGUGAUUAUUUUUUAUAGAAUGUUUACGCACAUAUUGAAUAGAUAUGAACUGCAAUUACCUCACAAAGGGUGUAAGCAAAGGGGAAAAAAAAAAGAGGAAAAAAAGAGGAAAAGUAAAUACUUGAGGUAUAUAAAAUAUGACUAAAAUGACUAAAAUGAGAAACCCUAUGUCAAACUAUCGCUUUAUAUUAUUUUAAAUGACUAAAAUGCCAUUAUAAUAAUUAGCAUGUUACUACAUUUUAAAUGAGUUUAUGAUUUGAAUUGGUAGUCCUAAAAGUUCUUUCUUUUUUCAAGUCUGUCCCUUUCAUUGACCUUCAAGUCUCCGCAACUAAUUAAAAUAUAGUAUCAAACAAGUGGCGCAAAACAUGGGGCUGAAGGUUUAAUUAUUGAAAACUUAAAUAUUUCCAUACAAGUGUUGGAAACACGGUAAUAUAUAUUAGUUUCCAGGAUAAUUUUUGUAAUAUUGGGCUUUUGUUGCGGAGUAAUUGACUGUUUGGGAUUAAUAAUAGUAGUUAUGGAUUAAAGUGUUUUUUAUUUAAAAGUAUAUUAAAAUAAUAUUUUUUAUUUUUUAAUAAUUAUUUUUACGAUCAGCACAUUAAAACGAUCUGAAAAUAUUUAAAAAAUAAUUUUUAGUGAAUUUUAAUUUUGAAAUUUGAGGGAAUGCGGUUUCAAUCGCGUUCCCAAAUGAUAUGUGUUUGAGAAUAUAGUUUUGGUUGCUUUUCAAAGUGCUUUUCACUUGAAAAUGUAUCAAAAUAAUAUUUAAAAAAAAAAAAAAAUUAUUUUUGAUAUUAGUGCAUCAAAAUGAUCUUAAAAAAAAUUUUCUUUUUUAAAAACACUUUCAAAAUGUAAAAACAAAUAAAACCUCCAAAUCAUAUACAUAAUAAGAAUAUGCAAUGAGUUUUUUUUCUUAAUAAAAUACGAGAGAUUUAUUCGAUCACUAUUAUAGCCAUUAAAAACAUAGCUUAAUAGAUAGAAAGAAGAGUAUAGAAAAACUCAGAGGAAUGAGAAAAAAUACUAGCACAACUAAGUCAUUUUCUCUAAGAAGUAAGAACUCUUGCUUGACUAAAUGAUCUGCAACAAUAUUAUUUCUUGUAUAUAAUUUUUCAAAAAAAAAAAUCAACACACAAGAUUCUCAAAAGGAUGAAUUUUCUUUAGUAAUUUACACGUAUAGUUAAUUCACAGCUUAGGCAAAUGGCAAGAUUCUUCGAUUAAAUAAUAUUUUUAUUCAGUCCCAAUUUAAAUUUAGGGUUUAAACAAUAUCUCAAUUAAAAAAUAUUUUAUUUCAUUAAUAAAUUUUCAUCAUACCAAGGGAAUUAAUUUGUAGAUGUUUAAUUGUAUUGUAAUUUUUCGACUUCAAAGAUUUUGAGAAUACUCCAAUUGCAUAACUUGGAAAUUCUAGGGUUCUAUCGUGGAAAUGGAGGAUUACAAAAAAGGUUUUAGGGAUGAGCUUUUUGCACCAAAGGUUGCACCUUCCAGCUAUAAAGAUGGAUUUCCAAGGUUUGAUAACAGCCAUUUAAAUAGCUUUUAGACCGACAAUUACACAUGAAAGGAAAAAUUAGAAUUUCAAAACUGGUGUUACGUUAAAAAUUCAAAAUUCCACGCCUGAUUUGAAGUCCUUACCGAAGUAGUGGGCGAAGCCAGCGAUUCCCUUACAGAAUUGGACAGGUAGAAUCUCCUAAAAAAAUUUGAGCGUGUUUUAAUUGUCAUAUAAAAAGUUACAGUUUAUUUAUUUUUAUAAAUAUGAAUAUUUGGGCUUGUUUGUGUAUACCUUAACUAAUCUUACGGGUUUUGAAGUUAAUAAUCAUGUAAGCCUCUAACAGCCCUAAAAUUUAUAGGAUUCGAACUAGUGAUUUCUAAAAAACAAAGUUAAAACUUGACCAAUUAAGUGUCACCCCUCAAUAUUAGUUAUAGUCUAUUUUAUUAUACAGUUCAUUUAGCAUAAUUAGAUCACUUAUUGAGUUUAAAUUAAUUUGUCUAUAUAAUCUAAUAAAAUAUUUGCUAGGUUAUUUAUAUUGUCCAACUGAAAUAGAUUUGUAUCCAAUUGAUCUGCAUCCUCCUGCAUCAAAGAUUAUUACAUGGCUAAUAAUCAAUAAUGUACAAUCUCUCAAACUAUAUCAUGCAAUUAUUGAGGUAUGCAUAGACAUCUUAAUUUAAUUAAAUUGAAGUCCGAGGUAAUAAAGUUGUUAUGGUUGUCUCUCAUGGAAUUAAAAAGCUAAUCCUAAAAGGUAUAAUUUAACUAGUUAGAUUCUAAGUUUAUUUUCUAUAGAUCACCAAUUAAUUCAAGUUUUAUAAACCUCAUGCUCAUUAAAGACUUAAAUAGUCGUUAACUUCAGGGUCCAAGAAAUUACUGUGUCUAUUAUUGAAUACCCUUUUAAUGUUUUGAACUUAAACUGUGAGAUUAUUGAAUAGAUCAUCCAUUUCUCUUUAGAGUAGUUUUAAUAACUAAAAUGCCAUUAAAAUAAUUAGCAUGUUACUACCUGCUCCAUUUUAAAUGAGUUUAUGAUUUGAAGUGGUAGUCCUAAAAGACGUUUCCAUAAUUCAAGAGCAAGCUAUUUAAUUUAUUUAUUUUAUUGUUGCUAGCGAACUCUUCUUUGUUUCUUUUGCAUGAGUUGCCUAUAGAGCAAACGGUUUCUUAUUGUAUAAUCUACGUUCACAAAUGAAGUGGCUCCAUGAUUUUUGUUGAGAGUAUAUAAUAUCCCUACAUUUACAAGUUUAUGUGCCGAUCUUCAUUUGGUGCUGAAUAUGAAAUUGAAGGUUGAAUUAUUCAAUUGCAAAUAUUUAUAUACAAGUAGGUCCCUUAGUUGACUAAACAAUAGUGUUGGAAACACGGCAAUAUUAAUUUUUAUAAUUGACAUUUUUGGUGGAAAUUAUUUCUUAUUAUUCAUAUAUAUAGUUAAAGAUACGUAAAGAUGAUAUCCCUUCAUAUUUACAUCUGCAGAAAGUGUAUGUGCUAAUAGAUACAGUUAAUUUGUGCUGUAAUUAUAAAAAAAUUUUGUAGCUCGUCUGAUGGUCUGUCCUUUUCCUACUUGACCUCCAAGUCUUCGGAACUUGGAAAUAUUGUCCAACAAUUACGUGUGGAAAUGUUGGAAUUGAAUGUUGAAUUAUUCAAUUGCAAAUAUUUCCAUACCAGUAGGUCCCUUAAUAUUUCCGUACCUCCUUGACUAUACAAUGGCAAACACAGAAAUAUUAAUUUUUGAAAUUGACAUUUUUUAUGCAAAUUUCUGAAUAUUCACAGUUCAUUUAUAAUUUUAGGUAAAGAUACAUAAGGAUGACAUCUUUUUUUUUUUUUUGAUAACCGUGAGUGUUUGAACCAGCUUAAACGCACCUUGAUUAAACAAUAGUGUUGGAAACACGGCAAUAUUAAUUUCCAUAAUUGACAUCGACAAUAUUAAUUUCCAUAAUUGACAUUUUUGGUGGAAAUUAUUUCUUACUAUUUAUAUAUAUAGUUAAAGAUACGUAAAGAUGAUAUCCCUUCAUAUUUACAUCUGUAGAAAGUGUAUGCGCUAAUAGAUACAGUUAAUUUGUGCUGUAAUUAUAAAAAACUUUUGUAGCUCGUCUGAUGGUCUGUCCUUUUCCUCCUUGACCUCCAAGUCUUCGGAACUUGGAAAUAUUGUCCAACAAUUACAUGUGGAAAUGUUGGAAUUGAAUGUUGAAUUAUUCAAUUGCAAAUAUUUCCAUACCAGUAGGUCCCUUAAUAUUUCCGUACCUCCUUGACUAUACAAUGACGUUGGAAACACAUCAAUAUUAAUUUUUGAAAUCGACAUUUUUUAUGCAAAUUUCUGAAUAUUCACAGUUCAUUUAUAAUUUUAGGUAAAGAUACAUAAUGAUGACAUCUUUUUUUUUUUGGUAACCGUGAGUGUCUGAAUCAGCUUACACGCACAUUGAUUAAUCUCCUCCGACCUUAAAGUUAACGAUCAUGUAAACUUUCAGUGGUCUUGAGGUUUGCGGCACUCGAACUGGUAAUCUUUAGGAAGCAAAUCUAAAAUCUGACCAGUUGAGCUACACAUUUCAGGAUUGAUAUCCCUGCAUUUACAUUUGCAGGGAGUGUAUAACUAAGUACCAACGUAGAUGAAAGUAUACGAGAAUUGUUGCAUCUGUUACGUCUAUGUUAAAUAAUCAUCAUUUAUCAAUUUGUGCCUCUAGAAAAAUCAUUUGAAUACCAUUUUAAGUAAUCUAAAAACUAUGUUUAAAUUGUGAAAACACGUUGCCUAAGCAAGAGUGAGUGUCGGGAACGCGUUGCUUUUAGAGCAAACCGUUUCAUGUUACAUUUCCAUACAUGUAGGUCCCUUAAUUGACUAUACAAUAGUGUUUGAAUAAUUUCUUGGCAAUCCCCUUCUCCUUUGCAACAAGGUUUUUCUUUUUUGUUUCGUGGGUCUUCCCUUUGGAAACCAUACGGGAAGAGUUGACUCUUAACAGUGUUAAAUAUUGCAUUGCAAAUAUUUCCAUGCAAGGAGGUCCCUUAAUUUGUUGAUGACUGACGGUAUGAUUGAUCUUUCUCACUGCUGGGAGAAACAUGCUUAGCUGGGUGCUGACCAAAUUUUAAAUAUAAGAAGACUGAACAAGAGUAAUGAAAAAAAAAAAGAAAAAAAAAGAAAGACUACUGAGUGUUGGAAACACGUAUAUAUAUAUAUAUAUAUAUUAAUGAACUCUUAUUUGUUGCUUUUGCAUGAGUUGCUUUUAGAGCUAACCGUUUCAUAUUAUAUAUUUCCGUACCAGUAGGUCCCUUAACUGACUACACACAAGACUGUUGGACACACCGCAAUAUUAUUCUCCAUAAUUGACACUUGUGCAAAUUUCUAGCUAUUCAUAGUUCAUUUAAAAUUUUAGGUAUAGACAAUGGUUGUAAAUUCCAUUCAAUUGUGACUGAUAUAUCUUAUUCUGGUUUAAAAAAUAAAACUAACUAGAACAAAUUUUAUCUCACUUCGAAUUUCAGCCUGUUCGAAAAACUCCAUCUAAAUUUUAUGAGCAUGUUCACCUUGAUUAAUAAUACGUGUUUUAAAAUUUAUUACCUGAAGAUAUGAUCUUCUUUGGCUUUGGAUAAUUAUUUUAAGGCUGAGUUGUCAUAAAUCAUAAGUCAUCUAAUUGUUUGGCCUCCAACAGUAAUCCACACGAAUCACUUUUGAGGAAUCUCUUAAAACUCUAUUUAGAAGAGAUGAAUUGUUAUGCUUAGAGUACUAACUCUUUAUUUUGUGACUAUGUAGUUUUUUUUUAUCUAACAAACAACAACUCCAAAAUAAGAGGCAUAAGCUGAGGUAUAAAGGAUACCUAUAAUUAAUAUGCAGGUGCUUGUCAUAAAACAUGUACACUAAAUUGACCUGCAUGAGAAUUUCUUAUGAAGAGAUCACUUAUGUUUAUGGAAAGGCUCGCGCGAUAGUUGUAUAAAUGAUCCUUAAACUUGAGAUUACUAAGUCAUCUUAUAUAAAGAAUGUUACACUUUGAUCUUGUUACAUGUAAUUAUCUUAAUCAAGGUAACGAAAGAGAAAACAUUGGGUAUAUCAUAAACUAUGUCGCACCCAAAAAAAAUAAAAUCGCGGGUUGCGACUGGCGAAAUUUUUUAUUUAUUUUUUGUUCUUUGGAGUCGCCACCUAGUAUUUUGGUCACUAGGAACCUAACUGGUCUUCAGAGAUCGGGUACGGAGACUGGUUGCGUAAAGGGAAGAUAUUAGCACCCCAAAUACGCCCUACCUAAGGUAAGCUGCAUUAUUUUAUUGUCUGAUAAAAAACUAAAGUGUUGUUGUGUUUUCCUAGUUGUUGGUCUGUCUAUGGUUCAAGAAAAAUCCUCCUUGGUAAGGAGGUCUUUAUCUCUUGGAUAAAAAUCCUAACCGUUCAAGUGUCUUUAUAUUUAGGAAUACGUUUUACGUAUAAAUUCGUAAUCCCAAAUACUAAAAGAAAACAAAAAGAUUUUUUUUAGAAUUUUUGAAAUAUUGGCCUAGUUCUCAUGGCUUGAAUAAACUGGUUAUUAAAGCCAAAAUGCAUGUUAAUACAUAUAUUGUUUUGAAAAUUUUCUUUGUUGUGUGAAAAUAUGAUGUUAUAAUAUUUAUAUAUAUAUAUUGGAGAGACUAGGCCGUAUUUUAAAACAAAAACAAUUUUUGGAAAAUAUUAUUUUUUUAUGCUUUGACGAAAAUCGGGUAUUUUAAUACUGAGCUUGUAUCCUUACGGUAUAAAAAUACAACCCAAUAUUAAUCCACUUUGAUAAAAAUAUGCAGAAAAAUCAACAACAUUUUUAGGGACUUUUUAGAAUUUUUUUGAAAGCAAAAACAUUUUUUAUUCUGAAAAUCUUUGAUAUUUUGACGAAAACCGGGUAUUUUUUAACACUGGUUUUGUAUCUUUACGGUAUAAAAAUACAAACCAACAUUAAACCACUUUGACAAAAAUAUGCAGAAAAAUCAACAAUAUUUUUUAAGAUUUUUCAAAAUAUUUUUUUUUAUUAUUGUAUUUUAUAUAUAUAUAUAUAUAUACAUAUAUACACAUAUAUUAUAACAUAUUAUAAUAUGUAAUAUAUAUAAUAUAAAAAAAAAUUCGGGCUGGGCCGGCCCAAAUAAACGGGCCGGACUCAGCCCACACAAAGAAAGGUUGGGCCGAACUCGGUCCAGACUGGGUUGGGCCGAUCUCGGCCCAACAGGCCAUCAUGCUUCUUCUGGUCUUGGCCGGACCCGGCCCAGACCUAAAGACUGGGCCUGAACCGGUCUGGCCCAGGAGAGAAAAAAAUGAAACGGGGAGGGGAAUUAAUUUUCCCCUCCCGUCCUCCUGCAUGCAAUAGGAUUAUGCAUGUAGGAGGAAGACGUUGCUAAAACAAAGGCAGGGGGGCAGAGGACGUUACCUGGUGUGGAGGAGGCGGUGCCGCGGCGACGUGGCUUCGCGGGCGGCGCUGCGGCUCCUUCUCUCUUCGGUGUUCGGUUCUCUCUCUCUCUUCGGCCUCCUCUCUCUCUCCUCCCUUCGGUUUUUUUUCUUUUUUUUUCUUUUCUUCGGUUUUCUUCUCUAUUUAUAGGGGAGAAAGUGUGAUGGGCCCUUCAUUAGUGCGCCUGGGGAGCGGGUUUCGUGGGUGGCUGGUCGGCCACCACCCACGACAGCAAGGCACCGCUCCCCUGCUUUCGGCCGGUCGGCCAAUAGCUUUGUUUCGGUGGUCCAAGUCGUGGGGGCAUCGUGUUGGUGGGCGCAAGGAUGCAAGGGAGAGAGAGGCGGGAAGAUUUUGAAGAAAAAACCAUUUUUCUUCUCCCCUGCAACGAGUGCAGAGAGGAAGACGAAGGAGGAACAGUGCCGUUCAAAACGGCACCGUUCGGUCCCCUUUUUUUUUUUUUUUUUAAUGUAUGAAACGACGUCGUUUUGGAUAAAACGCGCCGUUUCAUUUAAAAAAAAGGCGCCAGAAUAUGCUUUUGCAAAUCAGUCCUUAAUCAUCUUUAAUCAUUUCAAUUGCGUCCCUUCCAAUUCGGUCCCCGUCCCUCUUGUUGGCCGCGUUUUUCACUUUGGUCCUUGGCCUCUGAUUUAUGCAAUUAAGCUCUCAAUUGAUCAAUAAACUUCCAAUUUCUUCAAUUAGGCCCCUGAUCCAAAGCAAAACAGCCCCCUCUAUUUACCCGGUUUUUCCAAAUUGGUCCCUGGUUUCGGUUUUUCACAAUUAAACCCCUAAUUGGCCAUUAAACUUCAAUAUUUAUUCAAUUAAGCCCCUGAUUUGGCCUAAUAAAUUCCUAAAAAAUAUAUUUUGGCCCCAGAACUUAAAUUAAAGCCCAAAUUGACUUAAAAAUCAAUUUUCUUGCAAUCAAAUCUUCUAUAAAUUCAAAUAAAAAUCCAAUUAAAUCCAUAAACAUCCAAAUUUGGGCUUUUCUCCUCAAAAUUCAAAUUUUCCUUCUCAAUAGGGCUUUCAUCCUUCAAGAAUAUACUGUCAAAAAUUCAAUCCUUGUAUUUUUAAAAUUCCUUGACCGAUUUUCUGACUGUUUUCUGAGCGUUUCUGCCUCCUGUUAUUUUUUCUAACCUCUUUUGGCUAUUUAUUUUAUUUUUCAUGGGGACCCAAAAAUGGGUUACAACAAACUAUAUGAAGGUACUUGAGUGAUCAAGAGAAGAUUCAUCACCCUACAUGAAUUGAGAAAAAUAUUUUAUCUAUUCUCAAAUAGUAUUGACUAAGAAUUAUUUUGGCCAAUGUGGAAUAAGAUUUUAAAAGAGUUUCAAAUCUUAAUCAUACGAUUAAUGACUAUUAUAUAGAGAAUAAACAUGAUUUAACAUGACAAAUAUACUAUAUACUUUAAUGUUAUAUUAUAGCAUUAUCGAUAAACGGAUAUUCAUUAUACUGAGAAACUAGUUACUAAAAGGUUAAGUCAAACCACUAAUGACUUUUAAUAUUUAAAGAAUCAUGAAAUGUUGUUAGACAAUGCACCUGAUCUUCAAAUAUAAAUAAAUCAAUUAUUGAAUUAAUAAUAAAUUAAAUUAUUUUAUCUAUUUAAUUAGAAUUAUAAUUUUAGGUAAAGAUAAGUAAAGAUUGUUAAUUAAAGCAGUGGGUAUAGUGAAGAAGGCUUUGAGACGUGAAGAUUAAUAAAGCAUUUGCCAUUUGAAUUUCUUGGCAAUCCCCUUCUCCUGUGCAACAAGGUUUUUCUUUUUUGUUUUGUGAGUCUUCCUUUGGAAACCAUACGGAUAUUGCAUUGCAAAUAUUUCCACACAUUUAAAGACGAGAAAUCAAAGUCAUUAGCUUGGUGUUUUUAUAUAUAUAUAUAUAUAUAUAUAAACACCAAACAAGAGUAGCGGUAAUUAUAUUAAUGAACUCUUAUUUGUUGCUUUUGCAUGAGUUGCCUUUAGAGCAAACCUUUUCAUAUUACAUUUCCGUACAAGAGUGUUGGACACACCGCGAUAUUAUUCUCCAUAAUUGACUACACAAGAGUGCGAAUUUCUAGCUAUUAUUUAAGUGAAAUGAUAAUUUUGUUAUUCUAUAUAAAAAUCAUUAAGCCUCUCAUUACGAUAAAAUUAUCUUUUUUAUGAUUAAAAAAUCAUUUUCAAAUUAGAUAAUGCCAAAAAGGUAUUUUCAUAUGUUUCAGCACAAUAAAAUUACUUCAUCUCUUUUAAAAGAAAAAAAUUUUUAAACCUAGCUCUACAGGCUUUAUCGUCUUUUUCAUAAAAAAAAAAAACAGUAAAAUAACUCAUUUAAUCUUGAAAGCAAAGAUUUUAUAACUUAUGACCAUGAACCUUUGCAUCAUUUUACAUUGGAGUUUUUUUUAUAUAAUAUUCAAGCUUGUUGAGGGCUCUUUGGUAAUUGAUUUAAUAUAAUUGUUAUUACAAAAAACUUACUAGUGUAAGCAAUGCAAAUGUUAGCAUGUAGGUUGUCUUUGCAUCCUUUGGAAGAUGCUUGAGAAGCCAUAUGAUGGUCAAACUUCGACAUUCCUUCUAUUUGCGGAACGUGUUUCAAAUGGCCUAUUGGUUUGGCGCGGCCAAUUUUUUCUUUUUUUCCCCCUUUUCCCUCUCUUGGUUUAUGUGUUGACCCUUUAAAAUUUGAAAGUAGUCUUUCAUUUAUUCUUCCUUUAGAGUUAAUCUUUAUUCUUUUAAUUACUAUUUGUUUUAUUUGAGAUGAUUUUUAGAAUGUUUUUUUUUUUUUAUGAUUUCAUCAUUCUUUAGUUUUUUUUCCUACCAAUUCGAUCCUUAUUCUUUUAAUUACUAUUUUUUUCCUUGAUAUUUUUUUCCUGAUUUUAUACUUCAACAUUGAAUUUGUGAAAAAAACAAGCUUUUUAAUUAAGUCUGGAUCUAGGAUUUUACUGAUUGUGAAUUUAGGAGAUUAACCUAAUUUAGAAAAUUCACUCGAGUUUGCUUUUUUUUUUUCUUGAGUCUUUUUAUUUGUUGUUCUAUGUUAAAUUUAUCUUUUUAUAUAUAUAUAUAUAGAAAUCUUGUUUUUGAACUAAAUCAAAUAUAAACAUGAGAUGUUCAUCUCCUGAUCUUUUGUUUAGUUUUACUUUUGGGUCAUUGCUUUGAUAGUGUGUACGGUCUGUUUUGGUUUUGUCAUGGAACAUUUCACAUUGACAUUAUAAUCAUCUUGAUAAGGUCUUUCUGGUGGUUAAACGGUGUCUAUGAUGGAACAAUUUUAGGUGUUUAAUGGGCUUUUCUUUCUUCUCCUCUCGAAUAUCAUAAUGACAACUUAUUUUUUAUGGUUAAUUAUUGUCUUUUUUUCAAAUUAUUUAUGAUGUCUUUUUAAAUCAUAUUAUUAAAAUGAUUGGGCUUAUUGAACUCAGUUGAGUCAAUAAUCUGGAUUUUAUAUUUUUCUUGCUUCUUUAAAAACAUCAACAUCGCCUUAACAUUUUGCUUUUUUACAUUGAGAAAAAUUUAACCCAGCUCAUGGCAUAACAUAGAUCACUUAUCUAGUAUAUAAGAACAAUUAAGGCAAAUUAUAAUACAAUUUCAGCACUAUCAAGCCUCAAGGCUUCUCUUAUUAUUCUUUCUUUUUUUGAAUCUCUUCCUUUUCUUAUAAUGUGAAUCUUGGAAGCAUGUAGAUAUUCCCCCCACCUUUGGACUUUGAGAAAAAACUCUUAAAAAAUUAGAAAUGGUAUUUGACUUGUGCUUGAUCCCUUGGGAAACAUCAAUGGCCAUAAACUAAGAAAGGAAAGUUCAAUAGAGUCAGGAACUUGUUGGAUUCCUGAAUGUCAUACAAGCAACAUAAAUAAUAAAACAAAAUUAUUUAAGAAUCCCUAGAAUAAUGUUAGAUAGAUCUAGAGUUGUUUAGAGAUUUAUCACCUGAAGGUCUGAUCUUUUUUUGCUUUAAAUAAUUCUUUAAAGGCUGGGUUAUCGUAAAUUAUAAGUUAUUCAAUUGUCUGACCUUCAACGGUAAUCCACACGAAUAACUAGCGAAAAAUUUCUUAAAUCUUUAUUUAGGAUAGAGGGAUUACUAUGCUUAAAAUACCAGCUCUAUAUUUUGUGACUUACAUAGUUUUUUUUAUCCAACAAAAAAAAACGAUCUGAAAACAUAAAAAAAAAUAAUUUUUUUUAAAGAAAGAAAAGUUUUUAAAUAUUUAAGAGACACAAUUUCGACCGCGUUCCCAAACAUUAUCUUAGUUGUAUACAUGACGUUUAGAGGAUGACAAUAUAUUUUGAAUUUUAUUUGUGACCCUAAAUGAAUAUUUGAAAGUUCAUUCAUAAAAAUAUACAACUUAUGGUUUUGAUUCAGAAGAGAAAGUUUCAUUGUAAUAUGGAAGGUAGAACUUGCUUCAAAAUACUUAUCACCAUGAUUUAUGUAAUUUGAACUUUUUUGUUUUUGGUAUAAAUGAUAUUGUAUUGAUGAGAAACAAUUUAAGGAUAUAUCAAUAUUGAAUUGGUAUAUACAUUGUGACCGUUUGUUUCCGUCAUUGUGUUUGUUGAUGAAGCAAACCACAAAAAAUCGGUGUUUGGUAAUAAGUGAAACUUGAUUUAUUGUUCAUGGACCCCACUAUUAAUUGCAUUUAAAACGUGGGGUCGUUAAAAGCAGCUCAAUGUUGCUUUCCUCUUAUUCCUAUGGAGUGGAGAGUGACUCCACUAUUCACGUAAACAAUAGAGUCACUCUCCACUGUUCCGGCCAGACCGGGUCGGGUUCGGUCCAGAGCUAAAUGCAUUGAACCGGUCCGACUCAGUAAAAUAAAAAAAAUAAAUUUUAUUUUUUAUUUUUGUAAUUGUGUUUUUAUUAAAAAAAAAAAACUAGUGUUUAUCUGUCCGAUCUAGAGCUAAAUGCAUUGAACCGGGUCUGACCUAGUAAAAUAAAAAAAUUAAAUUAAAAUUAAAAUUUUUAAUUGUGUUUUAUUCGAAAAACUAGUGUUUGACAUUAUAAUGUAUCACUACAUAAAUUAAACAAAGAUUGCUUGAUGAAGUAGCAUUUGUAGAAUUUGAUCGCAAUCCCCAAUUUUGUUCCUGAUUAUAUUUUACCUGAUGUUGUUGUGCGCUUAAGAAACCAAUAAAACUGUAGUCAUUGUCGGAUGUAUUUCAUACGUGAUAGAAUUGUAGAUAGUUUAAUGGAACAAUAAAAAUUAUUUUAUAUAAAGUAUUAUUUAUUUCAUGAUGUAAUUGCAUUAGUUACAUCUACAAUAUUCAAAUUAAAAACCAUCAAUAUUAAUACGUAUUUUUUAAAAUUAUUUUAUAACCUCAAUUUGAAAAUCAUUCUUAACCAAACACAUUAAACUACUUUUUGUUCAACCUUAUUUUUAACUACAGUUUUAACCAAACAUAUAUAAAUAUCAAACCAAUUUCAACUAAAAGUACUUUUUAUAAAACAAUUUUUUUUAAAUCACAACCAUAAAAGCUAUCAUAAUACCAAACUUUCCACCGGGAUAUAUAUAUAUAUAUAUAUACACACACCUUUAGAUGGGAAAGAAGUGUUUAGAAAAAAUGCGUUUAACAAAGUAAAAAUAUAUGGAGUCUCUGGUACAACAAGAAAACCUCUGAUUUCUUGAUGUGCACAGAUCAAGGACUUCGAUGGACUGGACAAAGAGUUAACAAUUUCUUUUCUACGGUAUGGUAUUUGUAUUUUCUGACAAUUGAAAUCUAAUUGCUAUGGCUAUAAAUAUAUGUUCGUAAACUUCACGAUAGUAUUGCUAACAGGGAGGGGAGCUGUUUUAUCCACAUAUGAACUCUUCACUGAACCUCCACUUGACAUUUCCACUUGAGGGCAAGAAGUUUUUGGGUUUAAUUAAACUUUGGAACUAAUCUAAUUAAGCUUGAAAUUAAUUUAAUUAAUCCAAUUAAGGAUUUAAUUGGAAAAUUGUUAAAUUUUUAGAUUUAAUUGAGCUUGGAAUUAAUUUAAUUAAUCCAAUCAAGGGUUUAAUUGGAGAAUUAAUUAAAUUUUGAGACUUAAUUAGGCUUGAAAUUAAUUUAAUUCAUCCAAUCAAGGGUUUAAUUGGAGAAUUGAUACGUUUUGAGAAAAGGGCAGAACCGAAAGGGGGGAAGGAAAAAAGCCAUGAACGGCAGAAAACGAAGACAGAAGAACGAACCAGAAUAGCAAGUUUUUGUUUCUUCUCAAGGAACAGAGAGGAAGAGAAAUAAACAGGGGAUAAACAGGGAGUAGAUAGAGAGAGAAAAAGGAACAAACCAUGGGUACCGAGAGAGGGAGGACCGAAAGCACAGACUAAGAAAAGGAAAGAGCAAAAAGCCAGCAUUCCCAGCUUUGCUUUCGUCCCCAGAACGCAACCAAAGUGAACAAAAGAAAACAAAAAAAAAAAAACAAGCAGAAAAGAGAAGGACCACCAGAGAGCACCAGCAUAAUCAUCGGCUUCCCCUUCUCCAGCGCUAGCUUCCACAGCCAGAGGAAGAAGUUAAAAAGGAGAGGAAUGAACGGCCGACAGAAGGGAACACCGACAGAAGGGGAACGAACAGAAGCAAACCAGGAAAUAAAGAAAGCAAAGAAAAAACAGAGCAGGAGGAAGCAGCGUCGUUCGUCCAGCACAGCACGCCAUUGCCUCCAUCUCGCUCCCAGGUAAGUAUCUCCAAUUUGCAAAAUAACUCCCCAACACUGUGCAUUAGAAAUAUAAUUACAUGCUAACUGUUGCCAGCGUGCAUGAACAAUUCACACACGCUGGCGGAUAAAAAACGUCUGGAUCCAGCCCUAAAAAAAUAAAAAAAAUAAAAAAUAUGUAUGCAUGAAUAAAAAUAAUGUAAAUUUAUUGGUUUAUUUACUGACGCCAGAGUCAGAAGUAAAAAUACUAGUUUAAAUUUAUAUUAUUUUUAUUCGUUGUAUUUUAAUUUUAUUUAGCUAGAAAAAUAAAAAAAAAUAUGUGCAUGCGUAAAAAUAAAUUUUUUUUAUUUACUGGCGCUAGAGUAUGGAAUAAAAAAAUAUUGAUCUAAUUUUUUUUCGUACUACGAAUUUUUACCAACGUUAGAGUUGGAAUUAUUCGAGCUCGAAUAUUCACUGGCGCAGAGUCAGGAAUAUUAUAAACAAAUCAUCAUAGCAUAAACUAAUAAACAUUUAACAAUUUAAACAAAACCAACAAUGCAGUUGUCUUAGGCAGAACAUUUAAAGGGUGAUAAUAUCUUUCCUUUUACGUAACCAAUACCGAGCCAUAGAAUCUCUGUUGACCAGUUAGAGUUCCUAGUGACCAUAAUACUAGUGACGACUCUCAUACAAGACAUUUUUUCCUUUAAAGAACUGGAUGUCAGAAAUUAUUCUUUUCCAUAAUCGAAAAUUAUUUUUAGGGCUAUCGCGAUAUCAGGUGCGACACAACACCAAAACUGGGUCAGAUGGGGCACAUGUUGUAAGAAAUCCAAUUUUUACUUGUUUGAACAUAGGCAGAAGUUUCACAGAAGAAGGCUCGUGCAAAACUUCGCUAGAGAGAAUUCCCAACCAAGGAAAACCAAACAUGGCAGCAAGCAAAGAACCAUACAUAGCAUGACGAGAAAAUACAACAGGAAACAAGACUUUAUCGAAUUGAUUUCCAUCUUAUAAAUUGCAAGAUUUGUCUUCUCAUUCCAGUAAAGGUUGGGACACGGCACGCUGAACCUAAUCUUCCUAAAUCUAAUAACCAGUACAAUCAUGUCAUGACAUCUCGUUAGUGUGCGUUCACCAGGUCUCGAACCCUAUAUCACGCUCUCUUAGAUGCCUUAGCAUUGUAUAUACAUCAUUUCCAAAAACGUGGGUUUUGUAAUCUAUUUUUUAGGAAGAUCUUAUUUUCUAGGCCUGGUUACUCUGCCAAUGAUGGUUCUCUAGCUGGUUCUACCAUCAAAGGCUCUAAUCUCUCAGCUUCGUCAUUUCCUUUAGGUAUGAUGAGACCAUAUCCACCAGCUUUUCUUUUGUAAACAUUAUUUAUCUCACCUGGAAUCAAGCACACAGCAAUUCAGUACCUAUAUAAGUUAACAGAUUGCAGAGGAUAAGUGAAAAACAAAUUGAAACAAGCUGCAUAAGUUCAUACCAGUUUCUUCAUUCCUGAAACCAUAGAAAUCAUGAUCCACAUUUUCCAGCUGCUCAAUAUCUUCCGAGACAGUCAAAGGUGGCAUGUCAAAAAACUUUGAACGAACAACCUGGCAAUCGGUUUAGAAUUUAGAGAGAGAGUCUAUGGCAUACAAGAAUGAUACAUGGAGGUUUGCAGCGAAAUGAACUAACAAAGUUACACAUUGUGGGGAUGUUAUUUAUAUAAUUUCAACUGUUGGUAUCAGUGCAUUGUGUAACAGUCUGUUACCAACAAUAUCGAAAACAAUUGAGGGAAGAUAACAGUGAAAUUUCAAAGUUUAAGGAAGAGUCUUAUCCUGGUUGGCAGACUAACUCUAAGAGCAGAACAUAUAAGGGACAAGCUCCACUCAACAAGAUCUCUAGAUAAGGAGAUAAAGAACUUGAAGUUCAAAUUCCUUGGCAGCAGGGGGGAAGGAAAUUUGAAUUUCUUUUCCCAUUUCUUUAGCUUGUUCUGUUCCAGUUUCUUAAUAUAAAUAACAGCCACUGUUGGCUGCAGUAGGGGCAUCUGAGAGUGAAUUGUGUUAUGUCUUUAGUUAAGAAAUUUAGGAGGUUGGCUACCUUGAAUUAUUCAGAACUAGGAACAAGGCUUGGCUUUGUUAUUUUCUUUCAUUGUAUAAGUUCCAGCAGUGAGUUGUUCAAUUUUCCAGCAGCUAGGCUUGUUACACAGUGGCACCAAGCUGCAAGGAAGAAUUUUCAGUGCCAAGCCAUAAUUUGAAAAGAUUGAGACUCAAAUCCUUUAUGAGCACAAAAUUUGUGUGAAACAAUUUCCUUUCACAGAGUCUAUAAAUGAUUAGCUAAGAGAAUCAACAUGGCAUUAGCCGUGGCACAAGGUAUGAUCCUAAAUUUCUGCAAAUUAGACAUGCCACACUGGUCACUAGAUGGUGGAAUAGGAAAAGCUCUUUAUGGUGUAUAGAUUAUUCUAUGACCAUAUUGAAUGAACUCAUGAACAGAUGAGACCUAAAUUUGGUGAUGCAAAACAAUGCAUAGCAACCAAAUAGAAGCAAAAACAAUAAUGACAACAUAAACAACGAGAUUAAUUUGAUUAAACAGUAAUUUAAGAGAGACAAACCUCUUCGAUGGAGUCCUCAACUUCUUGCUGUGAAACUUCAUCCGCAUCACCCUCCACCACUUGUGGCACUGGUUCUCUAACCUUCAGCCUAUUAAACCCUUUCAUGUGUCUACCAUGAUCAGACUCCUUCUCCUUAAUCUUCCUCAACUUUCUUUGAAUAAUUGACGACACCAGAUCAAUACUUGCAUAGAUUGUCUCAGCAUCUUCCUCUGCUCUCACCACUCCAUGCCUAUUUGUAAACAAAGUCACCUACAAGGAAAACCAGUCCAUGAAGAAAAGAAAAAAACCAAUUUAAAGCAAACCCAAGAGCAUGAAAGCUAACUUUCAAUUAAAAAUGUAAAUGGUACCUCGCAUCUUCUAAUCCUCGGACCUUUCCCCACUCUCCACCUCUAACAGACAAUCUUACAUCAACUUCCCUAACAAGAUGACUAUGUUUUUGAACUGCCUUUCCUACUUUGUCUUCCACAUGUCUCUUAACUGUAUCAGUUAACUAUACCAAACCAAACAUUUUGUUACAUUUACAAUUUGGACAGUAAAUAACAAAAAAAAAUUAAAUCAAAACUUGAAUCAUUUUAAAGAAUUCAAAGACAUAAAGAAUUAGAAAUGUAAAUUUAGAAGUUAGAAUCUUUAGAGAGUUAAAAGCAAAACCUCCAAGUUUUUGCCUUGAAUGAUUAAUUUGACAGAGUGAAGUGGACCAUCCCAUGACAUCUUAACUGAGUAACCACCAUGGGUUAAAGGAGUCCUUGCUGUCCUUCCAAACUCAAUAAAGCUCACAUUUUUGCCUAAAAAACUGGACUUGAGAGAUGAUUUUGGGAUCGGGGUCUUAGUAGAAAUGACUGAAGAAGAAGCUAGUGAAGUCUUAGGUGGUGUUGGUGAUAAUUAGACAAAUGGGUUCUUAAAGCUUGUCUGCAAAGUACCUUCUACAAGAGAAGCCAUUGACAAUUUUUCUUUGAGGUCUGUUUGGAUUGCUGGAAAACGUAGGAAAACGUGAGGUUUUUGGAAAGAUCUCUCUCUGGCAAGAUAAAUGGAUAAGGACACGUCAGCUGAUGGAUGUUCAAUGCUGGGUUUUGUUUGGUCCCCACUAGAUGUGGACUGAAUCUUUAGGCUCAUGAGCCCAGAAAGUUUCAAUCUUCAUGUCUUUAGUGGUAUUAUACAAUGGGGUUAUGGGCUCAAUGUGUUUAAAACACAACUAAGUCAUCUUCUCUAAGAACUCUUUGCUUGACUAAAUGAUUUGCAACAUGAUUCUUCUUUCUAUGAGCAUGUUUAAAACACAUAGAAUGAAGCCUAUUGCAUCCAUUUGAAAUAUCAUUGAAUUUAAUUUGCAGGUGCCAAGAUUAUAUAGCAUUUGUUCCUUUAAUAUAGGUAAUGGCAUUGUAAGAAUUUGACUCUACAACCAAUUGAUUUGUAGAAGCAUGGCAGCAAUCAAUACUAAAAAGCAGCCUUUUGAAUUACCAAAACUUCAGCUUCAUUAGAUUUCAUAUUACUCGUGGAACAAGAAAAAAAAACAAAGAAAUCUCCUUUCACAAUCUCUAAGGACACCAUCGAUUCUUGAUGGUCUUGGUUUGCAACUUGACGACGCGGUAACAUUCCACUUCAGCACACCUGAUAUGAGGUAGCAAAGAAGAACCAUUUAUGUUGUUAGUCCACGUGAAAUUCUGACAUAAAUAAAUAAUCAAAUGAAAAUUCAGAUAGAAAAUUUUAUUUCCUUCCACAUAUAAGCUAAGCUGGAAGAAAUCUACCGAUUACCUGUUGAAAUGAUGAUAGAGCUCAUAACUAACAAAUAGGGGUUUUUUCAGAACAUGGAACAAAAAUCUCUCCCUUCUUCCUUGAUAAGCAGCUGGCCAGCCCGAUGAGAAAAAAAGAAAAGGAAGCUUUGAAUUUUUCUUCUCUUUUAUCUUUUUUUUUCCACUUAAAUGAAGAGUAGGAAGUGAGCGAUUGGGUUCUUUCCUUGUUUUCUUGGAAAAUCAAGUGUGUGGGAUAGUGUUUAGGAGAGGGAAAGUGAGAAAUAAGUAAUUGAAGUAAAGUAUAAUGAAGGGAAAAGGAGAAUUGAGGAAAAAACUUGCUAGAAAAGUGUCAAAUGAGGUUCAAAAGUACUCCUAGGUAAGAUAUCAUACCUCUCUAAUUUUUAUCAAUUUAUGUAUAGGAAAGGAAAUUAUGAUUUUCUACUCUAUGGUUUCAUAAACUUCGAGAAAUUGGUAACGUAAUUGUAAAUUGUUGAUUUUGGGUAGGAGGUGAGCUUAACUAUUAGAAAUGUCAUAACUUAUUUAUAGGUUAUUCCCUUUAAAAUUUACCGUUUACCCUUUUAAAAUAAAAACUAAAAAGGAGACUAUGAUUUUGACUGAGCUUGAAGUAAGAUUAAACUGCAACUUUGAAUGAAUUGGGACCCCAAUUGUACCCUAAAACUAAAAAGACAAAGCAUAUUGGGGGGGGGAUAAAAAAAUAGAGGAAAAACAAAACAAUAAAAAAAAGAAUUGAAAAGAGAGAAAAACAGAAAGGAAAGAGAGCCUAGUUAAAGAUUAUUACCCACAUGAUAAUCAACAAUGCACAAUCUCUCAAACUAUAUAGUGCAAUUUUAUUUUUUUUUAAUUCGAGGAAACCCUACCUCUCGAAAAGUGCACUUUAUGGAUCCAGAUGAACGAGUAAAACCCUAGCUGUCCCAGGUUUUUAUAAGAGAUGCAUGCCUUGACUUGAAUUCAAGACUUGCUAUGCAGAUUUCAAGCCCCUUGUCACCACAUCACGCCCCUUGUUUCUCGUAGAAUUAAAUCGCUUGUGCAUGGGUUCUCACUCUGUUCCUGGUUUAUUAAAUCUCUUGGCAUGACCUCUUUCAUUGGUGGCUCGCCCCAUGCGAUUAAUAUUCAUGUGGAUUCCCCAAAGUAGCAUUUGAAUUCUGUAAAUUACCUUCCUUUUUGUUCAAUUUCCUAUGUCUUAAAAAUUUUGUGAUUGACGGAAGCCUAAUUAAGUAGACAACAUUGUAGUUUCGAUAUGCCAUAAUUUUUAUCUGAAUGUCCGAUUGAGGCUUGUGAAAACAAUGUAAAAAAAAAAAGAGAAGGGAAUUUUAACUAGUUUGAAGAGUUUGAAGUGUGCCACGUACAAUGGCUAAUUUUAUCCUGAAAAUUCCCAUUUUGAUAUGUGAGGCUAAGGCAAAUAGAAUAGUUCCUAAUAAACAUUUCAUCCAAGUUUUGAAAUUCGGCCCGACUUGGCAGGUCGACCCGUGACCCGGACGACCCAGGACUGGAAUAAAGUCGGGUUGAAAAAAAAACAAAAGAAGGAAAAACCCGGUGUGACUCGGCGACCCAGUCAAGACCCGGCUUCAAACCUGUUGACUUUUAUUUUGUUUUUAUUUUUGUUUUAUUAAAACGACGUCGUUUUGAUUUUAAAAAAAUGGAUCCAACCGACCCGGCGACCCGGUUAAGACCCGAAACCCGGGCCGACCACCAGGCCGGGUCUUAAAAAUAUGAUUUCAUCUAACACAAACACAUAAUUAAAGCAAAACAUUCAUGAAUCUUUGGCAGAAUGUCGAUAGUUACUGGCCUUAGAGAGCAUAUUGUUAGAACCACUUAGGUGGAGAUUAGUGGUUCGGUCUAUGCCAUUAAGGUUACAGAGAAACCAUGCUUAGAGGUUAAUUCAAGUAGGUUUGAUAAAAAGAAGGUUGUGGAAAAUUGGGCUGGGAAGUUGAAUCCUUCCAACUUUGAUACUUUAGAAUCCUCCCAACAUGAUUCUCUCAAAUCAUCAUAUGCUGCUGCUGAGUAAUUUUGUUCUGAGGAGCCAAUGGAAAGCUGGAAUAGAUGGAGCAAAAAUUGAUGACACGAAUGAGACUGCUGUAUGUAGCCAUGGUAUGGAUAGGGAAUUCUCUUUUUGUGAUCCUGGGUGAACAUGUACUGCCUGAAAGAAUUAACAAGAAGGGUACUUUGAAUGUUGAUUUGCUUUCUCCAGAGAAAGGGUUCUUUGAGGAAAUCUGUUGCUGAGACCCUUGAGGAGACAGAAACAACCGAUAGCGACCCGAUAAAUGCAACACUGCACUAACAAGCUUCCCUGCUACCAUAGCUGCUAUAAAAAGCAAUGGAGUCCAAAUUGUUGAAAAGCAGUCAGAGGAAAAUUUAAAUAUUGAUGGUGGGCUUAUCUAUAAUGUAUUGGGCUAGAGGAAAACACACUCUCAAUAGUUCCUGUUGACAUACAUGAGCCUCUGUUAAAUACUUACUAUAAGGCUUCGGACCAACAACUGAUCUCAUUCAUGCUUAAAUGACCCGGUGAAAUAUAAUAAAAACAAGAUGUUUGAGGUCUUCAUCACACCUAUAGCAGAACCAGAUGAGAUAGCUGAACUAGAGAAGGAAAAGAAGAGAAGUUCGAACAAAAGAAAGAAGAAACUUUCCUUAAAACCAGCUACUCGUGAGGGGAGAACAUCAAGAAGUAGAAAAGAGAAGUCUGCUAACCUGGAAAUCACUGAAAUGUCUAUCUCAGAUGGUGAAAUCAGAAACAGAAACAGAAACAAGGCUAUACGCUCUGGCAUGGACAUUAAUGUAAUGGAGAAGGGGAUCAUUUCCCCUCGGCGACUGGAGCAACAACCACCUGUUGAUAGUAGAAUGGAAGCUAAAGCUUGCUGGGAGGUUGGAAAGGCCAUUCUUUAGCUAGAUGAUGAUAGGGAUCAGAUUGUGGACACCUUGAAGGUUUUCAUAGAUAAAGAGCGGGAGGAUUGGAAAGGAAGGUUGGAGUAACAGUAAUGCUCCACUAAGAUAUUCUAGAUCCUGGUAUGUUGUUCCCUCAGUUGGUCUUUCUGGGGCCUGCUUUCUAUAUGGAAUUCUCCCAGCUUUAAUGUCACGAAUACAAUGGUAGGAUAUUGCAUAUAGAAAGAGUCUUUACAUAGUACAAUACUGAUUGAGUGCUAUUUAUGGAUUAUUCCUCAAAGAAAGAAUUGAGGAGCUAUCUGGUGAAUUUCAAAUGUAACAUUUCUAAGCCAUGGUGCCUUGUUGGGGAUUUUAAUGAGACUAUCUCUCCUUCAGAUCGUAAGGGUGGGAUAAAUAUUACUUGUUCUAUGAAAGCAUUUCAAUAAUGUUACAUGGAUAUCCUUUCUACUAACUACAACCUUCUGUUAAAUUAUCUAUAUCUGAUAACUCUGUCAUAUCCCCUGUUCACGAAACAUUGCACACCAAGCAACUAGGUGUUUCCUUCGGAUGUUUGGUUCUAUGGUAUUCUGGGUUUCUUCUGCAGCAUGUUAUUGAAUCUAUGGUGUUCUGAGUUGCUUCCUUUUGAGAAGAAUUAAUUUUUUAUUUAUACCGAACAGGUUGUUAUACAUAGUGAAAGCUUGAGCCAUAAUAUUGGCAGGAUUGCCGGUAGCACUGGGAAGCAGAAUUGUUGUCCCCUGAAAAAAGAAAAAAAGAAGGGACAGAAGGAAAAGAAGAACAAACAUCAGAAAUUGUAAACUAACUGUUUAUCAAACCAGACAAUCACAAGCACAUUUGAAUAAAUCUCCUCACCUCUUUGGCAAUGUUACCAAAAGCUCCCACAUAUUGCUCAGCAAUUUUCAAGCUAGCCGCCUGCAAAUCAUGCCACAAACGUGAGCCUUGAUGCAAAUAAGAUAUGCAUGUCACAGUUGAUUGUCUUGUGAACGCUAAAAUGCAAGAAUCACAAAUCACAUGUGGUAUAAAACACUUGCAAAAUCACUAAUAUAUCUUGUUUACACAACCACAUCAAAAUCUACAUGGAGAACCUCACCUCAAUCCCCCCACUCUUUUUAAUAUUCUCUGACACAAUGGCAAUUCCUUUGGCUGUUGCUUGUGCUUUAGCAAUGAUGGCUUCAGCCUCACCUAAAAUAUUAUCGAUAAGGAUUUAAAAGUAUAUGAGAUUGGCAGCCGAUCAUAUGAGAACUAUAUAAAGAUAAGCCAUGAUAUUGCCCGAUCAAGUCUGGUUGGUUAUCAAAUAUUGUAGAGUAGCUAAUGGGUCUAGAAAAUGAAAAACUAGAGCAUCCAAAAAUAAACAAUCCAGGAGACUAGAAGAGCAAAUUAAGAGCCAAACCUAUUUUAAGUGCAACUAGGUACCAGCACUACCAUGUAAAAGCUUCAACAGAUAUGAAAAGUCAUAUAAUAACAAAUAUGUUCUCACAUCACGUGGUUUGUUUAAAAAGUAAUACUUGAGAUGCUACAGCCAUCUCCAAUGAAACCCAAUCAUAAUCAGUGGAUCAUUGCACAUAUACACAAGGAUAUACGAAAGACAAGGAUUGAAAGAAAAUUGAGAUUAGCUGCCUACAAAAUAACUGUAACAAGAUAAGCCAUCAUAUCACCUCAUGAAUUUUGUUUGCUUAUCUACUAAUUUGGAACAGCUUAUGGGUCUAGAAAAUGAAAUAGAGGAGCAUCAAUUGAUUAUUGCACAGCAGAGAGACAUGAUAAAGCUAACCUUGUGCUUUGUUGAUGAGAGCUUGUUUCUCUCCUGUUGAGGAAGAGAGUUCCAAUGAAGAAAUGAUGGCAAUUGGAUGAUAAACAUUAAAGAAGUAAAACAAGUUCUAUUUCAAAAAAAUACCAGAGAAGUUACAACCAUCUCCAAUGAAACUUGUAACCAACAGAAUUCUAACAACACACAAGAAAACUAACCUUGUGAUGCCAAGAUCUGAGCACUCUUAUGACCAUCAGCAAUAUUAAUAUUGGCCUGUCUCUCUCCUGUUAAAAAUAAUCAAUACAAAAGAUUAUCAAUGGAUUGACAAAUGAAGAAAUAUUGCAAUGCCUCAAUAGAGUUUUUAUUAAAGAAUUGAGAAAAUCGAGACUAAUGUUCUCUGAACAUGAAAAACAAUGAGAGAACGGCAUGAUUUUUAUAAUUUCUAAUUUUAAUUUCUUGAGUUAGAGAGCUUAGAUUUAUAUAAAAGUGAGGUUUUACAAUUCAUGAAUAAUAAGACAAUUUAAUCAUAUUUAAUCAGAAAAACAAUAGGAUUAGAGGAUAAAAAGUAAUUUAAAUUACUUUGAUUGUUCGAACCAAUUCGGGUAGUAAAUUUUUUAAGGUUUCGGAGAAGAGGUAAUUCAGAGAGAAUUACCUCAUAUUUAUUUGAGAUAAUUCAUGUAAAAUUCAAAAACUUAAGUCAUCCAAAUUAUAGUUCUAAUUUAUUUGUAAGGUUUUAGAAAUAAUGAGAUUGUAAUUUUUUUUAGUAAAAAAUUUCUUGAGCCUAGUUUUAUUAAUCCAUAUUUUUAAUGAAUUUAUUUUAAAAAAUUAAUGGGGCAAUGGUAAGAACAAUAUUAAUUUUGGAUUACCUAAUUUUUUCAAAAUAGGGUUUAUACGUACUGCUAUAAAUUGAUAAUAAUAUUUGCAUCUUAGAAAAAACAUUUGAUCGUAAAUCCUCUAUUACUUUUGUAUUGCAUUAAUUACUGCUUGGAUCGACACGAAGGUAUAGAGCUAAGCAAGUUAGCUAGUAACACUUGAGGGUCUAGCUCAUUGGUCAAUUGCAAGGCUUGUUUGUGAAGGUCCUAGGUUCGAUCCUCAAGAGUACCAGCCUGUCACCCCUGCGAUGCCUUACUUGCCUACUGGGCUUGCAGGAUGUUUAGUAGGCCAUGAGAUUAGUUGUGGUGCUCGUAAGCUGGCCCGGACACCCAGGGUUAUCAAAAAAAAAAAAGUUAGCUAGUAAUUUAACUGAUAAUAAUUAAGUAUUAUAAAGUGUGAAUCAAGAAAAAGAACAUUUCUAGUUUGAAUCUUAUCACUUAGAUUUCCCAACUUGCAUAUUACAUAUAAGUAUGUGAUUGAUUAAAAAUCUCGAGUUGAUAAAUUUUUUACCGUGAUUUAGCUCGCGAAAGUGGUCCCUCACUCGCAGGCUAUGUCAGGAGUGAGUCCACGCUAUGUAUAUAAGAAGAAGAAAAAACGAAGGUAUGGAGCUCUAUGUAUCCUUAUUAUUGGUAAAGGUUUAUAUUUAUGUGGAAAAGUGGUUAUCUCUUACAUGAACUUUGGUAGAAUGCAAAUGUGAUUCAUAUGUGCUCCCGGCGAAUAUCUCAACCUUCUUACGUGAUGCUGAAUACAUAAAAAUAGGAGAACGAAGCGAAGAAGGAUUUAAUUACAAAAACUACAAUCAAACUAAAUCUCUAAGAUAUAAUUUACAAAUCAAGCUUUAAUUGUUUUGAUUCCGAAUCCUAACAAGACUAGCCACCAAAUUACAUAUUCGGUUUUUUUUUUCUUUUUUUUCCAGUUGCAAUUUGCGGCGGCAUCCCAUUUCCAGGAGCUAAGCCUCAACAAGGUUGCUUAUUCACAUUACUAUUUUGCAUGCAUAAAUCUAUGCUAGAAAUAUUUGGAACUAAUUACUUUGCCAACGCUUCUGUUUGCAUGAUAACACUGCCCAAAAGUAGGCAAGGAACAGAGCAUUAGAGUUGGUUGUGAAACGAGGACAGCGCCUGGUUGAUCCGAGUGAUGGAGAAAAAGUGGAUGAUUGGAGUUCUCCCAUGCUUCUGAGGUCUUGAAAGAGUUCGACAGCGCCUGUUUUAUUCAAGAAGCUUUUGGUCUUCGUCACCAGGCAUGAGGUAUUUUAGUUGUAUGGAUUCCUAGCUUCUCAGAACUAGAGCUCUGAUACUAUAAAGAAAAUGAUAAUGCAAAUGUUUUCUGUAUUUUCUUUUUUCAAUAUUGCAAAGCUGUACGACAGAUAUAUGCAGUUUACAUACAAUCUGAUCCACCAUUCUAGGAGCUAUUCUAGGAUUAACUUUGAUAGACUGUUAAAGAAUCGAAAUGUCAAAGCAACCAAUCUCUUCACGGCGAAUUGUACUUCACAUAAAAAGCGCACUCCUAAAUAAAUAAAUAAUGUGAAUACACUAAGAAAGGGUGAUUGAAGUAAAUAUGCAACAACUGCUGCAUGCAUUGGUUCUUUUUUUAUAGAUGUAACACCCAAACCUUGCAUCAAAGUUAACAAAAAAAAAAAAAACACGCAAAUUAAGUGACUCGAAAAUAUUCCAUGUAUCGAAUAAAGCUAAUAAUAAAAAUAAAAUUAAAACACAACCAUGAAGGAAAACAGAAGCAGUACGAAAGAGGAAUCCAAUUCUCUGAAUCUGCCACUCUAGCGUUCUUCUCAUGUCAACCUCCACUUGGUAUCUCAUAAGGUAGCGAGAAUGUUUAUUCCAAACUUCACUGCAAUAGAGAAACAUACAAAUAAUUUUUUUUAUUUAAUGAAUCCGAAAGCGAAAGAAAAGACUAAUAAAAGGAAAUAGCACAGAAAAAAUAGCAUAAACUCACUACCAGAAAAUCGCUAAAUACCAACGGACAUACCGACGGAAUUUUUUCUGUCGGUAUUUCUCGGCCGAAAUCACCGACGGCAAAUAUUCGUCGGUAAUUACCGACGGACAUAGUCCGUCGGUAAUUACCGACCGAAAAUUCAGAAUCAAUGAAAAAAGGGCGGGCAGUGGCGCGGAGGGUUUGGCGGGUGAUUUUUCCGACGGAAUCACCGACGGAAUUAAAAACUGGAGCCCGUACGCGUGUUGGGACCUAUUCACCAACAAAAAAUACCGACGGAAUCACCGACGGAUUUGAAAUGCCAGAUCCGUACCGGUGACGUGACGGGUGCACCGUUAAAACUACCGACGGAAUCACCGAGGGAUUUGAAUAGCAGGUCCGUGCGGUGACGUGUCGAUUGCCCGUCAUAAUUACCGACGGUUUCGCCGACGGAUUCACCGACGGAAUAAAACCCGUCGGUAAGUCCGUCGGUAAAAGUGAAUAUAUGGCCCCUCUGCCGACACUCUCCUCCCCCAUUUCUCCUUCUUCUUCCUAAUCCUAACCCUCCCCAUCUGCAAAAUAACCAGCCCCCCCUCGCCCCAAAACAAAAUCUUUCUCAUCUCAGCUCAACAAGUUGUAUUUGUUUUGUGGUCACAGCAUCCGUGUUCUGAUUUAGCGACGGAUUUUAUCAUUUUUUGUAAGUAAUUCUAUAUUUUAAAAUUUUAACAUUUAAAUGUUAAUUUUAUUGUUUUUUUAGUAUAUGUAUUAUUUUUUAGUAGAUGUACAUGUUUUAUUGUUAUUUCUCAAACAAACUUGUAGUAUAUGAAUGUAUAAUUUUAUACUUGUUAUGGUUUGUUUUAGAUUUUGUAAGAUUGUAUUUGUUUGAAAAUUGUUAAAACUUAAUUUGUAGAAUUACCGAAUUACAUGUUGUGUUUUGAAAUAAUUAAGAGCUUGCUUAAUUAAUGGGUCCUUUUUAUAGAGGUUCGAUAGAAGUCAUGGAUGAUCGUUCAUGGAUGUAUCUAGAUUCACCCCAAGGAUUGCGGAGGAUGGAUUAUUGUAACGGGGUUCAGGGUUUUAUUAAUUUCGCAACAUCUAUUCCCAGAAAUUUUACUGGAGGCGGUAUUAGGUGUCCAUGCAGGAAGUGUCAAAAUAAAAAGUAUCUGCAUCCAGAUGUUGUAAUGAUGCAUCUUCUACACAAAGGGUUUGUGGAGGAUUACGAGUGUUGGUAUGCACAUGGAGAGGUAUUUGUUAGUAAUAGGAGAAUGGAGAAACGGUGGUUGGGUCAACUUCUAGUGCUAGCAACGUGCAUGAAGCGGCAAAUGACAACACUAAUCCUUACAGAAACAUGGUUAUGGAUGCAAUGAGAAUGAAUCAAGAUAAUGUCAAUCAAUGUCCAAUCGUAGAAGAAGAACCUAAUGCAGAGGCAGCUAGGUUUUUUGAUUUGUUGAAAGAUUCUGACGAACCAUUAUGGGAUGGCUGCACAAACCACAGUAAAUUAUCGGCUGUGGCACAGGUGUUCACCAUCAAGUCAGGUCACGGGUUGAGUGAGGCCGGGUAUGACAAAAUUAUUGAUUGGGCAAGAAGCAUUUUACCAGAAGGGAACAGGCUCAAAGAGAACUUCUAUGCUGCGAAGUCCAUGAUGAAACCCCUCGGUUUAGGAUACCAGAAAAUUGACAUGUGCCCUAACUUCUGCAUGUUAUACUACCUUGAAAAUGAUGUGAUGACCGAGUGCAUGACAUGCGGGCAUUCUCGUUACAAACCCAGAACUGGCAGGGGGAAGACUCUAGUGGCAUAUAAAAAACUUAGAUAUUUCCCGAUCACACCUAGACUACAGAGGUUAUUUAUGUCACCAAGGACUGCUGAGCACAUGACAUGGCACCAAACACACGAUGUCGUUGAUGGUGUGAUGGCGCAUCCUUCUGACGGCGAACAUUUGUCUCAUGUAAUUUAGAUUAUUGAUGAUGUAUUUUGUAAAACAAAAUAUUUAUUGUUUAAGCAAUGUGGUUAUUGUUUUAUGUGAUAGACAGUUUAUCAGUUAAGUUAUUGCAGGAAGGUAAACAGGCAAUACAAAGACAACCUUUCCUGCAUAAUGCCACAAUCACCGACGUCAAUACCGACGGAUCGCCAUCCGUCGGUAUCUCACAGAGAGUUCGUAAAUAUUUACGAGAAAAGCCACCAACACCGACGAAAUUACCGACGGCUUCACCGACAACUAUACCGACGGAAUGAAAUCCGUCGGCAUCUCACAGUGAGCUCGAAAAAAUCCACCACCAUCGACGGAUUACCGACGGAACAUAUCCGUCGGCAUCUCACAGUAAGCUCGAAAACAUCCACCACCAUCGACGGAUACCGACGGAAUAAUCCGUCGGCAUCUCACAGUAAGCUCGAAAACAUAACACCACCAUCGACGGGAUUACCGACGGCGUAGGUCCGUCGGUAAUUUGUCGGUUACCAUUACCGACAGAAUUACCGACGGACCGCGCGUUUUCCAAAGUGCGUUAAUUAAUGCGCCUCUGAACUUGUCAGAUUACCGACGGAAUCACCGACGGACUGCGAAAAUUUUGGAGGGCUUUUAAAAAUUCGGGGCGAAAUUCGAAAAAUACCGACGGAAUUUUGACCUUUACCGACGGAUUUGACCUUUACCGACGGAUGUUAAUUCCGUCGGGAUUCCGUCGGUAAAAUUGACCUAUAAGUUCCACCCCGCCGCUUCGCCUCAUUUUUUCUUCUUCUCCCCGCCGCUUCUUCUCUUCUCCUCCGUUUUUCAGCCUAGAUUUUUCAUUUUUUUCCCCCUCAAUCCUUAAACACUUUCACCUUUAAUCUCUAGCAAGAUUUGGUGUUGUAAAUCUUCAUUAUAUUAAAAGGUAUGUGUUUUUUUUCUAAUUUAUUUUAUUUUAUUUUAUUUUUAGUUGUUUUUAUUUUUGUUGUGUUGGUGUUUUUUGUUGCAAUGUAGAUAAAGUUUUGAAUUUGACACAUUAUUAAGGUAUGUAUAUUUCGUUCCUUUUUUUUUUUUUGAAUAUUUUUUGAAUUUGUUGAAUAUUUGUUAAUUUAAUUGUUGAAUAAUUGAAUUUAAUUGUUGAAUUUAUUGAAUAUUUUUUGUUGUUGUGUUGUUAGAAUUUUAUUAGGUAAUUUAACUUAGAAUUAGUUAAAGUUGAAUUUUUUGAAUUUUUUUGAAUUUUUUGAAUUUGUUGAAUAUUUGUUAAUUUAAUUGUUGAAUAAUUGAAUUUAAUUGUUGAAUUUAUUGAAUAUUUUUUGUUGUUGUGUUGUUAGAAUUGUUAUUAGUUAAUUUAACUUAGAAUUAGUUAAAGUUGAAUUUUUUUUGAAUUUUUUGAAUUUGUUGAAUAUUUGUUAAUUUAAUUGUUGAAUAAUUGAAUUUAAUUGUUGAUUUAUUGAAUAUUUUUUGUUGUUGUGUUGUUAGAAUUGUUAUUAGUUAAUUUAACUUAGAAUUAGUUAAAGUUGAAUUUUGAAUAUUUUUUGAAUAUUUGUUAAUUUAAUUGUUGAAUAAUUGAAUUUAAUUGUUGGAUUUAUUGAAUAUUUUUUGUUGUUGUGUUGUUAGAAUUGUUAUUAGUUAAUUUAACUUAGAAUUAGUUAAAGUUGAAUUUUUGAAUUUUUUUAUUUUUGAAUUUGUUGAAUAUUUGUUAAUUUAAUUGUUGAAUAAUUGAAUUUAAUUGUUGGAUUUAUUGAAUAUUUUUUGUUGUUGUGUUGUUAGAAUUGUUAUUAGUUAAUUUAACUUAGAAUUAGUUAAAGUUGAAUAUUUGAUAUUUUUUGAAUUUUUUGAAUUUGUUGAAUUAUAAUUGUUAAUGUUGUAAUUGUUAAUUUGUUGAAGUAUAAUUUGUUGAAUUUAUUGAAUUUAUUUUUUGUUAUAUUUUUUAUUGUUUUGAAUAUAAUUAUUGAUUAAUUUGUGAAUUGUAAUUGUUAACGUUGAAUAAUUAGUAUAGAUUGGUUCGAUUGGUUGUGGCUAUUGUUAAUAUUUGCAGGUUUGUGGAUUUGGGUAGUAUCCAGUAUAGGGGAGGUGCUGCCGAUUUUUUUUUAACUUUUGAAUUUUAUUUUACAAUUAUUAAUAUAAAAUUGUUUAGAUGCGCAAAAUGAAAACCAGAGCUGGUCGUCCAGUCGAAUCAAGUUCGUCUAGCAGCGAUGAUGAUGUUUCCUUAGGUGCCUCUCAAGAAGAGGCACCUACACCACCUGCGCCGUCAACCGAUGCUGCCUCUUCCAGCGAUGUUUCACAUCGCAGACGCGGCAUGCCUUCGAAGCGGAAUCAAUUUACCCGCUAGUUCGAGGCACAGUGGAAGGACGAUCUUUCAAUGUAAGUUUGUUAAUUUUUAGUUUUUUUUAUAUAAAAAAAAUAAAUUUAAAACAUAAUUUAUGAAGUAAUCACAAAUUAAUUUCAUUUCUUUUCAGGUUCACAAACAUUGAGGCCGCCCGAUUAAUAUCAUCGGCGUUUAAAGCGUCGAUGGAGAUUCCAUUGUUUCAAUGGAGUCAGAUAUCCAGACAUCCUGAAUGGAUGCCUCAAAUCAAUGCAUGGUUUCGUAGAUUUGAGGUUCGUGUUAAUAUAUAAUUUUCAGCUUAUUUCUAAUUAUAAAUUCAUGUUAUAAUUGUAAAUAAAUUAUUAACAUUUUAAAAAAUUAUUUUUUUAUAUACAGCAUCGAUUCUGCUGGGACGAUGAACAUGACAGUGUUGUGAGGAGGGUGUGGGAAAAUCACGCGGCAAUUAGGUAACAUCGAAAACAAUACGACUUUUUUUUACAUAAUUAUUUAUGUUUUGAAAUGUAAUUUUUUCGUGCGUGAAUUAGGUUGCGUGAUUUUUGGUAUGACGCCCAGAAAAAAGCAAAAAAAACAGCGAGGGAUAAGGGGUUACAAGGCUGGAACGAUGUUGCGGUUUGGAGGGAUUUCAAACCAAUAUACAUCCCGGAAGAUAUAUGGCCGCACUAUCUUCAGCACGUGACGUCUGAGCGGUUCACUCGACGCUCACAGUCCGGUGCCGGCAACCGGAAUCGGCAAAUUCAUGGCUCGGUUACAACGCACACCGGCGGCUCCGUUCCGUUUGCUGCACAUGCGAAACGGAUGGUAAGAUUAAUUUAAAUGAAAUAUAUCGUUCAAUUAAUUUGUUGUUAAUACAUUUUUUUCAUUAUAUAUAGGCUACGUCUCUUGGACGUGAGCCGAGCCCUAUGGAGCUGUUUGUGGAGACGCACGUGCGGAGUCAUGACCGCCAAAAGGGGACGCAACAGUUCGUUGACAACCGUGCUCAACAGUUUGUGGUGUGUUUGUUUAACCAUUUUAUUUUGUAAGUUAUUAUUAUGUUUAUUGAAUUGAAUAUGAUUUUUUUUUUCAGGAGACCUAUAAUAAUCGGUUGAGGGAGAGAUACGGGGAUGAUCCUUCGACCCAUCCGGAAUUCGAUCCGGAUUUGUGGAUGGAGGCUGGAUCGUCAGGUGGACCCGAUAAAAAUCGGGUUUACGGGCUCUCCAACACUACCGCUGCCAAGUUGCGGUCGACCGGUACUGCUUCAACCGGUGGGAGCUCCCAAUCUGUAUCGAGCUCCCAAUCUAAGGAGUUUGUGGCCUUGCAGCAAAGGUGCGACCACCUAUCAGAGGCGUACACACAACUCAAAGAAGAGCAAAGAUUGGCGAACGAACAACACAGAUUGGCGGACGAACAACGCAGAGCAGAGUCUGAACAACAAAGAGCGGCCUAUGAAGAGCUUCGUCAAAUGGUCAUGAACAUGACACAAGGCGGAACAUGUGCGCCUAAUCCUUUUUGGCCGCCUAACCCCCACCCUCCUCCUCCUCCUCCUCCUCCACCUUUAUAUUAAUUGUUUUUUUUUAAACACAUUCAUUUUGUAAUGAAUAUUAUUUAACUUUGAGUUUUUGUUGCUUAAUAUAAAUUUUAUUUGCAUAAUUGGUUUGUAUUACUAUUAAUUUAUAUUAUUUUUUCUAAAUAAUUAAAAAAAAAAAUUACACAGGGAUUUACCGACGGAAUAAAUCCGUCGGCAUUGGACAGUGUCUGAGGUAUGCCAUCCCAUCACCGACAUACUCACCGACGGACAUAAUCCGUCGGUAUAAAAUACCGACGAAUUUACAGACGGAUUUAUUCGGUCGGUAUGAAAUAUCACCGACACUUUUGCCGACGGAGUUAGUCCGUCGGUAUUUAUAACACCGACGGAAUAUUCCGUCGGUAUAUUCCAAGCGGGAAACUUUUUUUUUUUGGCGCGCAGGGCCGUCGGUAAAUGUGUUUUUUUUAUUACCGACCGAUAUAGCGACGGAAUGUGGAAUCACCGACAAAAGGUAUUCCGACGGGAGUAUUCCGUCGGUAAUAUAGUCGGUAAAUACUUUACCGACGAACGUUCUGUCACACACCGACGGAAUAUGUCCGUCGGUAAAACUGUGAAAUCUUGUAGUGACUGUUGCACGUAAAACCUUAAGAUUUCAAAUGUUUGCAUAACUUACCUCAUGUUACUAGCUCCGUUGUUUAGUUUCUUCUUGCACCAUUCCUACGAGCAUUCUUCUUCGUUCUUCUUGCCUUCAGAUUCCAUAGAUCUUCAACCACUUUCAGAAACCAUGCUGGUUUUCUUGUUCUGAACACAACGUAUCCCAUUGUGACUCCAAACACAAACCCACUUCCAUAUCCUAUUGCCACAGCUUUCCAUCCAAAUCCUUCUUCAAAGAAUUUUGAAUCAUCUCCAUCGUGAAAGUCUGAUGGCUGCAAUGGUGGUGCCUCGUCACUAUUGCAUUCUUUUGGCAUGGGGAAUCCAUAUAAGUCCAAGUUUCCUUCAAAUGAGCUUGCAUUGAACGUGCUGAACUGCGUUCCCCCGGGUACGGGCCCCUCAAGCUGGUUAUGUGAAAGGUUUAUGACUGCAAGAUAUGUUAGAUGUGCCAACUGUACUGGAAUCCUUCCAGUAAGCAAAUUCGAAGACAAAUCUAAUGAUUCCAGAUUGGUCAACAUUCCUAAUGAUGAUUGAAUAUGGCCUGUAAGGGAAUUAUGAGAGAAAUUGAGUUGUUGAAGUUCUUUAAGCUUUCCGAUCAUCUUUGGAAUUUCUCCGAUGAAACUGUUGUUUGACAAAUCAAGUAUUCUAAGAGUGCUUUGGAUUUUCUUGAACUCAUACUCAACCCCUUUCCAUGUCACUUUUAUGGAAUAGUCCAUCAUGUAAAAUGAAUUUGGAUCAGAGGCCAUCAUUGCUUCAAACCUAUUGAAAUACCCUAUUGGUAAAGGUCCCCUCAAAUUAUUGUUGGAGAUGUCAAAGAUUUGCAAUUUGGAGAAGGAAUUAUUAGCAGUCGGAUCAUUCACAAAACCAUGGAGCUGAUUGGACUUUAGGACAAGGAUAUACAGCUCUGGAAGCGUUUCUAGAAAAUAGGGAAAUGUGUCCUCAAUUUUAUUGUCACUAAGAUCAAGAACUUGUAGCAUUAUGCAGUUGAUGAUAGACGAUGGUAUUUUCCCUUCCAAUUCAUUGCCACUUAGCUUGAGAUAUACCAGGUUAUUCCCUUUUGAAAAUGGUGAAAAGAUAGUGCCUCGAAGAUUAUUCAUGCCAAGAUUUAAAAGUGAGAGAGAGUUGCUAAAGUUCCCUAAACAUUGUGGUAUAAAACCACUGAAGCUGUUAUUAGACAAAUCAAGGACUCGAAGGAAUUUAAGCUUGCAAAUAGAAGAAGAAAUUUCACCUGUCAAUUUACUGUUGGAUGCAAGAACAAGGGCUUCCAGGUUCUCUUGUUUGAAAAUUGAACUUGGGAUUGGACCUUGCAAGUUGUUGUUUCGUAAAUCAAACAAUUUCAAUGAACGAGUACUGAUUUGAGAAGGGAUAGGUCCUGAGAGUUGAUUCUUGGAUAAAUCUAAAUAUUCAAGGAGGGUAAGGUUACCUAAAAAAUCUGGAAUCCUACCUGAAAAAUUAUUCUUACCGAGAUAUAAGGUUUGAAGUUGCGUAAGGUUUUUAAAUGAUGAUGGAAUCUCACCACUUAAAUUGUUACCUAGAAGGUCUAACCUAGUAAGCUCUGUGAGAUGACCAAUCAGGGUCAGAUUUGACCUUGUGAUAUUACAUUCUCUAAGAACCAGAACUUCCAACAACUUUAGAUUUGUGAAGAAGUCAUUUUCUAAAUAAACUGAAAUUGUAGAAUGAGAAAGACCCAAUAAUCUGAGGCUAUUACUCACAUUGGAUGAAGGAAAAGAGCCAGUGAGGUUGUCGUUGUUUGUCAAAUCAAGCACUUGAAGGUUUGGUAGGAGAAAGAUGUUACCUGGGAACUUCCCUUUCAAUCCACAAUCCCAAAGGGCAAGAGCUGACAAAGAUGAGGACAGAUUCGCCAAGGAAUUAAGUGUGACCAAAGACAUAUUUAGACUACCCAAACGGAGAUUUCUUAGCUUGGUUAGGUUUUGAAUAGUCUUGUCAAAAGAACUUGGUUCUACACUCAAAUAGUCAUUGAAAGAGAGAUCAAUUGAAACCAACUCAGUGAGUUGUCCAAGAUCAUCUGGAAUUGAACCAGUAAGAUUGCUGAAUCUAAGAUCCAAGUACUGGAGGUGCUUAAACUUUCUCACCGAGGAUGGGAAUUUUCCUUGCAAUCCACAGGAAUAGAGUACAAGUGAUGACAAAGAAGAAGACAGAUUCAUCAAGGAAUUGGGUGCAACCAUUGACAUGCUCACCCAACUCAGAUAGAGUUCUGUAAGCUGGGUUAGAUUUCGAACAAGCUUGUCAAAAGAAAUUGGUUCUAGACUUAGAUAGUCGUUUUCGUUUCCAGAGAGAGCAAGUGAAACCAACUCAGUGAGUUGCCCAAGAUCAUCUGGAAUUGAACCUGUAAGUUUGUUAUCUGCAAGAUCCAACUGCUGGAGGUGCUUAAAUUUUCUCAUUGAGGACGGGAAUUCUCCAUGCAAUCCACAGGAAAGGAGUUUGAGUGAUGACAAAGAAGAAGACAGAUUCAUCAAGGAAUUGGGUGUAACCAAUGACAUGUCUACUGCACUCAGAUCGAGUUCUCUAAGCUGGGUUAGAUUUCGAGCAAGCUUGGCAAAAGAAAUUGAUUCUAGACUUAGAUAGUCUUUUAAGCCCCCAGAGAGAUCAAGUGAAACCAAUUUGGAGAGCUGAGAGAUUUCCGACGGAACUUGACCUGCAAAGACUGAGUAAUUUAGGUUAAGAUGUGUCAGGUUGGAGAGUUGGCCAAAUUGAGAAGAAAUAUGGGAGCUUUGGAAAUCAUUGUCAGAGAGGUCGAGGUUUUGAAGAUGAUGCAGGGAGAAGAGGGUGCCAUAAAGCAUGCUGCAAGAGAGGUCCAGUCCAGUGACUUGCCCGGUUUCCAGUUCACAAGUGACCCCAUCCCACAAGCAGCAGUCUGUACCCUCUUUCCACGACUCUGUCUUGGGAUGCUGGCAACGCCCUGAAGCAGAGCUAUUAAUGGAAAAGGACUCUUUGAAUUGGAGCAAAGAAAGGCUUUGGUCAGGAGCACAGAAAUGAGAAGAAGAGGAGUAAUUUGAUGAGGAAAUUGUUGUGUGAAAAUGGAAGAGAAAUAGAAUGAAAGAGAGAAAUUGAGAGAGGGACAUUGGUGAAAACCCCAUGUUGGCUUGCCUUACAGGAUUCGAAAGUAUAUUUGGAGUGUUGAGCGAAAGAUGAGAAAUAAAGAUUCGCAUUGGUACUAUUUAUACACAAACCAAUCUACGUUCACAAAUGAAGUGGCUUUAUGAUUUUUGUUGAGAGUAGAUAAUUUCCCUGCAUUUACAUUUGCAGCAAGUUUAUGUCCAAUCUUCAUUUGGUGCUGAAUAUGGAAUUGAAGGUUGAAUUAUUCAAUUGCAAAUAUUUCUGUACAAGUAGAUACCUUAGUUGACUAAACAAUAGUGUUGGAAACACGGCAAUAUUAAUUUUCAUAAUUGAUAUUUUUUGUAGAAAUUAUUUUUUACUAUUCAUAUAUAUAGUUCAUUAAAUAAUGAAGUAUUGGUCUAGCGAUUAAGGCACCACUAGAGGCAAUGGUGAGAACACAAGUUCGUUCUUCAGGGAGCACAUUUAUUGAGAGGGACAACUAUAAAUCCCGAAUAGGACUAAUCUCACCCUUUUGCAUGAGUUGUCUAUAAAGGAAAUGAUUUCUUAUUUUAUAAUUUACUAGCUCCAUGAUUUUUGUUGAGAGUAGAUAAUAUCCCUACAUUUACAUUUGUAGCAAGUUUAUGUGCCAAUCUUCAGUGCUGAAUAUGGAAUUGAAGGUUGAAUUAUUCAAUUGCAAAUAUUUUUAUAGAAGUAGGUCCCUUAGUUGACUAAACAAUAGUGUUGGAAACACGGCAAUAUUAAUUUCUAUAAUUGACAUCGGCAAUAUUAAUUUCCAUAAUUGACAUUUUUUGUGGAAAUUAAUUAUUUCUUACUAUUUAUAUAUAUAGUUCAUUAACAAUUUUAGGUAAAGAUACGUAAAGAUGAUAUCCCUUCAUAUUUACAUCUGCAGAAAGUGUAUGUGCUAAUAGAUACAGUUAAUUUGUGCUGUAAUUAUAAAUUUUUUUUGUAGCUCGUCUGAUGGUCUGUCCUUUUCCUCCUUGACCUCCAAGUCUUCGGAACUUGGAAAUAAUGUCCAACAAUUACGUGUGGAAAUGUUGGAAUUGAAUGUUGAAUUAUUCAAUUGCAAAUAUUUCCAUACCAGUAGGUCCCUUAAUAUUUCCGUACCUCCUUGACUGUACAAUAGCGUUGGAAACACGACAAUAUUAAUUUCCAUAAUUGACAUUUUGUAUGCAAAUUUCUGAAUAUUCACAGUUCAUUUAUGAUUUUAGGUAAAGAUAUAUCUAAACCCUGAAGUUAAAAGCCUCUAAUAAUCUUGAAUUGAGUUUGUGACACUUUAACUAGUAAUUUAUAUAAAAAAAAUCAAAAACUUGAUUAAUUAAACUACAUCUACUAGAAUUUACAUUUACAUUUGCAGGAAGUGCAUAAUUAAUAGAUACAGUUUGUGAUCUCAUUGCAACUUCAUUUUGGAGCUCGUCUUAUGGUAACUGUUCUUGGGGACAUCUACCGCUCUAUGCCUAGGUGGCUUCUAAUUUUAAUACUAAUUAAAUCUUCUGCAAAAUGCUGUGAAAUUAUUAUUGUGAUUAUUAACAAGAACAAGGAACUGCUUACUUGAAGGGUUAAACAAUUAUACGUUUUUGAUCGGAAAAAAUAAGCAUUUAUAGUUUAAAAAUAACAUUUCCAGGCUGGGAAUUCAGGCAAACGCAGAUACUACACAUCAAGAACAUUGCAAAAAUUUAACUACUAUGCAGCGAACAGAUGGUGGAAUGAUCUUUAUUGAUCUAGGAAUUAUGUUAUUUAAGUUCGCUAGUUAGUUCAGCAAACUUCUAUUAUGUAUAAUAUGAUUGCAUAACACACUUAUGCCUUACUUAAUACUAUCAGCUUCUUUAAUAAAAAAGAACAUUGCAAAAAUGAUUCAUUGACGAAUAAGACUUCCCAGUAAAAAGAAGUUCAUAAUUGGAGCACAAGAUCAGAGAAAAGGUUCAUUGAUGAAUGUCAUGUGUGUUGAAGACCUGUGUAUUAUAUUAUUUUAAUCAUAUUCAGUUUAAUUUUUUCAAUUUAGUAUUUUAAGUUUAGUAGGAUUCAUUGAACUAUAUAAAAAAACACUUGUAUAUAACAACAACUUCAGCACUAUCAAGCCUCAAGGCUUCUCUUGUUCUUCUUCCUCUCUUUGAAUCUCUUCUUGUUCUUAUAAUGUGAAUCUCAGAAGCAGGCAUUCUCCCACCUCUGGACUUCGAGCAAAAGCUCUUAAAAAAAUUGGGAAUCGUAUAUGACUUGUGCUUGAUUCCCUGGGAAACAUAAGUGGCCGUAAACAAAGAAUGGAAUGUUCAGCGGAGUCACGGAACUAAACUACCCCUUUUUAGGGGAAAUCACUUACGACUUGGUCUGUUCUUUUACUUGACCCCAAAGUCUUUGUUUCUAGUAAAUAAUUUUCCCGCAAAUUAAUUAAUUUUAUAGAUAUUGGAGGUGGGCUUUUACAUGAAAAUAUCAUUAGGGAAAAAAAAUUGUGAUUGCUUAAUGUGAAUGUUCAGAGAAGUUUUUCUAAAGUGUAUUUAGGAAUGAAAUUUAUGUGAAGCUUGCUUUACAUACUGAAUUUAAUUUCCCAAAAAAAAAAUCCGACCACAAAAUUUUUCAAUAAUUUACAAACGUAGUUAAUUCACAUCUUAGGUAUGUGAAGAAUGUAAAGAAUGUUAAUUCACGUAGUUAAUUCAAUAAUUUUUUAAAACUUAAGAUCACUAUCUCAUCUUGUAUAAAGAAUAUUAUACUUUGAUCAUGUUACAUGUUAUCUUAAUCAAGGUAACAAAAAAGUAGACAAUGGAUAUAUCAUGAAUUAUAUGAAGGUAUUUGAGUGAUCAAGACAAGAUUCAUUACACUAGAUGAAUAAUAAAAAAAAUAAUUUAUUUUCAUAUAGUAUUGACAAAGAAUUAUUUUGGCCAAUGUAGAAUGAGAUUUGAAAAGAAUUUCAAAUCUUAUUCAAACGAUUAAUAACUAUUAUAUAGAGAAUAAACAUGAUUUAACAUGACAUAUAUACUAUAUGCUUUAAUGUUAAAUUAGAACAUUAUUGAUGAAAGGAUAUCCAUUAUACUGAGAAAUUGGUCACUAAAAUGUUAAGUCAAACCACUAAUGACUUCCAAUAUUUAGAGAAUCAUGACAUGUUACUAGACGAUGCACCUGAUCUUUAAAUAUAAAUUAAUCAAUUGUUGAAUUAAUAAUAAAUUAAAUUAUUUAAUCUAUUUAAUUAUAAUUAUAAUUUAUAUUUAGGCCUGCAUAUUAGGAACCUAAUAAGUUACACGCAUUAAGAAUCAUUAAUAAAAAAUUAAACUAGAAUGAUUUAAUUAAAUAUAACUUGAUUACAAUAUAUUUUAGAAAUUAAGGACUAGAUUAUAAUUAAUACAAAUAUUAUAUCUCUAGACUUGUAAAAUCAAGUAAAGACUUAAUUGAGCUAUUUUCUGUAUUGUCUUUAAAUAAUAUAUGGAUAUUAUUUAAGGGACAAAUAAAUAUUUUAUGUGAAGCUUGCUUUACAUACUGAAUUUAAUUUCCCAAAAAAAAAAAAUCCAACCACAAAAGUUUUCAAUAAUUUACAAACGCAGUUAAUUCACAUCUUAGGUAUGUGGCCAUGCAUGAUUUAAGCACCAAAACGUAGAUAAAGUAUACAAGAAAUUACUGUGUCUAUUAUUGAAUAGAUCAUCCAUUUCUCUUUAGAGUAAUAUUAAUGCAUAUAAAUCUCAUAAUAUUCUUUAGAUUUAUGUUAGCUGUAUAGCAUCUCAAGGGCUUUUUUCUAUUUGAAGGUUUUAUUAUUAUUGCAUUCUACCUCAAAAUCAAUAAAACUUUGAUUAUUAUAUAUAUAAAAAAUCAUAUUAAAUCAUUAUUGUUCACAACUUUGUGUACCCAUCGAGCAAAUCGGAUGUGUCCAAUUGGAGAGAUAAAAUUAUGGAAGGAAAAAUAUUGGAAACCAAAUAUAGAAGAUAAAAAACUGAUCCUUUAGUCAAAUAAAAUACGUUCUAGCAAAUUCCUCAGUGAUUUUAAAUCUAAGAGCAACCUAUUUAAUUAGAAUAUUUCAUUUAUAUUUUUUAGUAGAGAUUCCUAAUGACAUUUUUUCUUGAACAAGUGAUUUCUCGGCACUCCUCAAAUAAUUUCUAGCCUGACAGACAAACAAACAAAUAAAUCACAUAAAAUUCUCAAACAAUUAUAUAUUAUAGUGAAUUACUUUUUUGUUAAUUUUAGAGCCUAUAAAAUUAGUUAAAAUACAUAUAAACUGACCCGAACAUUCAUUCCACGUUAAUAAUAAUAAUAAAAAAGCUUGUGCAUAGAUUCUCACUCUGUUCCUGGUUUAUUAAAUCUCUUGUCAUGACCUAUUUCAUUGGUGGCUCGCCCCAUGCAAUUAAUAUUCAUGUGGAUUAUCCAAAGUAGCAUUUGAAUUCUGUAAAUUAACUUCCUUUUUGUUCAAUUUCCUAUGCCUUUAAAAUUUUGUUAUUGACAUAAACCUAAUUAAGUAGACACCAUUGUAGUUUCGAUAUGCCAUAAUUUUUAUCUGAAUGUCCGAUUGAGGCUUGUGAAAACAAUGUAAAAAAAAAAGAGAAGGGAAUUUGAACUAGUUUGAAGAGUUUGAUUUAUGUAAUUCAUAAUCAAAAUCUGGAAUUAGCUAGAUUAGAAGCAAAGUAUGCUACGUACAAUGGCUAAAUUUAUCCUGAAAAUUCCCAUUUUGAUCUGUGAGGCUAAGGCAAAUGGAACAGUUGCUAAUAAACAUUUCAUCCAUAGUUUUGAAACCCGGCCCAACCCGGUAGGUCAACCCGUGACCCGAACGACCCAGGGCUGGAAUAGAGCCGGGUUGAAGAAAAAACAAAAGAAAAAAAAACCUGGUGUGACCUGACAGGCUGGUCAAGACCCGGCAUUAAACCCGUUAACUUUUAUUUUGUUUUUGUUUUACUAAAAUGACGUCGUUUUAAUUUUUUUUUAAAAUGACCCGGCCGACCAGGCGACCCGGUCAAGACCUGGAACCCGGGCCUUGGACCGGGCCGGCCACCAGGCCGGGUCUUAAAAAUAUAAUUUCAUCUAACAUAAACACAGAAUUAAAGCAAAACAUUCAUGAAUCUUUGGCAGAAUGUCGAUAGUUACUGGCCUUAGAGAGCAUAUUGUUAGAACCACUUAGGUGGAGAUUAGUGGUUCGGUCUAUGCCAUUAAAGUUACAGAAAAACCAUGCUUAGAGGUUAAUUCAAGUAGGGUUGAUAAAAAGAAGGUUGUGGAAAAUUGGGCUGGGAAGUUGAAUCCUUCCAACUUUGAUACUUUAGAAUCCUCCCAACAUGAUUCUCUCAAAUCAUCAUAUGCUGCUGCUGAGUAAUUUUGUUCUGAGGAGCCAAUGGAAGCUGGAAUACAUGGAGCAAAAAUUGAUGACACGAAUGAGACUGCUGUAUGUAGACAUGGUAUGGAUAGGGAAUUCUCUUUUUGUGAUCCAGGGUGAAGAUGUAAUGCCUGAAAGAAUUAACAAGAAGGGUACUUUGAAUGUUGAUUUGCUUUCUCCAGAGAAGGGUUCUUUGAGGAAAUCUGUUGCUGAGGAGACAGAAACAACCGAUAGCGACCCGAUAAAUGCAACACUGCACUAACAAGCUUUCCUGCUACCAUAGCUGCUAUAAAAAGCAAUGGAGUCCAAAUUGUUGAAAAGCAGUCAGAGGAAAAUUUAAAUAUUGAUGGUGGGCUUAUCUCUAAUGCUUAUUUGGAUGAGUGGAGGAAUGGAUCACAGUGUAUUGGGCUAGAGGAAAACACACUCUCCAUAGUUCCAGUUAACACACAUGAGCCUCUGUUAACUACUUACUAUAAGGCUUCGGACCAACAACUGAUCGCAUGCUUAAAUGGCCCAGUGAAAUAUAAUAAAAACAAGAUUUUUGAGGCCUUCAUCACACCUAUAGCAGAACCAGAGGAGGUAGCUGAACUAGAGAAGGAAAAGAAGAGAAGUUCGAACAAAAGAAAGAAGAAACUUUCCUUAAAAUCAGCUACUCGUAAGGGGAGAACAUCAAGAAGUAGAAAAGAGAAGUCUGCUAACCUGGAAAUCACUGAAAUGUCUAUCUCAGAUGGUGAAAUCAGAAACAGAAACAGAAACAAGGCUAUACGCUCUGGCAUGGACAUUAAUGUAAUGGAGAAGGGGAUCAUUUCCCCUCGGCGACUGGAGCAACAACCACCUGUUGAUAGUAGAAUGGGAGCUAAAGCUUGCUGGGAAGUUGGAAAGGCCAUUCUUUAGCUAGAUGAUGAUAGUGAUCAGAUUGUGGAAACCUUGAAGGUUUUCAUAGAUAAAGAUUGGAAAGGAAGGUUGGAGUAAUAGUAAUGCUCCACGAAGAUAUUCUAGAUCCUGGUAUGUUGUUCCCUCAGUUUGGUCUUUCUGGGGCCUGCUUUCUAUAUGGAAUUCUCCCAGCUUUAAUGUCACGAAUGCAAUGGUAGGAUAUUGCAUAUAGAAAGAGUCUUUACAUGGUAUAAUACUGAUUGAGUGCUAUUUAUGGAUUAUUCCUCAAAGAAAGAAUUGUGGAGCUAUCUGGUGAAUUUCAAAUGUAACAUUUCUGAGCCAUGGUGCCUUGUUGGGGAUUUUAAUGAGACUAUCUCUCCUUCAGAUCGUAAGGGUGGGAUAAAUAUUACUUGUUCUAUGAAAGCAUUUCAAUAAUGUUACAUGGAUAUUCUUUCUACUAACUACUAUCCUCUGUUAAAUUAUCUAUAUCCGAUAACUCUGUCAUAUCCCCUGUUCACGAAACAUUGCACACCAAGCAACUAGGUGUUGAUGAGAGCUUGUUUCUCUCCAAUGAAACCCAAUCAUAAUCAGUGGAUCAUUGCACAUAUACACAAGGAUAUACGAUAGACAAGGAUUGAAAGAAAAAUGAGAUUAGCUGCCUACAAAAUAACUGUAACAAGAUAAGCCAUCAGAUCACCUCAUGAAUUUUGUUUGGUUAUCUACUAAUUUGGAACGGCUUAUGGGUAGAAAAUGAAAUAGAGGAGCAUCAAUUGAUUAUUGCACAGCAGAGAGACAUGAUAAAGCUAACCUUGUGCUUUGUUGAUGAGAGCUUGUUUCUCUCCUGUUGAGGAAGAGAGUUCCCAUGAAGAAAUGAUGGCAAUUGGAUGAUAAACAUUAAAGAAGUAAAACAAGUUCUAUUUCAAAACAAUACUAGAGAGGUUACAACCAUCUCCAAUGAAACUUGUAACCAACAGAAUUCUAACAACACACAAGAAAACUAACCUUGUGAUGCCAAGAUCUGAGCACUCUUAUGACCAUCAGCAAUAUUAAUAUUGGCCUGUCUCUCUCCUGUUAAAAAUAAUCAAUACAAAAGAUUAGCAAUGGAUUGACAAAUGAAGAAAUAUUGCAAUGCCUCAUGACAUUGAACAAAUGGUUCUAAAAAAGGUUGCCUCCAAUUGUUAAGCCAUGCAUAACAAAGAUUUAUAGAUAUGAUAGGUGAAUAAAAGUGUCUGCAUUAUGUAGCAGCAAAGAUAUGAGAAGCAGAAAAAAUGCGAUUAAAAGGAGCGGUGGAAAACGACCAAGCAUGACAAGAUGGCAUGGCAAUUCUGUACAAACAGAUAAAAAUGAUGCAUGAAGUCAAUUGCAACAAAGUUUGAUUAAAGUGGAGUUUAAUUAAGCUGAGGUAAAACUGAGAAACUAAACUACAUUUAAUACCUUCAGACUCAAGAAUUUGAGCUCUCUUUCUACGUUCUGCUUCUGCCUGCAUCUCCAUAGCUUGCUUCACCCCACGUGGAGGAGAUAUAUCCCCUAAAGAAGCGAGGACAGAGAAGCAUUAAAAGAAAAUUCUACAAGAACCUAAUCAACAUAGAAUAUCAAAUAAGUUAAGUGCGGCUGGCUCACUUAUUUCAUAACAAAGACAUCGGAGACCCUAGUCUCUUGCAGCCACAUUAAUGGCCUCCUGCAGAAAUGGUGACAGUCUUGCAUAUUCAACAACAUCCUUGUUUUCUUAAAAUACCUGAUUUUCAACUAAAACUCCAAAAUAACCUUAGAGUUUUAACUAGGUUGAUAAGACAAGAAACAGAGAAGUGUCAUUACAAUUUUGAAGAACCAACCAAAUCACAAUUUCCUGAAGCAGCAACCGACUUUUCUCACAUUUAUGAUUUUUGUCUAGCAUUUCAAUAUAUUAUUAAUGAAUCGAAAUGUUAAAGCAACCAAUCUCUUCACGGCGAAAUGUGCUUCACAUAAAAAGCACACUCCUAAAUAAAUAAAUAAUGUGAAUACACUAAGAAAGGGCGAUUGAAGUAAAGAGGUAUUAUACCACAAUCUUUUCAUUGAGAGUGUCUCGUUCUUCAAAGGUCUUGUCAAGAGUAAUCUUACCAAGCUCACUACGCAUAGUGGUCUGGGCAAGUUGAACGACAGCAUAGAUGGGAUUCUCAACACCAUAAGAAGCAAGCUUAGGAUCCACAAUCUGUUGCACAACAAUUUGAGUAUCAAUAAUAGUAAAUGAUUGAUUAACCCAAAAGGGAAAGAGAAACGAGAGAGAAGGGGGAAACCUUGACAUAGAGGACGCCGUCAAUAAGGAUGCUGACAUUGUCUUUGGUAAUAGCAGAUUGAUCAGGAAUCUGAAUAGCCUCUUCCUUCAAAGAGUGAACAUAAGCAAUUCGAUCGACAAGGGGAAUCAAGAAAUGGAUUCCAGAUGGCAGCAUCUUCAAGUACUUUCCAAAUCUCUCUACCACAAACGCUUUCUUCUCCGGCACAAUCCGUACCCCCCAAUUCACAGGUGGCGUAAUCUCAU
This 98583-nucleotide long non-coding RNA is filed under the name Populus tremula. RNAcentral describes it as "long non-coding RNA (PTRE_LNC000684)". The record is from RNAcentral. Lineage: Eukaryota; Viridiplantae; Streptophyta; Magnoliopsida; Malpighiales; Salicaceae.